Molecule: long non-coding RNA, 108087 nt
Filed under: Ricinus communis (castor bean)
Lineage: Eukaryota; Viridiplantae; Streptophyta; Magnoliopsida; Malpighiales; Euphorbiaceae
Description: long non-coding RNA (RCOM_LNC001856)
Source: RNAcentral
CGUAUCCUCCGGGUGACAAAUACUCCUGAUAUAAUACCCAAAGUUCCACCAUUAGCGAUAGGUUAUAGAGACGUUGGACAAAAUCUAGAACUCGACAGCCGAAAAUCUACGUACCUGAAGCCUACAGGAGCAUUCAUAACUUGGCAUAAUUUGGAGGCAUAUAUGCAUUGUAUUGCAGGAACACAAGGGGGAAAACCCGAUUUUCAUUUAGAAGUGAACAGAGAUAUUGCAUUAGUGAAUAAGAAAUUGAAUAGUUUGAAGGAUAUAUAUUUGGUGCCCAGCGCUUGGUGGCAAGAGAAACACAAAGGGAUGGUUCAACAGGAGGAUGGCUCUUGGAAGCUAGAUGAUCAUGAAGAUGAUGCUUAAGAUGCCUACUAUGCUAAAAAGGAGCACCACCUUAGAUAUCUAAAAAUUGGAUUUUUCUUUUUUAAAAGAAUCUUACGAAUCAUGCAUGUUUGGUUACUGAUUAAUAACUAUGAGAAAGACAAUGUGGUGUUAAUAUUUUCUUAUAUAUUGUAAUAAAAUUGAUGCUGGGGUACAGUGUUUAUAUAACUUUCUGUGAAAUAAUUUUGGAUUAAGUUGCUAAUCCUGUGCUGAUACUGUCUGUAUAUAGCUUGAAUCAAAUUUUAGAUCUCUUUUCUUUAUUUUCUGUAGUGUAAAGGAUAUACUACUUUUCCAUUUCAAAAGAUAAUCCUUUUGCUCUCUUUGGAUUGUUGAGAAUCUUAAUUCUUUUAUUUUUGCUAAUUUUAGUUAAUCUUAUUCAUGCUGUAAAUCUUUCUUUCUCCUUUUCUUUUCUAAUUCUCAGAUCAUUCUUCUGUUUGAUAAAAGGUUAGAGGUGAGGAUAUGAUCCGAGAAGAGAAAUUCAACUGUUGACCAAACAAAUAUGUCUAGCUAACAAUCUUUUCUAGAAAUAAUCUAGUCAUUUGACGGAAUUACGAUUCUUCGAGUGAAAAUGACACAAAGUGUUAAUAUUAAUUUGCUCGACAUAUUGUUACAACCUGAUUAAGCAAAGCUAAGCUUGGAAAGAAUGUUACUGAAGCAAUGAUGCGAGAUUUCAUUAAAGGCUGAAACUUGAAGCUUGCUUGGAAGCUUGUCGCAGAUGUCUGGGCAUGAUAAAAGAAUGUUAGACCCUAGUGUGCACCCAGAGUUGAGCUUGGAAAGAAUCCGGAUCAAUUCAUGCUUACUGGACGGUUAUUAGAUGAGCUUGGAGAACAGAUGAUUUAAAUUUUUAGCCAUCAGGAUUGCACUGCUGCAGUGAAAGCUCGCAUCAGACUUCAAAUGAACAAGUCUUUCCUUUUGUCCUAUAAUCAAGGCCAAUGACACCUUUUUCUUUCUCAUGGGAACAGUUGUUCUUUUCCGAAUUCUUUCUGUUUUCGGUUCUACUUUCUCUAAUCUUCAGUGGCUCUCUUCUCCUGAAUGUUAUAAAGUUUCACUCUCCGGUCUACCGCAAAUUCUCUAGAAGGAAUAUUGUGAUUUUGGUAACGGAUGAUUUGUUUUCAACCUGAUACUGCACAUACGUACAAGCACAUGUUUAUGCUGAUAUAGAUUUUGCUUGGGAAAGGUAAAGAAAACAUGCAUCUGUUUAAUAAUUUUCUUUUUAAUUACAAGAUAUAAUUUUUUUCUUGACAAAUUAAUAUGGUUUAGUCAGUUAUUAUCGUUAUAUCAUUAAUUUACGGAUGUGGAGCUUAUAAAAUAAAAAAGAAAAUAUAUCAUAUUAAUAAUAAUAACUUAUAUUAUCCGAGUCCACGCCAUGUUGACACUAUAACAAUAAAACUUAGUGGUAAUAUACUUAAUUGUUAAUGGGCAAAACUAUGUGUUAAGAAAAGAAAUCAGACACUUUAGAUUGAGAGACAGUCAGACUACAUAGACAUGUAUGGUUCUUUCGUAAUUUCCCAUGAUUAUAAUUCACUUUAUGAUCUUCCCAGGCAACCUGCUUUUCUCAGCUCGAACUGUGUCUCUCAUUAGUAUUUCAGCAUCUCUUCUUCACCAUAAUUAUCAAGCUGCUCCUUGAAUCUCAGUUUCAAGCGCUGCAUCUAAAUAGAUCAAUUGAAUGUUUUAUAAUUGAAGUUGUUUACCAAAAUUCAGAAAAGAAAUUAAGUCUAACCUUAGGCCCGGAGGAGUCAAGCUUUGCAUUUGAGAGAACAUGAAUGCCAAGAGAAACCCCUUGAAGGACAACAGGUUCUCCUUUUGGCCUGUUGGAGAUAUAGACCAUGCUUUUUGAUGAUAUGUCGGCCAAUAUAGGUUAAACCCAUUGUACUGAUGAGCCUCUUUCAACAGCAUUUCUGCAAAUUGCUUCGGACUUUUUGCGCUCUGUAUGAUGCAGAAAAAGAAAAAUUUCGAUUUUCUAUUCAUAACAGUAGACAAUUUGUGAGGCAAAAUACAUCUAUUCCUGUUUAAUUUGUCACCUCCAAGAAAAGGACUGGAAGUUCCCUCUGCUCUUUGCCUCAGGUAGAGCAUGAAGCUCCAAAACAUUUGUGAGGAAAGCAACUCUGCCUGCCCUUGAACAUCCCAACCAUGUUCCCCCUGCUACAGCAUCUCUUCCACCCAGUACAUCACAGCCAUUCCACCAUGCCACUGGUUCUGUUGGCCUACACAAAUGUGUAUAUACACACACACACACAGCCAGUUAGUUACUACACCCGCGCCAGCACAUCACAGGAAAAGUUGAAACGAGGCAUAAAUCUCAUAAAAUACAGAACUUGCCUGUUGUGAUAUUCAUCUCUAUUAUGCAAGAGAAGCAGAGGCUAGAGAGGUUGAGCUUGCCAAACGAACGCAGCUAUGCACAUAGCUUAGCACAAUCAAUUGGACGUUUAGGAGUUACAAUAUCACUAAACAUGGCAGAAUUACACUUACACAAAAUGGAUGACUGUAAACAGGAGAAAAUUAGAAACUAAGACUUUUGUCUCUUUGUUUCCUAAGCAAAAACCAGUGGGGCAAAGGUUGUCCUAGAAUGCGUGCAUGCACUAAAAUUUGUUUGAAAUUGUUGUUAAGAAAAAUUACUUUUUAAUUUUUGAUUUAAUCCACUAUUUUUUAUAAGUUAUUUUUAUAAAAUAUACUAUAAAUAUUAAAAUCGUUUUAUAGGAAGGAACGUAAAAUAUUGAAUUUGAUUAUUCCCUUAAUUAAAUUAUAUUUCUAUUGUAUGUAUUCAUUUAUUACUCUUCAAAUUAUAUAUAAGUUCUUAAAUAAAAAAAAUGUAGUUUCGAUUUUUUUUAUUAAUAAUAUAGAAAUUUUUUUUAUAUAGUUGUACAUUUGGAAUCAAAUAAAAUUUAUGAUUAUAAAGAGAUUAUAAUUUAUUAAAGCUUUGAGUAUUAAGAUUUUUCUUUGACUUAAUAGUGAAUAUUGUUGGUGAAAUGAUAGCAAUUAGAUAUGAGAUAUAUUAAUAUCUUAUCAUAUUAUAUAAAAAAAUGGAAAUCAAUACUGUAAGACAAAAUAUAUCAUAAUAUUUAUUUUUAAAAAAAUAUAAAUACAAAUAUUAUUAUGUUGAAAAAUUUGUUUAAAAUAAAAUUUAAAAAAUUUAUAAUAUAUAUACACGCUUUAUUUUUCUGAAGGUGCAAAAAAAGAAAAAAAAAUUUAUUAAUUAAAUUAAAAUUCUGAAACUCAUGUAAUUAUAGUAUAAAAUUUAUAUCUAUUUACAACCGGUCCAAUUUGAAACUGAAAUUUUUAAUUAUUAUAUAGAUGUUAUUUCUAUAUAGAGUAUCGUUGUAGAGAAAUUUUAUUAUAUAUUUAAAAUUAAAAUAUGCACAAUAGAAGAGUUCUAUCCACGAUUAUUGCAGUAUAUUUAUGGCAGCUCCAUCUUGUUCAGGUGAUUACUGUGCUUUGGCUGAAAUGGAAGGGCUCCUGGUGACCUGUGUGGUUCAUAAAGGUUUAAGACUUGCCUUUGAUUACGAUAUAACUGGUGUCCUUGUGAAGUGUGUGUGAUGCUGCUGGAGUUAUGACAUGGUCAGAGUUUGGCCUUCUAAUAGCUGAUACCCACAUGCUUGCUAGUUAUGUUCAAGUUGUGGAACUUUUAGCCAUUAGUCGUAGUUGUAAUUUUUACUCGUAAUCUUCCAUUGUAUCGGCUUUCUUUAGAUGCUGAGAGUGUCUGGAUCCAGGACGAAAUCCCUGUAUAACUUCGUAACCUUAACUGGCCCAAAACCCCCCAAGAUGCCUAACCUUAUCUUAAAUAGGCCUGGUCUGACAUCUCAUGCCUUCACAUGGUUCUGAACUAAAUUAUUGUAUGUGAGAAACAAGAGGAUAUCUAGAUACAAACAGUUUAAUUUUACUUGUAGCAGAACCAGAACAAUACAACACCAUUUAUUUUUGUCUUUUUUUUUGAGGGUGUGAUUAAACAAGGACAUUAGGACAUUAGUGUGUUGACUUCAUAAUAACGCUUGGUAGUUUGCUGAUGAUAAUGUUGCUGCUUUCUCACCAUAUCAUAUGCAGCAAUUAUAUUUAAGUAGAUGGUUAUAAAUUUCAGACUCAGUUUAGCAUGUUGCAGAAAUGAAGGCGCGAAUAAUGCAUGAACUGGAUCAUCGUAUGAUGAGCACACUGCCUAUAUCAUAAUCGAAUUCCAAGAACUCUGCCUAACCAAACUACUUCAACUAGCCUUUCCUUUUGGCAAUUUCCUUGUCUGAUGAUAUAGCUCUAACCGCCGCGGAUAUUGAGGGAGGCUUAAAAUGCAUGAUAGCAACGAAGGCAGAAAAUUGUGAAGUGUGCAAUUUCUAAUGGAUUCUAUUUAAACUAAUAGUAAUAAUGAGUAUUAAUCGGCUUAAAACAUCAAAAGACAGGUUUACCUGUGGAAAUGUCUGGAGGAAACAUAGCCAGAAGAUGGAGGCAGCUUAGCGGGCAACAAAAGUGGCAGGGCCUCCUUGAGCCUCUAGACAAUGAUCUCCGUCAAUACCUCAUCCACUAUGGUGAUUUGGCUCAAGCUACAUAUGACAAUUUCAUUAUGCAGAAGUAUUCACAGUUUGCAGGGGACAAUAGAUUUUCAAUGAAAAAUUUGUUUUCCCGGGUUGGUCUAGGCAUGCGGAACAAUCAAUUUGUUUAUAAACCUGUCAAGUACUUAUAUGCAACCUCCAAAGUUGAUGUCCCACAAAGUUUCAUUAUGAGUCCAGCAUCCACAUCAAGGGCUGUGCCGAAUGGAGAAUCGAAUUGGAUCGGAUACAUAGCAGUAGCUACCGAUCAGGCGAAGGAGAAAUUGGGCAGGAGGGAUAUAGCAGUUGCAUGGCGAGGAACACUCCAGCCUCUGGAAUGGAUCAAAGAUUUUGAUUUUCCUUUGACGUCUGCUUCUGAUGUUCUAGGAGGACAUAAUGAUGCUCAAGUUCAUCAAGGAUUUCAUUCAGUUUAUACAUCAGAUAAUCCUCAGUCACAAACUAGCAAAACUAGUGCCAGGCAGCAGGUAACGAGAACUGAAUGUUUUACAUACGUAAUUGCAUAUAAACAAACGACUGAAAUAAACUAAACCUGAUUCUACGUCUACUAUCAGGUCUUGGAUGGACUGAGGGAGCUGGUGAAUAAAUAUGAGAAUGAGGAGAUCAGCGUGACUGUAGUAGGGCACAGUCUGGGUGCAGCACUUGCAACUCUUAGUGCAGCUGAUAUUGUAGCCAAUGGGUUCAACAGAACCGACAAACAAGCAAAUAAGAGCUGUCCUGUUACAGCCUUUGCCUUCGCCUGCCCACGCACAGGGAAUCGGGGAUUCAAGCAAGUCUGCGACUCCUUGGAGGAUCUCCGUAUUCUACGGAUCACAAAUACUCCUGAUAUGGUACCCAAAGUUCCACCACUGAUAGCAGGUUAUAGCGAGGUUGGAGAAAAUCUAGAAAUCGACAGCCGAAAAUCUAUGUACCUGAAGCCCACAGGAGGAUUCAUAUCUUGGCAUAACUUGGAGACAUAUCUGCACACAAUUGCCGGAACACAAGGGAAAAGGUCUGCGUUUCGUUUAGAAUGUCAACGAGACAUUUCAUUGGUGAACAAGAAUUUGGAUGCUUUAAAGGAGAAAUACAUGGUGCCCGGUAAUUGGUGGUGUGGCCUAAACAAUGGGAUGAUUCAACAGGAGGAUGGUCUUUGGAAGCUAUUUGAUCGUGACAAGGAUGAUGAGUAAGAUGGCUACUCUGCUAAAACAGAAGCAGCAACUACUGUAUGGAAUAAAAAUAAAUUUAAAAACUUAACUAAUAAUUCAGGACUGAGAUUGUGAUUCAAUCAAUCCCUUGAACCUACAAUGAAUCCAGUAAGUUGUUAUCCGGUUAUUCUAAUUGAAGUUUAUGUAUGAAUCAAAUAUAGUCCCAAUUAUUUUAUGUUUGAAUCUAUGGCUCACAUACAUAAAUAAUUUUCCCUUUUGUUCUUUGUGGUUCAAUAAUGCUAUUGAGACAUUCUAAUAAUGCUCUACUGCAUAUCCAAAGUAAUAAAAGUUGGCAUCUUUUGUAACAAAUUUUUUUUUUUUUUUCAUUUUCGAGAAUACCAUCAAGAAAUCCCAGGAAAAUAACCAAAAGCAAUAAUUAAUUCCUGAUAUGACUUGAAUUAAUGUCAGAAGAUGGCAAUUCUUCUGCAAAUAAAAAAAAAAAAAAAAAAGAAAAGGAGAAAUUCUCAGACCCUGCUCUCACCAACUAGCUUCUUGUCUAUAAGCUAAUCAAGCAGGUAAUCAAAUUCCUAAAACUACCAAGAUUCACAUGACAUUCAGGCAAAGCUAUAUUUACAUAUAUAUUUAUCUAAUCAAUCAUGCCACAAAUUUCUCAUUCUCCCUACAAUAGUGAGCAAGAAAAUAAACAAAAGAGGAAGCAAUCACAGAUCAUGAAAGCCAAUCUACAUAUAACACAUGGGAUCAAAAUCAGUGUCUUUGUUUACAAAUUAUUACAUCUAACAGGGAAUUUGAGAGGUGAACCACUCCAUGACAUGAAUAGGUGCCUUGAUCAACUCCAGAGCAAGCUCCACUAUUAUUGUCACGCACAAACAACAAGGACAUAUGCAUGUCAACAACAACCUGCACAAUUCCCAAGAUUUGAGAGCAUUAGAGACCAAACUGACAAAAAGAUCACCACUUUAUUCCAAACAAAAGCCAACCCAAAUCACAAACUGUAUCAAGAAUUAACAAGAUCAAGUACCCAGAAACUAGAAAUGCCAUAGAAAUCCAUAUGAAAGCAAAAGAAAUAAAAAUCAAAGAAAUCUCAGAUAUCCAAAGCCAGAAAAGCAAAUAAAAUGGAAAAGGAUAUGAACUUAAAUUACCCGACGAUCCAAACCACGACGCCAACAAUGGAGACGAGGAGAGAAAGAAGGGCAAAUGGAAGGCCUAAAAGAAAGCCUAAAGGCCUGCAAUCACCGUCACACAUGUUGCUUGUUUCUUGCUUUCUUUCUUUCUCAGAAAGUAGUUUAGUUUCUUUAUUAUAGCUAAAGAAUCUCUCUUUCUUCUACUGUUACUACUACCACACUCUGCUUUUCAAGACCACCUUUUCUUUAUCUAAACAAGCAGUGAUAAUAAAUAAAUAAUAAUAUUAGUGUUUACUUUUCUUGAUCUGUUAUUAGAGAGGAGAGGAUCAGCAGACGCGUACUGUAUUUAUGAGGACAGCGAGGAAGAGAGCCACGUUUGAUGCUUUUUGUUUUCUUUAAUCAAACAACACCACACACAUCAGAAUUUAGAAUAAAGGAAAAACAAAGUCAUCUUUGCUCUGUAAAGGCAUGAUCUUCCAAGAAAAGCAACAUCAUUUAUGAUUCACCCACGUUUACUUUUUGCCUUUGACCAGUAUUUAUUGCUCUCUAUUAUUUGUAUUAUAUACACUCCCUUUCAAAAGUAUAAUUUACUUUAACUUUAUACAUAAUCUUCUUUUAUAUAAUUCAUAUCAUUAGUUUCAUUAUUUUUUUUAAAUAUAUUUUUAUUAGACGUUUUAAGUUUAAGACCAUUUAUUUUAAUUUUUUUUAAAUUGACAAAAUUAUAUUAUUGUUAUCAUACACUCUCCAUUCUAUAUUAACUCUUUAUUAUUUAAAAAAAAUAUUGAAUAAGAUUUAAUUAUAGCUGAAAUUAUUUUAAUAUUAUUGUAAAAAAUAAAAAUUAAUAUUUUAAAAUUUUUUCAUUUGAAAAAAGAGACGGUUAAUCUGUGAAGAAUAUUAAUGUAACAUAUUUAUAUUAUAUGUGAGAAUAUUGGAUGGAUAAAAAAGAAGAAUAAACUCUCUUUUCUUCUUUCCAAAACAAAGAGUAUCUUUUUAUCUUCUCAAAAGAUGGGAAUUAUUGUGUUCAGCAAUUUUGUUUUAAAAAAAUAAAACUAUUAAGAACCUAUUUGAAAUAUAUCUUUUAAGAUUUAAAGGUUUUGAUGAACGUAUUAGAUUGCAGAGAUUUUAAAUUUCUGUAAAAAUUGUUAAUUUUAUUGAUUUGGUAUGUAUAUCAAAUUAAUGGAUUAAUUCAUGGAAUGAAUUAAAAAAGUUCAAUAAUCUUCUUAUUAAAUUGAAAUAUUUUACACAACCUACCAUCCUAUAUGAAUUUCUUUUAUUUUUUAUGACAACUCUAAAAUAGUUUUUAUAUUUUUAAAUAAAUGAGAUAUAUUUUAAAAAUCUAUAAAAUUUUAUAUCAUUUUAUUUCAAUCAAAUAAUAAAUUCUGAAAAAUCUUUGGUAAAAAAUUCUCAAAACAAAGGAUAGACAAGAAAGAUGCUAAAAGAUAUCAUGCAAAAGCACAAUAAGAAAGAAUGGUAAUUCUUAAUUUUUGUUAUAGUGGGCAUCACAAAAAUAUAAAAAGAAUAUAAGGAUUCUGGGUAGCUGUAGUUUUCAGAUUUUAACAAAACAAGGAAAGAAAGGUCAAGCAAGUGAGCCAUGUAAUUAGCAUUUGGAUACACGUAAAAGCAUCUUCAUUUUGACAAAUCAAUCUUUAUGAUUAAUAAGAUAAGUAUCUGCUAUAGUAGAAACCUUAUGAUUUUUAUUAUUUAUGAUAAAUAAUUAAAAGACCCACAAGUAACAUUUAUGUUUCAGACCCAAGAACUGAACUUGCAUUGUAUUAAUUAGCAUUCCUGAUAGUUUAUUCCAUCCUGACGAUUGAUUGUUUUUUCUCUGUUUCUUUUUGUUCUUUUUAAUUAGCAUUAUUAAGACAGUAAUUGGCAAUUCAAGCUUAAAUGGUAAUCCAUGCUAGACACAGCAUUAGUUUAAUAGCAAGGCAAUGAAUGAGGAUGGAUAGAGUUGAGCAGCUUGUCCAAGAGAUUACUGGAUCACAACAAUUUCAUAUGAAAGACUAAAUCUACUUAUAAAUGAAUUAAGGAAGCGGUUAGAGUCUACAUUAUAUGGGUAAAUUUAUGCUGAGCAGCUCAAGGAUAUAAUUACAUAGAUGAUCAUUGCUCUAAUAUCAGAAAAUAACACAUGCCACGGCUAAAAAUGAAGCAAAGCUACACUAAACCAAGCUCAGUGGACUUCGGCAGAUACAUGAAAGUCAAGGAAAGGGCAGGAGCACAUUAAGUCGCCAGAAUCUUUCAAACUCAGGAUAAAAUGAAGCUGCAGUUACACUUCCAAUCCAGAAUGGCAUGCCCUCUUGUUAUGCCCGCAUUACCGCUAUGCUAGUUGAGUUAUGUAUAUGAGUUUCCAAGGUCACAUGUUCAAGCCCCCAAAUCAGGAUAAGUUCUAUAUAUACUGAGCAAAAGAAAAAAAAGAGGGAUUAAAAACUAGAGUUCAUAUGAUCACUCAUAGUCAAUCACAUACUGGUUAAAUAGCAACCGCAUUGAAAUUUUGCAUCAGAACAUCCACUUACCCUCGAGUUUCAGCUGUUAAAUGAGCAUCAAACUGGGGGCUUAUUCAAACUUGCGUUUUCACACUCCAUGGAGAUGAUUGAAGCAAGUCUAUCAUAAACCUGCAACAUUAAUUGCCCUCAUAUUCUAAUUCUCCCCUUAAAAAGAAUAGUUAAUCUCCCAGAAGUUGCAUUUACCCUUGUGUGUACAUGUGUAGGUGUAUCUGAGAGAGAGGGACACAUACAGAGAGAGAGAGAGAGAGAGAGAGAGAGAGAUCAGUCACAGACCACAGAGAGCUGCUCGUUUGUGCCCCGUUUCUCAUUCUUGUCUUGUUUAUUUGUAGAUGAUGCAUCAUACCUACACAGCAGAUGGUUCAAUAAUCCCAUAAUAAAUUACACCGUUUACAUGCAGAUCUUAAAGGCAGUUCCUAUUCUAUUUCUAUUAAAAGGGACAAAUCAAGGAUCAUAGAUUAGGCAUCAUAUUAUUGCACAACUGAUCCUACCAGUCACGGGGAAUCCCAGCUUCUUCUCUUGCCGAAUGAUUAAAGGGCCCUUUCAACUCCACAUUGUACUCCCUUAAUAUGUCUGCAUGCUUAUCCCCGAAAAAUUUUAAAACUUCGCAAUCAAAUAUUUUGCUUGCCCGGUACGGGAUAAUACUAUUACUAUGUGCCACNNNUGGAGAGGAGGACAGCCCACUUUCUGACAAACAGAGAUAAACCAGUAGACACCAACAGCUACAUGAGCAACUUCUUCAUCAGAAAUUCUAGCCACAAUUUUAGAUGUCUUAGAAUCUCCAAAACCAAUCAAUUUUUGCACUAGCCUUGGCCCGGCAUCAAGUCCUCUUGCCUCCUAUGUAGAUAAAAAUAGAAAGACUGCUUAAAUUUUCCUCAUCAAACAUCAAAUAUCUAAUAUUGGAGGGCCAGGGGGAGGAAGUGUUAAAAAUAUCUGAAAAUAAAUCCCUAAAGUUGGUAAUAACACCUGUACACAUAGUGAGAGAAUUUACUUCAAACAUAGGCCUAGAAGAUUUAACCUUAUCACAAGUAUCAAGGUUAUACAACAGAAAAACAAAAAGAAAAUAGUGACCGGAGUAUAACCCAAAUUUUAAAACUAAAACUUAUCCAGUCUAAGUAUCAUGACUGCCCCUUUUAAGGGGAAAAAAAAUCCUACUUUGCAUCUGUUAUUAGGCAUGUCAUAAACUGUCUCAAGCUCAUUGCAAUUUCACUUUGUAAGAAAUUCAGGUAGUCUAACUGUUCUAACUGUUCAAAUACCGUUUUCAUAUUUUGAGAAUUCAUAGCUCCUUGAAAGUGAAGUUCCCAGAAUGCAAUAAAACAAAACUGCACUUGCUAGACUUUGAUUUGGGUCUUCUAUUCUUAUUACAAUUAUCUCUUCUCAUCACGUUAGUAUUAAAUAGCAUAAUUCCACUUAACGACUAGAGAAAAAUGCAUGCCAUGAUACUAGUAAUCGGAGAAAACAUGCAGCUGAAAGAAAGAACAAAUAACUGCAAUUAAACUCAUGGUCUUCAACCAUAUGAUGUCUUAAUUCAUGGAAUUGAAAUACAACCAUAGAUAAACAGGAAAAUCUAGAAAGAAAUCAUGUGAAAUUAAAAGAAUACACAACAACGCCACUCUUUCCAGUCCCCUUCCCUGCUAACUUUUCCCCUUUGCACAAACCCAAAGAAAAUUAGAGAAGCUGCUUCCUCCAUUGACACACGUGGUUAUUCUGUACAACUUAAAGAUGGUCUACUUUAACAUCAUAGUGUCCUACAAGAAUCAUCAAAUUUGAGAGAUCUGAACAUACAAGACAAGGAAGAAUCAGAGUAGAACAACUUAUUAAGAAGUUCGAAGAACCAGCAAUCAGUUUUACUUUGGUUAGCAGAUAGCAUAUGGAAAUUACACAGUAUAGUUACCAACUACUUCAGCCUGUUUACUCGGCCACCAUGCUAGUAAAAUUAUCAGGUUUUGGUUCACUAAUCAACUCACAUUCCUCAGGUGAUAGUUACUGCUUCCUUUUUUCUUUUACAAUUGGAUUAGAAGCCUUCCACUUUUCCAACCAACAAUAAUAAGCAUACAAUAUUUUUCAAGUAUUCAAAAUGGUUACUGUACUUGAUAUCACCAAGCAUUUUUAGCUAUUUAAGGAUGAAAGUUAACUAAAGGAAAAUCAAGCAAUGCAAAUCACCGUCACACUGUACUUCUCUGCAUAAGCAAAUUUUAAUAGCUGCUAUCUAGAAAAUAUAUAUUUAAACCAAUACCUGGACUAGUGGGAUCACUGCCAAUCGUGCAGCAACACUGUCAGAUGAUUUUUUGCAUUCCCUCCACAACAAAUUAUGAGCAGGCAUAUCUCCAUACCUAAUCAGCAUGGAUUAAAACAAAAACCAACAAUCAACUAAUUUGAUACUUGAAAAACGAUUCUCCUUACUUGAAACCAAGGUCAGCAAGUCUUUGAGAGCACCAAGCAAAAUGGCGACUCUCAUCAUCAGCAACAUGUGCAAAGUCAGCAAAGAAUCCUUCUCCAAGAGUCUCACUGAAAGGGGAAAAACGUACAACCGUGUCCCAUGCCAAAUCAAUUGCAUUUAGCUCCACAUGAGCAAGAUUAUGGAGCAUAUAAGCAUUGAGAGGUAAGCCUGAAUCUUUGGGGGCAGGAAUUUCCUUCGGGGAAACCUAAAUCUCAAAAAUUUAGCAAAGAUGAACACAUGAAUAUCUAACUACCACAUCAACAGCAACAAAGAGAAUUUAUCUACGUGGAGAUCACCAAAACUCACUUGGGACUUCAUUCAUAACAUUAACAAAGUUGAAUAGAUAAAUGAGGGAUAGCUGAACCAGCAAAUUUCCAAAUUUGACUUGAUUGUUUUAAAAAGGUAAAGGGGACAAUUUCACGAACAAUAGCAGCCACAGUCACUAUGAAAUUGUAUAACAAGUCCAGUUCUAACUGCAUGAUUUUGAAAGGUAACUAUACUCUUUGAUGCUAUUGAGCAGUUCAGGGGAACUACAAAUGACUGGCAUUUAAGAGAUAAUUGACAAACAACCCACAAUUGAAUAGAGUCCCUAACUUUCGACGUUUGAAUAGAAAACACAAGAUAUAAAGAAGCAAAAGAAAUCAUAAACAAUUACGAAAAAUUUCGUUUUAAAAUUUUGAGAUACCCAUGAAAGAACAUAGUUUUGGAUAGGGAAUCAACAAAAAGAAAACUAACCAAUUCAGGCUUAGGAGGUCUAGCGGGUGUAGAAGGUGGGACAAAAGAUCCAAUGGGAAGCUUGUGGUUGCGCCACUUAGCGAAAGCGAGAUGGGAAAGCUUGGAUUUUUUGAGAGGAUCACUGGUGGAGAGAACAAGAGCACCAAGCUCAGCAAGAGAGGAAGCAGAACCCAGUUCAAUUUCAUACUGAUUGGCAUCAGAUAAUGGUGAUUGCGGUGGUGGAGGUUGUGGGCCAUUGGGUCCCCAAAACCGGUUUUCAUUGAGGGGACUGUCUCGCCAAGACUUGAGACCUGACCAUGGUGAAAACUCCAAUGAAGAAGAAGAAGAAGAAGAAGAAGAAAAGGAGUUAGCUUUGAGAAAAAAACGUGGCAGAGAUGGAGAAAGCAUCAACUUUAUUUUGAGGGAUUGCAUCAUUUUGCGACUGGUCAGGUUGUUGCAUGGUUUGCAAGUAGUUUAUCUGUUAUUCAUGUUUGGGUCCAAAUUCUUUUCAUUUCUAGAGGUUUUCUCUUUCUCUUUUUUUUAUUUAACACAAAUAUUCAAAAAUGGGUAUAAAAAAUUGGUAUAGUGAAUUUUGGAAGGAAACAAUAGGAUAUGUUGUGCGUUUCAUGGAAUAAUAAUAAUACAUUAUAGUAUCUUAUAUUCCAUUGCCAGAUACGAAGUAAAAUGCAGAUGCAAACGCUUCUCGACUAACAUCCAACUACAGAAUGCCCCUCGCAUGGAGCAGGAAAAAGUGAAGCCCUUGCGACGAAGAGGAUGCAAUUCAUACAUACAACAGCCCAAGCGGCAAGUAUGGUUAGUUGAGCAGGGAUUAUAUAAAGUGACCAGCAUAUUAGGAGUAAAUAUGAAGAUAAUGUUACGUUACGUAUCACUUGAUGAGCUUGAAUUACAGAUUAUCUUUUGUAUAACACCAAAGAAUCCUGAAUCUGCAAGGAGAUAAUCAACAACAAAGUUAUCGGAGAAACUAACAUGAGUAGCAUUAGUUAGCCAUGUACACGUGCUACAGAAAACAAACCAUCUGCUCUUGUAUCUAAUCAUCGCCACAUCCCCUACCAAAAUAUUAUACAAAUUUCUGACUAAACAAAUUAAGCCACUUGUAGAUUCAAGAAGCCAAUCCCAAUACAGAGACCCCGCCCCCAACCCUCUGCAGUCGCACAAUAAUAGCUGGCCUCUCCAAACUGUACACCAAUUGCAGAUUCCACGGGGAAAAUCAUCAUAUGACCUGUGUUCCAUCAGAUCACCAUCUACUCUAAGUUUUUCUGGGAACUGAAACAGAACAAUGAUUGUGCCAUUAGAAAGUUGCUUCCAACUCCAAAAAAAAAAAACAUAUCAACAAAGAUAUAUCGAAAAUAAGAUACUCAUUGACUGAUGAUGCAAAGGAUAGGAAAGAAAGGCUAGGCAACACCCCUAAGAGAUUUAGGAAAGAGAAAGCUAGGCAACANNNCUACUGCAAAUUCCAAGUGGAUAUAUUUAACAAGGCCAUUGGAAAAUGUAAUGCCAUGUUCUAGAUAAAGCAAAGCUGCAGCAUUGGUUCUCCCACUUUCAAAUUGAAUCGGUAUAUUAAGAAUAGAAUCUCGGAGCUGUAUAAGAAAACAUGUAUAUAUAUAUAUAUAUAUAUGCUCCAGAGAGCUCCACCUUCCACUUCACCUUCUUACAGACAUCUAUGUAGUCCCCAGUUCUGCUAGAGAAAAAUGUGGGUUAAGGACAUAUAGAGUGUCAGCCUACUAUUUAAGAGAUUAUCCUACUACAGCUCUAACCUAGCAGACCCUGAAGCCACCAAGCCUGUACCAUGCAGUUUGCACUAAACUCUGACUAAUGCAUUAGUCAUCCGAACACAACCUGCUUUGGUGUUUUAAGAUCUAUCCAAAUAUGCCAAAACUAUAUUAACAUCGAACAUAUUAAGGAAUAAAAAAAGGUCAUCUCAUUUGAACAUAAUCCUACAAUCCAUUCUUCUUAGACCAUAUAGUACUAACACCAGCCCUUUUUGCUACUUCAAACUUAGCAUGCAGUUCAACAUAUUCUCCAGCACUCCUUGCUCUGAUUCAAGUAACAAGUUUCAAAUAUUUACAUCAUCCCAAGGAAAAUUGUUAUAAGAAUACAUGGUUUUUAUGCUACAUAUACUAUCCCGUGACUUCAAAGUUUCAAAAACAAACUAAACAGCGAGACUAAAAUAUCUGGAGCAUCAAUUUGGCCAAUCCAUUACUCAGAUUCUGGGGAAUGUUACAUGUAUACUACUUAACCAAUGUCAGCAAUGCUCUCUUCUCCUGUACCAUCCUGUAGAAUUUAUUAUCAAUCACCCAUCCCACAAGAUAAGUAUGGCAUGCCUUUCUAGGAGGUAAAUAGAAAAAGUCUUAAAGUGCACCUAUUAAAGAAUGAGCUCACAGAUAAAUUUAAAUUGAGUGUUGCCAUGAGGGCUUUAACCUAUAGCCAAGACUCAGUCGCACACAACAGUAGCGACAAAAAAAAAGGCAUCUUACAGAAUUAACUUGGGGAUCGCAAGAAGAAUAAAGGUUAGCUACCAAGCUAGUAACCUCAAACACAACUUUCAGUAAGUAUGAGCUGAAUAACCAAAGACAAAUAUACAAGGACUCCAAUAGUAUGAAAAUCCAAAUGAUUAAACAUACUUUUGGAAGAAACAAGUUUGAGAUGUAUGCAGACCAAUUAUGGUUAGACAUGAUACAAUAACAAGCGCUUUCUUUUUCUACUCAGAAAAAACAACAGGAUAGAACUGGUAUUUAAGGUGACGAAAUAUAAUGGUUCACAUCACUACUAAGAUUGUAUGCAGACCAGUAAAUGCUUUAAUUUUUCCAACAAUACCCAGGCUAAGUAUGAAUUAUUUAUUUUCUACAAAAAAUAGCAUGUGAUGUAACAUGAGAAAAGAAAUCCUUACUUAUACAACAUGUUUUUCCAGGAAAAAAAGAAGUCGUAAUAGAAUAUGAAAAGAAGAAACCACUUCAAGGCAUUUUGAAAGAAGGCCCCAGUAGAAAUAGAGACAAACCCAAAGAUCAGAUUUAUUCCUUUUGCUGAUGACUGAUCUUCCACAUUAAAUUCCAAAUAGCAGGUAGCAGUUUUACCAGUAUCUUUAUCCCCCCGAAAGAAAAAAAAUAGAAGAAACCAGUUUAUAAAUUAUAAACAUGGGCCACAGCACUUCAAUAUUUCCAUUUGACAAUGUUAUUAUAACUCCCAACCAUGUUGCUAUAUUUUAACCACAUAUACUUCCUAACUUACCCACUUUCUCCCUUCUCUAUGUUCUAGUGGUAAGGGAAAAAGGAAACACAGCUGAUAUGCCAGCCAUCCACUAAACAGAAAAUACUCUCCAUUUUCAUGGCAACAUGUCACAUGUAAUCCCAAUUUGAUAAAUUUUUUAUUUAAAAAGUCAAUUUUUUUUAUCUCCCUCAUCAUAGAAAGCAUAGGCAUUACAUGCCCGACUUACAGAUGACACAAAAUUCAGAACCACCUUCCCAUAAACCCAAAAAUGCGUGAAAAAAGUUUAUGCUUUUAAACCUAUUGCUAGCAAAUUGCAAUCUCCCUUGUGAUCUCACCAGCACAUAGUUGAUAGUAGCAAGUCGUAUGUCAAAAAACCUCAACGGCAGAUAAAUAAUGAGCAUAUUUUAGCUAAAUUCAUUCAUCAAGAGUAGAACAGAUUGCCAAAUUAUGCAAUAUAGAAUCAAUCUAAGUUUUUAGAAAAUCCAUAAGAGGACCUACCAUAACUACUCAACUCCUUGGUUAAGGCCCUACAUCAGAUUCAGAUGUUGAGGAGCUGUCACUAUCAGAGUCUGCAGUUACAGUAAAAGAUAAAUUUCAGUACAUCAUCAAAUCAUUGCUAGAGAAAUUAUAUCCACACAUGUAGGGGGAGGGGGGGAGGGGAACAUAGCAAAACUUAUAAGAAAAUAUUGCCAUACCACUUGAAGAACCAGAAUCACUGCUAGAGCUGCUUGAACUACUUGAUCUAGUUCCAUUAUCUCCCUGGUUCUCCACUUGAACAGGUGAUGAAGUGGACACAUUCCUUUCAUCUGCUUGAGUAACACAAGACAAUAAACAAAUGAUAAAUAAAUAUCAAACAAGCAAAAAGUCAAAUUCCAUCAAUUAUUAUGAUCAAACUAUCUAUACCUGUUUUAGUUCCUUGUGGUGGUGCCACUACCGCUGCCGGUGUCUGCAAAGACUGAAAAAGAAAAUCCAUUGGGAAACCAUUCCUUUAUAAGGCUUAAGCAUUACAAGGAACAAUUAAAGUUCUUACCUUCUCCUGGACAUUCCGCUCAGCUUCUGCUCUGGCUUGACUGGCAAGUUCAGCUUUUCUCUUGUUCUUGCUUAAACUCUUCUUGUAGUUGGUAACAAAUCUAUCCAGUUCCCAAAGGGUCUCCGCAUCAACACUGUCAAUAUCCACUUCAAUUUCAUCAUCAUGUUGGCUAAGAGAUGAAUUUCUCUUCUUUAUUAUCUGGACAAUAUUGUCCAGCUUCUCCGAAGGUAAACUCUGAAGAUUUGUGCUAAGCUUCUGUUUCUCAUCAUAAGUCAUGUCCCUCUUGUGUGGAUCCUUUGCCUUAGGCUUUUUUGGAGCAGGGGUCCUCCCUGAAGGAGUCGUACUAAUAGGUUUUGAUCUGGGAUCAAUAGGUUGAUACCUCAUUGAAUCUGAUCUAUCCAAAAUUCUCCUCAUAUCAAGAGGAGGGGGUGGUAGUGGAGCUUUUCUUGAUGUUGGUGUAGGAAUACCAAUACCACAACCAACAACAAACCUCAUCUCCCGAUCAAACUCUGAUUUUAUAACCACCCACCUGUCUUCAAAUAGCUUCAAUAGUAUCUCUGCCAUCACGUGAACAUCUUGCCCCUUCGGAUUAUACCUCAUAGCAUUAUGAAAUGUUAGUCUGACAUCCUCUGCGAACUCUUCAGGUGACUUGUACCAAUUCUUGUUCAGCCUCGUCUUCACAGUACCCAAGUCCAUAGGAUGCUUGAUUAUGGUAAAGUAAUCAUGCAAACCAAGUCCCUUUACAUCCACAGGAGAUUUAAACACCCAACCGUAUUUAUGCUUCAUCAAUUUCUCAAGCAAAGCACUACAGUUCUUGAAAAUCUUAGAUGCCGCUCCAAACCCAAAUCCCAUAUCCCCUCCCCCUUGCUUCUUCCCAUUCAAUUUAGACUUCUUGUUACUCUCUGCUGGUGGAAACUUGUCUUUUGCCAACAGAAACUCUGAAUUCCUGUAGAACUGAUUUGCCUUUGGCGUCCUUUUCUCUUUCUCCACAUUCUCAACUGCGCCCUGGCUAUUCUCGAACACUGAUAUACUAAGCUGAUUCAGAGGCCUAGACUGCCUAGGAGUAGGAGUAGCAAUAGGAGUAGUAAUAUCAUGAGAAAGACCUACAGAAACAACCUCUGAAUUAACCCUCUUUAAUCCGUUAUAUACCCGGUCAUUCAGAGAUACUUGCAAAUUGCUUAACUCACUGACACCAAGCUGCACUUCUUUAGCUUCAAUCUUCUUCACCAGACUCCUUACCAUAUCAAGUUCACUCUCCAACUUCCUUCUAAGCUCUUUCAUCUCCUGCUUAGACUUGGACGCCAAAUUUAUCUUCACUUUAUCAUUCAAGCCUUGCUUCACCACCCCAUUCUCAGCAGUUGCAUCCCGGCCACUAGGAGCCACCUCCGCUGCACCUUGCUGCCUAUUAAGGCUAGAAGAGUCAUCCGAAUUAGCUUCCAGGCGAGAAACAGGCUGCUGCUGGGCAGAAUUCGUGUCUUCCAAAGCCGGGGUUUGCGAUUCUGGCACUUGAAUUGAAUUGCUCUUGUUGUUCCUCUCAUCCUUAUUUAUCUUAUUUUUCUCAUUGUCCCUAUUGUCGUCGCAGUUGGCAGCACUCGCAGUUUCAGUGGUAGUAAUUGUUGUGUUCGUAAUGCUUAGGUCCACAGUGGCGUUGUUAGCGGUGGCUGUGGUGGUGGUGAGAGCAGCAGUGGCUGUGGCGGUGGUGGUGGUGAUACUAGCAGCGUUAGCGGUGGUGGUGAUGGUGGGACUGGCAGCGCUCGCUGUGGUGGUGGGAGGGGCAGGGUUCAAGGUGGCGGUGGUGGUGGGAGGGGCAGGGUUCAAGGUGGCGGUGGUGGUGGGAGGGGCAGGGUUCACGGUGGUGGUGGUGGUGGUGGUGUUGAUAUUAUUGAUGUUAUUUUUAGGUCCUUUAAAAGCUUUCCUUGUAUAAACUUUACUCUCACUAUACCUCUGUUUCUCUCUUGUAGCUGCUCCAUCAUUAUUAUUUACACCUCCUUCGCCAACUAUAGUCCCCGAAGCCAUACAUGUAACUUCAAAACCCUAACUUCUCUUCAAAUCCCAAUACUAGGGUUUUUCACCUCCCUGUCUGACCACCACACCAAAACCCUAAUUUUGCCCCAAAAUCACAGCUGAAUUAGGGCAAAAACAGACACAACAGAAACCACCAAACAAAAGCCUAAACCAGAGCUCGAAAUUUUCACGAUCUACCACUCUAAUCAAAAACUAAAUAUACACAAACAGCAAAUAGAUAACCAUCUAUCUACUACUAUAUACACAGGCUCAUAUUAGAGAAAGAUACGAUCUUUUUAGGGUUAGGGUUUCGAGCUUUUCCUUCACCUUUCUUUCUUCUUCUUUUUUUCUCCUCUCUAAUCUGGAACCGAAUCGAUCAGAUCUCCUUUUACGCUCUUUCUCUCUCUAGAAAAAAUUCUCUCUCUAAAAAAAAAACGACCCUCAAAACUAUACCCCUUAUCUUACAGGUGUACGGUUCACAUGCAUUCGUGUUUAAAAGAGUCGUGUUGGCGAAGCAUUAUGACAAAAAUCAGCAGUGCUGAACUCACGCGUGAGGCUUGUGCGUGGCAAGCAAUGACCAAUUGGAAACGAGAGAGUUUGGAGCGUGGUCUCCACGGGGGAGUAAGGUUUGUAGAGGGUUUAGUGGCGCGGAGUUUUGAUUAUGGGAUUUGAAGAGUUUGCUAAAGUGGGGAAUAUGGCGCGUGGAGUUUAGUCGCCGGGGAGGGAGUUGAGGUGUGGGCGGUUAGCAGCCGGAGAGAUUUAACACGCGCCGAUGCUUUUGCUGCUAGUUGGGAGGGUUUUAGACUUUUAGUUAGUUAAGAGGUUCAAAUUGUGACGAUGUGGCAAAUCCAGGCCCAAAUUUGAUGAUUCGAGGCGGUCACAUUUAAAAGUCAGCCAACUUUUGAGAAAUAUUUUAAAAUUAAUAAAAAAAUUAUUUUUACUGUGUAAUUUUUUUUAAAUAUGAUGUAGUUGUUUUUUAGUUUUUUUUAGUUUUUUUUUACUUGAGUAUUAUUAAAAUUAUAUUGAAAAAAAUAAAAAAAAUCAUAUUUUCUGUGUUUUUACAUAAUAGAAAUUAAAAAAAAAAAUUACACUAUAUUUUUAUAAAAAAAAUAAAAAAAAAAGAGAUAUGGAUACUUUUGUUUUCUUUUUCUUUAUAAUAACUUCAAUGCCCAAUUAAUAAAAAAUAGUUCAAGCUUUUUAAAGUAUACGAAAAGGAAUAAAGUUUAAUUUAGCUCUUUGACUUUGUAAUUAGGUUUAAUUUAAUUUUUUUUAAUUGUUUAUAGUCAAUUUAACUUCUAAACUUUAUAAAUAAAUUCAGUAUAGUUCGUUUUUAAGAGAAUGAAAUUUUACACUCAAUUUUUAAUAUAGGCUCAAUUUAGUCACUCAAAUUUAAUCCUAAGAAAUAAUUUAAAUCGUAAUUGAUUUAGUUAUAUAACUAAAUUUAUAUAUUAAUUUUUUAUAUUUUAAAUUAGUUGGUGAAAGUCAUAUGGAGGCUGAUUAAACGAUGAUAAUGGUGAUAUUAUAUUAUAAAAUCUCAUAAAUAUUUUUAUUUUAUAGUAAAAAUGUUGAUAAUUCUUUAUUGAUUUGUGAGAAAAUAAUGGCGGCGAUAGUCAAUUGGUUUUUAUGUUUUAUUGAGUUAUGGUAAUUUAAUAUAUAUGUAUAUAAUUUAAUAUUAAAUUAUAAUAUAAUUCUAAUAUCUAAUAUAUCUAUAUAAAUUAGAAUCUAAUAUAUAUAAUUAAAUUAGAAUAUAACUCUAAUCUAAUAUAAAAAUGCUAAUCUAAUAUAUAAAAUUAGAAUAUAUAUAAUAUUAUAUAAUAUAUAUAUAUAUAUAUAUAUAUAUAUAUAUAUAUAUAUAUAUAUAUAUAUAUAUAUAUUAACUUAGAAAAAGAAUAAAGUUCAAUUUGGCCUUUUAACUUAUCACUUGAGUUCAAUUUAGCCCUCAAACUUUACAGUUAGGAUCACUUUGAUGCUUUUCACGUACUUGUUAUAACGCAUGCAAUGAACUCACUUAGAAAUUGGCUAAAUUAAACUUAUUCGAAAAAUUCAUGGGUUAAAUUAGUCGUAAAAGUUAAAAAGGAUCAAAUUAAAUCUGACUAUAAAGUUUGAGGGCCAAAUUCAACCUUAUUCCUACAUGGAAAUAUCAACAAACUACUACUAGCAUACACAAUCAAAUUGCUGACAUUAAUGUUCAAAUGGCAAGAGCAUUUGCUCUUGGGAGUGAAAUGUCUCCAUUUCAGGUCAUCUUCCCCACAUUAGGUGAGCUUUCAUAUUUAUAGCGAAUAUAAAUGGAUAACUACCCUUACUAUGUAGUUUAUAGCUUGUUAAUCUUUCAAUAAAUAAAUAAAAAUACUAACAUUAUCAACUGUCACGACCCAAUCUGUAGGCCUAUGACCGGCGCUAAGAAAUGGGUAAGCUUAAGGCAACCGAAACCCAUAACAAAUCUAACUAGCUAAUGAUCUAAAUAAACACAUACAUAAUUAUAUACAACUAAUAAUAAUGCUAAUAAUAAUCAAUAAUUAUUAUUAAUCAAUUAAUGUUGUAUUUAAUUUGGACAUGACAUAAGAGCAGUUAAUUAUAUGACUUUAACUCACUGUUCUAUUGCGCUCCGCAUUAUGCUCCUACGCCUUAGGUGGAGUUGGCUGGACGAACGAAUUAUCUAUUUAUGAAAACAACUCAAUUAAUAAAAUAUUCUUAAUUUUUUCUAGAUCUAGACUCUUAAAUUAAAUUGUUUAAAAAAAUUUCGACUCGAAAAUUCUACCAAAAAUUUUAGCAAAAUCUCUUCUAAAAUAUGGGCGUUUACCCCGCGGGUCCAGAACUUUUUUAAAACACUUCAUAUAUUUCAUAUUUAUUUAAUAGAAGUCGGGCCAGCAAAACUAUAUUAUUUUUCCGACUUUGCAAUACAACCCAAUUCACAAUACAAAAAUUAAUAGUUCAGCAAAAUAAUAUUAUUAACGAUACAUCACAUAAACUUUUUUUCUUGCAUUCCAAUCAUAUGACUAAUUAAUUAAAUAAUUUAAUUAAUUAAUUAUAACUAAUAAUUUAUACAAAUUAUUUUUUAAUAAUUUUUAAAUUUUAGAUAAAAUUAUACGAAGUCGAAAUCCGAAUUUGUGAGCAUUUGGAAUAUACUUGGGGUUCAAAAGCAGGUGUCGCCAAUUGGAUUUCGAAUCUGGAAACGCUUACGCGAAUUUUGAAUUACAAGGAGUCCGAGUAUGCAAAUAUUUCUGCCGAAAACUUGCCGGAAGCCACCAGAUCGAGGUCGGAAAAUUUCGGCUCCGGUAAGGCUAUACAGAGGCUGCUGGCGGGGGACUUGGCUCGGGAGUUUUCGACCGCGGGAAGCUCGUUUCUAACGUCGGAUUCGCAAUGUAAGGGCGGCAGAAGGCUGCAGUUGCAGUCGUAGCAAGGAGGAGGGUUUCCUUCCUCCAAAACUAUGUUGGCAGUAAAAAGGAAGAAGGAGGAGGCGAUGUCAGUGAGGGAAGGAGAAGAAAAAAGAGUUUGCGGCGGCGACAGAGAGAGGUGGCAGGCGGCGAAAAUGGGAAGGAGAAGGAAGAAGAGGGUGACGGGGAGGGAAGAGAAAGAAGAAGAGGGAAAAAAUUUGUUAUGCGUGUGUGUUUUUUAUAUUUAUUUUUUAUCUUUUUUAUUAUUUAUUUAUUUAUAAAUAUAAAAUAUUAAUUCAUCAAUAAUUAAUAUGAUAUAAAUUUAAAAAUUUAUCAAAUUACUCUAAUAAAAAUUAAAGUAAUUAAAAUUUGAAUUCAGGAAUAUUACAUCUACUUUUUUCAAUAUUUUUUCUUAUUUUCUUUUAAGAAAUUUUAGAGUCUAUAAGCAACCGUUAUUCUAUUAAAAACAAAGUUAAAAGAAAAGAAAUACAAUAAUUGUUAUGUAAAAAUCCCAUUACAGAUAUUAAACCCAUAUAAAAAUGCCCUGGGACAAUUGUUAAAGAAAAGGAUCUACAAACAAUAAGUAAUAGAGGCAAAUAAAUAGAUAGAAGAGGCAGGAGCAAACUGCAAUAUAAAUACAUAUUGAGAAUUUACUUAUGAUAACGUCAAAUAAAUAUGUAUUUGAAAUCUAUUUAUUUCUUCUAAGUGUAAUUUUAUUAUGUUGUAAUGCCAUGUGUUAUUACCAAAUUUAUAUAUGGUAGCUGCUUUAAUAUACUGAUUGAAACUAAGAGACUCAUUAGAAAAGUCCAUGAACUGUAAUCUUAUAAUCUAGAACCAACAUGAGUAGCUCUUUUUAAUUGAUCUUGAAAUAUGUGGCAGUUUAAGUAUGGAGUUAAUUAAAGGAAAAAUAAUAAAAAUAUUUAUUUUUUAUUAAAUUUUUCUAUUAUAUAUUAAAAUAUUAAAAAUAUAGUUUUUUUUAUCUUUUCUUUUUUAAAAUUACAGUUUUGAUUGUUUUUUGAUUUUUAUUUUAUUAUUUUUUGACAAAAUAACUAAAAAUAAUAAAAAAUAACUAAAAAAAUUAUACCAUAUUUAAAAAAGUUAAAGAAUAAUACUUUUUAAGAAGAUUUUACACAGGAAAAAUCAUUAUUUUUUAUUGAUUUUAAAAGCUCUCUUGAUUAAACAAUAAAAGUUCAGGGGCCAAAUGACGCAUUUGCCUUGUGACAAUUAGUUUGAAUCAGGUUAUUGUGGGCCUUGGACAUUGAAUAUAGGAAAAGUAAAAAUUCGUAUAAUGGGCUUACACCCAUUAAAUGGGCUUUCUUGUCUGACAAUUCUUACAUCUUUACAUUGGACCUACUGGGCCUAAUCUGCUUUGGUUAUUGCUAUGUGUAAUCUCAUUUUUUUUUUCUCAAAUUUAUUAAAAAACUAAAAAAAUCUUAUUUCUUUCGUGAAUCAAUACUAUAAAGAAAAAAAUUACACGCCUGAAAAUUAUAGGCUCAUAUAUAUAUAAUAAAAACAUCAUUACUUAUUAUUGUUAAUGAUUAAGUUUUUUGACUUUCAAAUGUAAAAAAUAAUUAAAAUACGUCUUAAUUAUUUAAUAUUUUAAAAUAUUUUUAUGAUAUAUUUAAUACUUAUAUUGUUGAACAUAUUUUAAUAGAUUCAAAUAAUUAUUAUUAAAGAAACGUAUAUUCAGAUGUCGUUUGUAAAUGAACACUUGAUAACCUAUCCUUUUGGUUAUUACAAGAUUAUGUUAGUGAUUAGUUAUUUAAUCUAACUGUUUAAGAAUGUAAGAAUAGAUUUCUAUUGUUAACUCUUAUUAAUUGUCAAGCAUAUUUUCUCUACAAAUAGAAGACUUUUAUGGCCUUUGACACCUCUCCAAUCCAUUUUUAUUUAUUUCUCAAGAAACUAAUUAAAGAAAUAUUCAAUUAUUCUCAUUCAUCCAAAUAAAAAGAUUUAAACACUAUUUUCCUAUUCUUUUUCUUGUAUUCACCUAAAAUAAAAUAUAAUAAAUCAUUUCACCUCAAAAUAAUAAAAAGAGAUAUAAUACGUUUUCUAAAAAAAAAUAAAAAUAAUUUUUAAUAAUAAAUUGAGUUUCAAGACUGGAAAUUAUAUAACUACCCUCCAUGUACUAAAUCUUUUAAAUGAAUGGCACUCUACACUUGAUUGAUGAGAAAGUUAUAACUAUUUUCUCUGUUGAUUCAACAGUUGAUGCAAUCAACCCAGAGAAAAGAAAAUACUUUAAAGAUUGAACAUGAUAGCCACUUAAACGCAAAAGAUUUUUCCUUUAGCAUGAAUUCUCCAUAAAAGAGAAAACAAAAGAAGAGAGGGACAUAUAACAAAAUACAUUAAGAUAAAAUUGAUAAAAAAAAAGAAGAAGUUAUAUCAAUUAUCGGGGACUCUCGCAUGUCUUAAGUUGAAUAUGAAAACUGAACCAAAUUUCAUAAGAACAGAUAUGGUUUCGAUAUAAAACAAAUUAUAUCAAAGGCUUCAAACAUGAUGAUGAGGAUCUGGUCCUCCAGGCGAAACCCUAUCUCCCGAAGCAUGAAGGGCAGACAACUUCUGAUAACGCUUGAGUUUGGAGAGAUCAAAACCUAACUCAUGUAAAAGGAAGCUGCUGCUGCUGGCAUCUCUAUCUUUUUGCAUGGCCUGUUGCACUUUGAGAAUACGUGCUUGACAACCCAAGAAAAGUAUUGAGAACAUUAUUAUCAAGAAAAGUAACACCGCACCCUUAAGAGAUAACGUAUUCUUGGCCAUGAAAUCAAUGAAGAAGUUUAUGAUUAUAACUAGAUAGCUAAAAGAAGAAUGAAAGGUAGUAGUUGUAGGCUGCAUGGCAUUAGGGUUUUUAUAACCCUAUUUACAUACAGAACAAACGAUCAAAAAGCAAAUUAAUAACAAGACAAAAGAUAGUGGGAUAGGACAUGUAUGACAAAGGGGAUUGUCUUUUUCUUUCCUCCAUUUUUAAAACAAUGAAGCUUUUUUAUGAUCUGGUGCUAUGCCUCAAGACCCCAUUAAUAGCUCUUGAAAAAGGAAGAGAGUAAGAGGGUGGUCUAGUCAUCUUAAGAAUUCAUCUUUGCUCUUGUCAACACACCUGGAUUCGCAUCCGAAUUGUAAAUUAAAUUAACAAAGAAACAUUAGAGUAAUAGGACAACAAGUAAUGCGAAAGGAUUGUUGUUUUGCUUAAAUAGUGGUUAAUUAAUGCUUUUGAACAUUUCAGGAAAAGAAAUCUAUAUCUAUAAAUGUAGUGCCCACAUUGGAUUAAAGUUGGGAUGAGUCCUAAUCCACAUGGUUCCACAUAAAAAAGGAUAUCCGAACUGUCCUGUUGUCCUGUCCAUGUGUACAGUUAUCCCUUUGAGUGCUUUGAAAAAAUAAUUAAAAAUAUUAAAAAAUAAAAAUAUUAAUUUAUGAAUUUAUAAUGUAGAACUAAAAUUAAUAUAUUUUAGUGCAGGUUCACAUAUAUAUUUACACAUUAUUUGAUGAAAAUUUAUUAAAACAUUUAUUUCAUUUAAAAAAAAGACCUGAGACAAAUAAUAAAAUAAAAAUUUUAUAAAAAAUAUUUUAGUGUUAUAAAAUAUAUUGAUUUAUUUAAAAAAUUUAUCUAUUUUAUUAGUAUUUAGUUUAGCUAUAAAAAAUUCUAUAAUUUUAAUUAGGUAGAAUUCUAAAUCAAUUUUCAUUUUAAUUAAAACAUAAAUUCUAAAUUUAUAAAUUAAUUCUAUAAAUUUCAUGAAUUUCAACUGGACACUAUGUUAAAGUUAAUAAAUAAUUAUAAAAAAAAUUUAUACAUUAAAAAUAUAUAAAUUCAAUACUUGGUCUUCAAUUUCUAUAAGUGUUCUCUUUAUGACAAAAAUAAUCCUAAAUAAUUUCUGAAGAUCUUCCCACAUCAACAAGGAUUAAAUUAACUUGUUUUGCUUGUUCAUUAUUAGUUUUUCUUGUAAUUGUUCAUUAGUGAUUAUUAAGGACCAUCUUAUCAAAAUUUAUUUAUUGCUCUAUAUAAUAGUAUCCACUGUAAUUUUUUCUAUCAAAAUCUUAUUAUACUAAUAAAAUAAUUAUGUAAUUAAAUAUUAAUUAGAAGAGGAUUACAUUGUUUCUUUUGUUGUAUGUAUGGUUAUCCAAUAUCUAACCUAUCAUUUCUGAUUUGGGAGAUCUUAUUAAUGAAGGAAAAAUAUAUCUUAUUAAAUUUAUUCGUAGAAAGAUACAUAUAUAUAGGCCACAAUGUGCUGCCUCAUUUUAUUUAUAUUUAAUGUUUUCCCUUUUAUAUAUUUUCUGUUUAUUUAAAUUUAGUACUCAAGUUUAGGAUUGAGAUUCUCCUGUUGAUUAAACAUAGCUACUAAUCAAUAGAGCCAUUUAAAAUUUUCAAUUUGCAAUUGGGAUAGAUUUAAGUAAUGUUAUUCUGAAUACCAGCUUUUCUAUAGUUUAUUGUUGGGAAAUUACAAUUAAGUCCUUAAAAUUUAGCACAAUAUAUACUGUGAUCCCUGUAUUUUGAAAAAUAUCACAUGCCUUUUGUUCCCAAUAUUUGUAUAUGACUCGAUACUUUAGUCCUUCUAUAUAUAUUUAUAAACCCUUAACUUACCCUUAAGUUGGCUACUUUUGUAAAUUAAAAGUUGAAGUGUGUUUCACUAAACAUAAAAAUUAAAUAAAUUACCCAUAUAUGAUUUUUAUCUCAGGUAAUUUGGUUAUAUCACCUCUUGUUAAGAGUUAAUUUUAUUACCAUUGAAGUUUCUAAAAUUAAACAUGCUAAACCUCAAGAAUUUAGUCAUAUGUUUCCCCUAAUGAUUUGGUUUAUACAAUCUUAACCAGUAUACCAAAAGAAAAAAAAUAGUAAUAAUUGCCUAGUUAUUAAAUAAAUAAAUCAGCGACAGAUAUUUUGAGUAUUUUAUAUUAUAGAAAUAAUAAACUUCAAAUCCAUAUAGUUACAUUCAUCUAUCUACCAAAUACAAUAUUGGAGGCAAAAGAAUUUCUAAUAAUUCAUAUGUUUUAGAAUCAAAAUUAAGAGAUUUAAGAAGUUUUACAUAUAUGAUUCAAGACCCAACAGUACCCUUCAAAUCAAACUGAGCUGAAAAUUCUGUUUUGCAAAUUCUAUUCUUUUGGACAAUAGUUAAAGGUAUACUACUUCUUAAUGGGUUUUCCAUAAACUAGGACAAACCUAUUAUCAAACAGGAAGGCCACAAACCCUAAUGGAAAUCCUAUUCUGAAUCUACAAAUGUCGGUUGAUUUCUUUGGCAGUUGUAAACAAUUGUCAAUUGAUCUCUUUAGAUUGACAGUUGCAAAUGGAUAGUGUUCCUUCUGACCAAAGAAAAAUUAUAUCUAAAAGUCAGAGUUAUAUUAAAUAGUUAAGCAUAUAACAAUUUGACAAGUAAAAAUGAUAGUCUACACAUGGAAAAUGACAAAUUCUCCAUUAAAAAAGCUUAUGUUACCCAUUCUCAAGCUUGAUAGGUCAAGCUUGAUUUUACCAUUAAUAUCUCAUCGAAAAAUGAUAAAUUAUUAAGAAUAUAAUUCUUUUUAUAUAAUUGCAUGUGGGGCUGCUAAAUUAAUUUAAAAGGAAUAAGAAAAGGGAAGAAGCCAGGGCUGAAUUUUUGUUCUGUAUAAGCUUCGGUCUAUAAUCAAUACAAAGAAAGGCGUGGCUCCACGUAAGGUCGUGUGACCUUGUAAUUGGAUUUUGCCCUAGCUAGUGAUAUUCAUGUGGUUGUAAAGCAAAAAGAAAAAAAAAAAAAAGAAAAAGAUUUAAUUUGCACCAUGCAUAUUCAAACCCAAUGGUUCCAUCAGAACAUGAGUCUAAGAAUUAAUAAUGUGGAAUAUAACAAUGAUGUUUUUCUAGUGAAUUACAUGUGAGAUUGCAUUUAUUUUAUUGUCGGAUUUAAUUCGGUACGAGGUUGAAAUAAUUCAUCAUUGAUAAUCAAUUAUCCAAUAUUUCUUUUUAUAUGCAUAUAUCUAAAAUAUAUAAAAAUUGAAUACAAAGAGAUCAGUUCGAAAGAGAAUUACUACUUUCACAUUAGAGAUGAAGGUGCCAAAAUAUGAUAUCGCAAAGGUCAUUGGUUUUGAGCUAUAAAAGGAUUCAGAGCACUGAAACCUUAUCAACGAGGAAAGUUUUUCAUGCUUUCUACAACUUACAUGCUGCAAAGCCACUUUCAACACCAUGUAUACUUAUGCUCAAAACCUUAACUCUUUCUGUACGAAGUACUGUUGCCGCAUGCAUACGUUUCCCAACUUAAGAAUAGACUUCAUCUAUGAAGAUUGCAACAACCAAACCUAGCUUUCAUGGCGAUGUAAUGUACAUAAAUAUUAGUUUCGAAAGGGUAAGUUAAAGUUUAGUAAAAGACAAAAAGAAAGGUAAGUUAAAGGUAGUAAACUAAUUAAGGUGGUGGGAGAAUUGACACCAAAUUUUGCAAUUGUAUCCCUAUAUAUAUAUAUAUAUAUAUAUAUAUAUAUAUAUAUAUGCAGAUUUCAAUAUACAGACACGUCCCAAGCCAACAAGGAGACUAUUAAUAAUAUUUACUAAAAACAAGAAAAGGGAAUAAUUUUAGUUAGUGGUAUAAGCAAAAAUUUGUCAUUUUACGUUAAUGCUUUUGUUUCAUUGGAAGAAGAUGAUCAUGGAUGACAGAUGAUUUGACUUCAGGAUGAAAAGUUUUAAGAUUUACUAGAAAAAUCAGAUAUGUAUCACGAUUAAAUAUAUGCAGACCUCUAACAUAUAUAUAUAUAUUUAUAUAUAUAUAUAUAUAUCUAUUUAUUUGGAUCCUUUAAAGUUUUACAAGAAAUGUUUUACGUUGUUGAAUCAGACAUAGUUUUGCUCUCCUCAGUCAAAAAUUUGAUUAUCUUUUUUUUUUCUUUUCUUUUAUAAACCAGAGUCCAUUAUAUUGAUUUAGGAAAAGCAGAAGUAACACAACUUGUAAUGAGAGCAAACUAAACCUGGCCAAUAGGCCAUCCCUUAGACAUCCAACCUGCCAUAUAUUCAAACUCUUUGAUUCUUUUUAGUUACUUUUUAUUCUAAUUUAGUGGUAAAAGGAGACAAAUUUAUCUAUGAUAAGGCGCUAGGAUUCAAAUUUCAAUUUAAGCAUAAGCACAUUUGUCAGAGUUUUUGAAAACCCUAGCUCUCCUCAAGUUACGUAAUACAUUAAAAAUCUUAUUCAAGGGUUUAUGCUUAUUUGUCAAUUGGGGUAAAAAAUCAUACCCAAAUUCGGAUUUUCCUUUACUAUGCGAUCUUCUUCUUGUAAUUUUGGGUUUUACUUUUCAAUCAAACAUUAUUUUCUUACAUUUUUCAUGACUAAUAAUCAAUUUGAGAUUGACCUUUACUAAGAUUUCUUCAUUUUUACUUGUUUUAGUACAUAGGACCUUCAUAGAUGAUCUAAUCAAUUGGAUCUUGUUAAGGAAAAAAAGUCUAGUGCAAGUAAGUCACCAUCAUUAAGCUGUAUUUAUAGUGAGCAAAUGAAGAAAAUCCCGCAGAAACUAUAUUUAUAUUUAUAGAACAUCUUCCAAAGUGAAGUUAAUAUUUUGAGGAAAUUAUUUUAAAAAGGAAAAUACAUGAGAUUUUACAUGAAGUAAGAAAUUCUUUUUUAACAUUUGAAGUGGGUAAUCCAUUUUAAUUCUUCUAUAAUUUUGAAAGAAUACAAGAUCUUAGUUUCAUGUAUAAAUUAUAAUAAGUUGUUCUUCCUUUAACAAUUGACUUAAAGAAAAUGAAGGACAUCGAAACUUAAGGGAGCCGGAUCCGUUUAUAAUUAUGCCACUUUUCCAGCCAUUUUUAUUUUUUAUUUUUUAUUUUUCCUUAAUAGCAGAGAGUAGUUUAAUUAAACUUGUGGCAUGAAAGACUCUAUAUUAUUCAAUCAAUUAUGGCGUUACAGCAAAACAAUGGUUACCAGAUGCAUAUUUAAGAUCUCAAAGAGCUUCCGGGGGUAAUCAAAACUUAAAGAGCAGAUUUAUGUCCGAAUAAGUGGUAUUUCAAUCUGAAAAAGAAAAUAAUUUUAGAAUCACUACGACAUAAAUAAUUAAUUGGACAAGAAAAAGCAUUAUCAUCAGAAAAUAUAUAAAAUGGAAAUUUUAUUGGUAACGAAUGCAUUAGAGUGUCAGUUAGCUUUAAUAAAGCAAUUGUAUGCAUUAGGGUACUGGGUUCUACGCAUAUAAUUAGUUAACAAAUUCUAUCGUAAAUUACAAGAUAAACAGGAAACCAAAGAUGCAUUCUCAUUCUUCAGAAAAUAUUUGAUAUAUAUUUCUUUUAUUGCAAGACAAGCUCCUCUUACUACAUGUACGAGGUUGCAGUAUUGUCUCCGUUCCGCAGAAUAAGCAACAGUAGCUUUAUUUUAGUAUGCUUCAUAUAUAAUAUAAUAAGCUAAUAGCAUGCAGCAUAUUCAAAAGCAGCAAAGUCUCUGCAACCAAACACAUACACUUAAGUAUAAGGUACUGAUCAGUUAGGCUUUCCAGGAGAAUGAGAGUGAUGUUCAGGAUCUGGUCCUCCAGGUGACAGUCUAUCAGUAUCUGAAUUUAGCCUGGAAAUCCUUCUAUGGUGCUCCAGUUUUGAUUCAGUAUAUCCCAUGUCACGUAAAAGAAGCCGGCUGUUGAGUUCGACUCUUGCCUCAGACCUCAUGAUAAGUAUCAUGAACACAAUCAUGGACAGAAUUAGAAGACAUUUUGCAGUUGAAUUAGCCAUCCAAUGCUAGCUUGUGAGGUAUAAAGUUGUUUUUGAAAGAGAGGCUAGACAACUGAAAGCUAGUAUUUUAUGACUACUACACCUUGUAGAAAGCUUGAACUUGACCCUAAAUCUGAAAAACAAUAUUUAUGGCAAGACCAGCCAGUUUGAACAGUUAACAGAUAGUUAGGACUCUGAAGUAAAGAUGAGCAAGAUAGCUAAAGGGAGUGACUAUAUUUAUAGGCUUAGACGCAGAGAUAGUUUAGUAAUAGUGGAGAUAAAAUUAAGUCACUACAUUUUGUUGUUUGAAUUUAUUUUUUCUGUACAAACUUUAUCAUUUUAUUUUUUUAUGUUGGUAAUGGUAUAAAAGGAAAACAUAAGUACCUAAGAAUAUGCAUAAACUUCUAUUUUAAAUUUGGAGAUUUCUGUAAAGGUGGUGGCUGUGCUCUCCCAUUUCAUUACCUCCGAACCACUAAAAACAAAUGAAACCUAUUUCCUUUGGACUGCUUCUUUCUUCAAAUGACACGGGGAAGAGUAAUGUCUCUACGCACCAAUCAAACAAACUGUAAGUUCAGACAGCUUAGUCUCCAUUGUUGUCUUAAUGGAGCACUCCUAGGACGGUGGUCAACAAAAAUUCUGUAAGAGGAUAUGGUCCUCGAUUACCUCUCUUUCAGGAAUAUGGGUUAGCAAGCUUGUGAGUGAAUCCAUAAUGCCCACACUUUCAGGUGUAUCAAUUAAUCCUACUUGACACAGUCACAUCACAUUGAUUCAACAAAGUUCAUGGUAGCAAGUAAAAAGAAGGUAUAAACAUAAUUCUUUGGAAGCCACUUAAACUAUCAUUUUCCCUUUCCCACCAAUUCGCCACAUCCGGAUUAAUUUGACUCAGGAACAUAAACUAUUCCUAGUGUCCCUUUCCAAAUGGUCAGGGACAUCCAUAAAAAUUAAUAUCUUAUUUCAGAUAUAUUACUAUAAUUCCUUAUCAUUAUUCUCAGACUUUUCAUGCCAGCAAAGGUGGAGAAUCUCAAGAAAAUCCAAAUAAUACAGACACAAAUAUCAGCAGGGAUUCUACAUGGUAAACUAUAUAGGAGAAUUUCACAUGAUAACUGUUGGAUAUAAUCAAAAGUCUAAUUAGAAUUAAGAAGUUUUAAACAUAAAGAAUAGUUAAAUGUGUAGAUCUAACCUAAUCUUAUCCACGUCACUAGAUUAACUUUAUGUGCUAAAGUAGAUAAUCUAAAUGUUGUCUGCAAUUUUUUUAUAAAUAUUCUAUCACAAAGCAGAUGAGAUUUUUCCCGUUUCAGUUGUAUUCAUUUCUUUUGUGUUUCAUCUUUAUUUCCACUAUUCUUUCUUAGUCCUGCGCACUACUAGCAUACCUGAAGUAGCUUGUAAUGAGUUUCUAGUAAUUUUCCAGAAAUAUACAUCUUUCCAAAGAAAAUACAGCUAAGAAGAAGUUGAUAUCCGAGGCCUUUUUAAAGGUUAAUCUUGCAGAUCUUUCUAUCCCGAGGAACAAACAAAAGUCUGGUGACCAUCUUCUUUUUCUACUUCUCAAAAUACCACUCCAUUAAACUUUAAAUGUAUAAAUAAUUGACUGUUAAGCUGUUUUAGAAGUAACUUAUCCUCAGCUGAAACUCAUACCACAUUCUUGUAACAGUAAUUUUUUCCUGGUGAUACAUGAACAUACUUUCAGGUUAGCUUAUCAGGGGUGCUUAUCCGUUCAUUGCAAUUCUGAAAUUUUUCCUUCAAGAUCUACUUUACGAACAGCGUACCAAGAACAAAAAAAUCAGAUAUCUUAAAUCUUGUCAAUGUAAAUUAAACCAUGUCUGUUUAAUAUAAAAUACAGAAGACGAUCAAAUACUCAAUAUAUCUGGAUAAUCGGGUAGCCUUUCGCAUAAAUUGAAAACAAGAGCAGGUGGCCCAAACUGAGGUGUUUGUUUGAAGCUUGAGGCAAAACUUUAGUUUUUGGCGUGCACGUGCAUAAGGAACAUUCUGUGGUUGCUGUCCACAAAGUACGAGUCGUCACCGCUUCUGCUUGAUUAAUAUUACAAAAGUACAGGAUGACCAUAGGCAAAUGUGGCACCUGACACCAAGCUGAGGAGAAAGAAGAAGAAAACUUUUUGGUAAAUCCCCAGUGGUGUUUGGCCUCCAUGCCCAUCACGUGAGCUUAGAUCAGCACCACCGGCCAAAAUAAACAAUCCGCCUUGGAACAAACAGACCUUGACAACAAGAACUUAAAGUCAAAUCCAAAGAACCCAUUGAACAAAUUUUAAUUUACAUGUCUAAUUGCUCCAUCCCCUUUCCUCUCACAACAUACUAUUGGUCGAGAUUUAAGUUUAUGUUACUAUUAACUGAUCCUCUUUACUUCUGUAUUUCUUGCAUCCUUCAAGAAAAGUCCGCCAUAUGAGAGCAUUUGGUGGGCAAGGCAUGCUGGAAAUUACUUUCUCUGCUUCCUUAACAUGUCCAUGCCUGGAAAAUAAAUCCACAAGACAAUGGUAAUGAUCCAUUUCUGGUUCAAGACCAUAACUCUUCAUUUUCUUGAACAACUCAAUCCCUUCUCCCACCAAUGCACCGUGUCUGCAUGCUGUAAGCACUGCAAUGAAAGCAACCUUAUCAGGUCUAAGCCCCUGAUGUUCCAUGUCUUUGAACCUUUCUAAUGCUUCAUGGGCACAGGAAUUGAUUCCGAGGGCUGAAAUUAGAGCUGUCCAUGUGAUUAGGUUUCUAUCUCUCAUACUGUUAAAGAUUUUAACUGAACUCCUGAGGCACCCACAUUUUCCAUACAUGUCUAGCAAUACAUUGCAGACAAAUGUAUCACAUGAACUGAAAUUAUUCUUUAUGAGGAAACCAUGGAUAGAACUACCCAAAGCAAGAUCGCAGAUUUGACUAGAUGAACUUAGAAGACUAACAUAAGUAUAAUUAUCUGGAUGAAUUUGAGCCACGAGCAUUUGUUUGAAAAGUUCAAAAACCUCUUUAUAAUUACCAUUGCGAGCGCAAGCGGCAAUGGCAAUGUUCCAAGAAACAUUAUCUGGCUCUUCAAGCUGAGAAAGUAACUCUAAUGUUUUAUAGUAAUGUCCAGCCUUGUUAUAAAUUCCUGCAACAUUGUUAGAAGGAACAGCAGCAAGUGGAGUUUCAGAAGCUGCAAGAAAGACCAGUGCAUCAGAAAUGAGACCAUUCCUUCCAUAUGAGGUAAUAAGGGAACUUAAUACAUAGUCGUUGUUGUCAUAGCCCAUUCUUAUAAUUAGACAAUGAAGCUGCUGCAGCUCUAAAAUGGAUGAUGAUAUAAGAACAGCUGAAAAUGAAAACUCAUUGGGCUGGUAUCCACAUUGAAGCAUUUCCACCAGCAAAGAAAUAGCAGCAUAAGGGCAUUUAUUUGCACAACCCAGAAUUAAAGAAUUCCAAGAAACCACAUUCUUCUCAUGAAUUUUGACAAAACAGCACCUGGCAUCAUCCAAUUUAUCACAUUUAGCAUAAUAGUCCACCAAGGCACUACCCACAUAAACAUCAGUAUCAAAAGCAUGCAUGAUUACUUUAGCAUGGAUAAAUUCUGCAUACAUUGGAAUCUGUAAAUUAGCACAAGAGCUAAUGAGACUCGCAAAUGUUAUCUGAUUAGGCCUGAUUGCAUCCCUCGGCAUUUUAAAGAAAAGCUCUAAAGCUUUUAUAGGCUUCUCACUUUUUGCCAAUGCAACAAUCAUAGUAUUCCAUGUCACAAUGUCCUUACAAGCAGCCUCCUCAAACUUUUUCUCUGCUAGGUGUAAUGUCGCACAUUUGACAUACACACUGAUUACAGAAUUCACAACUGAAACUGUGUAGUCAAACCCAGUCUUAGUAACUAAACUAUGUAUUUGUUCUCCAAAUUCCAAAUAUUUCCCACAUACUAAUCCAGAUAAGACACCCACAAAAGAACAUUCAGAUAAACAACAACCUAUUUCCCUGUGGAGCUCACAGAAAUAAAUAAUACAAUCUUCCACAUAGCCAUGUUGUCCAAAUAAACAUAUUAUAGAAUUCCAUGUCACCAAGCUCUUAAUAGGCAAAUCCUCAAAAACAUGCAAUGCCUCAUUUAACCACCCCCACCUUCCAAACACAUUCAAUAAAGCAGUACCCACAAAAGCAUCAAUAUAAAACAGCCCAUUCUUCAUCGCCAAUGCCUGCAAUUGAAGCCCAAUCGAAAGAUCCAUUUUUGAACAUGACAAUAACCCAGACAACGUGAAGUUAUUGGGCCGAAACCCACAAUCUCUCAUCCGAGAAAAAACUCCCAAAGCUUCUUCUAAAUAACCAUACUUACAAUAAGAAGUGAUAAUCGAGUUAUAGGAUGCAAUACUUCUUUGGGGCAUAUUGUCAAACACCUUACGUGCGAGGGACAAUUCACUGAAAGAAGUGUACAGAGAAAUAAUAUUGUUGAAAAGAUAAGCGGGUUGAUUUGGGUUAGGACCAAGUGUGAUAGUGAGUGCAUGGAGAGGUUUUGUUGUGGCAAGGGAACGAGCCCUUGUGCAGGCAUGGAGAAGAUAAAGAAGACGGUCAUGGUUUUUGAUGAAAUCACCAUGGAAGGUCAUGUAGCGCGGGAAAUAAACGAAACUAAUAUGAUUUGGCGAUUGAAUUACACAUAUGCUAUUGCAAUGUUAGCUUCGAAACGACGUCGUUAUAAAGUAAUUGUUUAAUUUUAGCACUUUCUUUUUAGCAUAAAUGAAGCACUGAUCAAUAAUAUGCGGAUAAAUUUAGUUUUUUUCUUAAAAAAAAAAGUAAUUAACUUAAAGCAAAGAUUAGUCAAAACGGAGCACCCGUUUAUAUUCUGUUCUGUCUAAAUUUGUUGACCUUUUUUCAACUGAAUCGACAGCAUGUCAUCGGCCUCUGAAAAGGGCAUAAGAUUCAAUUUGGCCCCUAAACUUAUUGUGUUAGGCCAGAUCACCCCCUUUUAACCCUCUUUUUUUACUAUCUAAUAGUUAAUGCAUCCAUGUCACACUCUUGCUUUUUAAUAACUAAAUUAAAAGAUUCUCUCUUUCCUAAGUCAUGAAGAUCAAAAGGUGCUUCUUUCUAGUUUCUUUGAUUUUGAUAUUUCCAUCUUCAUUUAAUUAAAUCUUGAAAAUAGCUUCAUCUUAUUAAAAUAUCAUGGAAUAAAAAAGAAUCAUUUGAAUAGGUACAAUUUUUACAAUUGACCUUGUAUCCCUCAUUUUCUGGCCAAAAAUCUAAGGGCCUAUGUAAUGAUAAUGAUAACUUAAGCAUUCAUCCAUCACCGGACAAAGAAAUAAUAAUGGCUUAAGGUGUUUUUGAUUGGAUGUACUGAAAUAAUGAUAAUAAUUGAAUGUACCGAAAAUUCUAAGUAUAUAAACUGAUCAAAAGAUUCAUAAGUUAUUAUUUAAGACAACCUGAUCUGACUAGCAUUUGUUUUUAGAACUGUUAUAAGAGUUUUAUGAUUAUUCAUUACAUGAAUGUUAAGUUUUCUCUUUAUGAAAAUAAUAAAUAAAAGAAAAAAUAAAAUCGACAUUUAAAUAAUCAGACUUGUCAAAAAAUAUCUAUAAAUUUGAUAUAUGGUUUAGUGCCACUAAAUAGAGUGUUCUUUUCGUAAAAUUACAAUUUAAUGCUCUGUCAACACGAUUGGUGAUUAUUAUGAACAAAUUUUUUUAUUUAUAUUUUUUAAUAUUUAAUAUUUAAUAUUUAUUUUUAUUUUAAAAUGUACUUAUUAUUUCUUAAAAAUGAAAUAUUUAUAUUUAAAAAAAAAAACUCAAUUGCCUUUUUUUUCUUUAAAGAAAUGAAUGAAACCAUUUGCUAUAAAAUAACAAAAAAAAGAAGAAGAAAAAGGUCAUACCUUUUAUACUUUCACCUAUUAUAUGCAUGUCAAAUCGCAUAAUUGCAUGUUACUCCAUCAUUUGUUUGUCUUUAGGUCCUUAGAGAGCGUCAUGGACUUGUUUUGGACACAAGAUAAUAAUUAUGUAAUAGUUCUAAACUCAAAUGCUUCCGAAAGUAUCAUUUUUUUUAAGGUACAUUUUUACUCCAUUAAGCACAAAAGAAGACAUUAUAUUGUUCCACUAAUAACGUACGGCACAUGCCAGACAGUUGCAUUAAUUAGCUAGAAGUUUGAACACAAAACAAAAGAAAAAGAAAAAGACAAAAAGCACAAAAAUGCCUUCCAAUUAAGUUUCAGAUUUUUUUUGACUCAUUCGAAAUUCAUUAACUUCUAUAAAAUAUCUAAUUAAAUUUUUAUUCUUUUUUCUAACCAAUUAAAUCCAUUAACUUUUAUAAUAGGUCCAAUUAACUCAUAAUACUAAUAGCAUCUAAAAUAUUCUUAAAUGUAAGGGUUCCAUUAUUUNNNGCCUCCUUCUUGAAGUGUAUAUAUUGUAGUUUUAUUUCAAAAAUAUAUUGGAGGUGGUAGGAUGUAAUCUAACUCAACAACUUAUAUGCACUCUCUACGUACAGGUGAGUGUGAUGAAGAAGAAGAAAUGGCUUUCUCUCCUUCACGUGAUAUAAGCGUGACUUUAAAAUAUUUAGAUCGGUUAUUAUUUGCACUCUCAAAAUAAUAAGACCCUUGCAUUUAAUGAUAUUUUAAACGCUGUUAGCAUUAUGAGUUAAUUAGAUCUUUUAUAAAAAUUUAAUGGAGCUAAAAAUUAAAGUGAAAACUUAAUUGGAGUUCUUAUAAAAAUUAGUGGGCUUAAUUGAGCAAGAAAAAAAAGGAACUUAAUUAGAAUUUUCUAAUAAGUUUAAGGAUAUUCUUGUACCUUUUACCAAAGAAAAAAAGAAGAAGAAAAAGGACAGGAAAAGAAGUUGAAAUUAGAUUCAAAAGUCAAAUGAGUAAUUGACAACAUAAACUGAACCGAUCCUUAACAGAACAUCUCUCUGCCUCAGGUUUCACGGGUUUUUCUAAUGAUGUUUUGCGUCAGGACCUCCUGGACUUAGCCUUUUGGACUGGCGAAAAUAUCGGGAGAACUCUUCAUCGUUCUCUAGUCUCACCUUGAAUGCUUUUGAUAUUUCUUGCAAUUCUUCAAGAACUCUUGUUAAUUUUUUGCUCUCCUGAUGAUAGUAGGGCACAAGAGGUCUACUAUCUGAUCUGGGAAAUGUAAGCAAUAGCAUAAUAAGGCAUGCCCAAAACCUCAAACUUGCCAUAAUGCAAUACUCGUGUUUUUAGUUCUGCUAUGUACUCUUCUUGCUCUCAGAACUAGUUGUGUAGCAAUUCAUUCCAAGAACACUUCUAUAUAUAUAGUUGAUUCAACUCUCCUCCCUAAUCCAUUUAUUUAUAUUUAUAAACGAAGUGGAAAUCAAACAUUGGAGCUACCCUUUCUUUGUUUUUUUGUGCUCAGCAGCCAAUACUGAUUCAGAAAUGAGCCGUCUGAUUCAUUAAUUAAGGUAUAGAAUUUCUCAAGGAAUGGAAUAUAUACCUAGGAGAUUCAAAAAAUUCAGAAGGGUGUUUUCUUUUUUGAGGAUUCAAUAAGUUCUUGACCAUAGUUGAGUAUCUAGUCAUCAGUUGCCUAUUAAUUUUUUGUCCUAAGAGUUUACCACUUUCUCAUGAUGAAGAGCUCAGACCAAUGGAGAUCAUAUUCUACCUCUUAUGAACUUUCUGGAUCUCGAAAGGACAGAUGCGUUUUUGGAUUCUUCUGAAAAAGUACUAACCCUUCAAUGCAUAUCAAUAUUACAUGAUGUCAAGAACUUUUUGAGUUUAUUUUGUUUGUUUUAGCCUUUUACUAUAGCCAGAAACCUUUUAUUCCUUGUAUUCUUAUGUGCAUCAGCUAGUGUUGAAUUUUGGUGACUAAGGCAGCCACUUAUCAGCAAUUAAAUGCAAGUAAUGUUGCAGAACGCAUGCACAAAAGCGCACAGAAUUGGCGAAAGAAAGAGAAGGGAGAUUGCGAUUUGCAAGGAUUAAGGUUGAAUCAUUUGAAGUUGUUGAAUAAUGUACGGAUUAUUUAUGCAUCGGAUGUAUAAAAAUAUUUACAGUGUAAAAGAGUAAAUUUAUUAACUUAAUUGAAGUCACACUAAUGAUUAGAUUUAAAUUAAAAUUAUUUGUUAAUAAUACAUUUACACUUCUUUCAUUUCUAAUUUUUAGUUUUAUGAACUUUUACAAAGUUUUUUUUUUCUAUUUUCUAAUUAUCAUAAGAACGAUGGUUAUCACUAAAUUUUAAUUAAUGAUAAUGAAGUUAUCUCCAAAGCUUUAAGGCUGUGACUAUCAUGUAAAAUAGUUUAGGAGUUACUUUUCACCGGGUUAACUUAUUUUGAAUUUGAUUUUUUUUUAUUAAUAUCUGAUGACACUUUUUUUAAGAGCUUUUCUAGCUCGAUUCUGCAAGACGAUAAUUACUGAGUAAGGAGCGCCGGCAGGAACACUAAUGGACUCAUUCCGAUAAUCAAGUAAGAUAGAGAAAGAGAGAAAGCAAUGAGAUUAAGAUUAGAAUGAAUCACUUAGGGUCUUACCUUAUUCAUCAUGUUUUUCAUAUAUGAGAGAAAGUAGGAUUUUGAAAAAUCUUUCCUCCUCUUGGUCCAACUGAAUGUUGUCAUCUAUUUUAAAUUUAUUACUUUGUCCCUAAGCUAGGUCUAUGGGUGAUCCGUUGGAUCUUUUGGCGAUACAUAUAUAUAAAAAUUUUCUAAUAUCAUGAUUUUUACGUGUUUUUUCUAUAUUUUAUAAUUGACUAUCGAUCAUUAUUGGUCAUUUUAUUAGUGGUGAUGCAUAUAAUAUGGCGGGAUUACUUGGUCUCUUAUUUCAUAGCUCGAUUUUUGCCGGUAACAAAUAUUAGUCUCCAGGGAGAUCCGUCAACUUUUUUUGUGGAGACCUGUUACCAAUAUCGAUAAAAGAUAUUUAUUUUUAUUUCAUUUUAAAAUAUACAAGCCUGCAAAACUUUAUCAAAAGAUGAUUAAGAGAUUAAAUGAUAUAAUAACCAUAUACAUCGGUAAUCCGAGUAAAGUUUUGCAGGUAGAAUAAAAUGUUAGCUAGGAUAAGGUUUGGUUAGUUUUAUCCACAUAUUACGUAUGCCCUUUUCUUGAUCUCGAAUUAAGCUAAAGCUUUUCAGUCACCUCUAACCAAGUAGGUAGCUAGACAUAAGUCAACGAUGUGAUGACCUACACAUGUUAAUUAAUCUGAUAGAAGAUAAUUAUAAAUAAUUUAGAAGUAUGGUGAGGUUAUCCAUUAUAUGAUUUAUAUGGAGUCAAUGUAGGAUGAAGGAUAAAGAUGGUUAUAAACUAUAUGGAUAAUUUAGUUGUUGACUUGAUAUAAUGUGUAUCAGCCCAUUAAAGCAUUUAUGCUGAGGUAUAAAUUUUUUUAAAAAGAAAUAUAGAUAUUAUAUUAAUAAAAGUUAAUAAGUACAUCUUAUAUAAAAGAUUAAAAUAAACAUUAAAUAUCAAGAAAUAUAAAUCAUAUAAUCAUUAAUUGUUUCGACGGAGUAAUAAAUUGUAAUUCUGUAGGAAUAACGCUCCACCGGAUGGAACUAAGCUACAUAUCGAUAUUAUAGAUGCUUUUCACGAGUCCGAUUGUUUGAAUGUUUGAUUUGAUUUUUUUUUCUCUUCAUUAUUCUCAUAAAGAGAGCACUCAACAUUCAUAUAAUGAAUGACCAUACAAUUUUUAUAAAAGAAAAAUUCAAAAUCUCCAUAAUGGAAAAUCAUAAAACUUUUCAAAAAGUACUGAUAUUUAUUUAUUAAAAUUAAUUAAUAACAAAAAAUAAGAAAAAGAAACCACUGCCGAUCUGAAAAGAACGGCAGUGGACCAAAAAAUAAAACUUUAACAAAAAAUAAGAAAAAAAAAUAAAAAAGGAAAGGCGGCUAGAGUUUUUUAAAAUGAGGCAUAAAAAUUAUGGUAUAAUUAAGUAUGAUUAUUUUUUUUUCAAAAGAAUUAAAUAGUGGUCCGGUUAGUAGUUUGAUUUAUAAAAAUUAAAAAGUUGUUGAGUAUGAAUUUCUAUAUUAAACAUCCGAUCAACAAAUAAUUAAACUAUUCUUUUUUAAUGGGAUAUGAGGAAAUCAUAUGCAUGCUGACAGUUAAACUGUGCCACCGGCUAGUUUCGGUUAAAAAUCAUAUAAAUGAAUGUGACUUUUCGAUUAAUCGAAGAAUCAAGUAUGCAUCUUAUAUGAAUCUUGAAGAAUCAAGACAUGGGAAGCAUCUCAGUAUGGAUACAUACAUAUAAAAAUCAAAGAUUAAUUUAAAAUAAAUGCAGUCCUAUCAUUUUCACCCAAAAUGCUUAGGUCAAACAAAAGUGGACCAAACGUACAAUACAAUGGGAGUAUACUUAUAUUAGCAAAAGAAGGCAAAAUGCUUAUAAUGUGAUUACAUUUGCUAGUGCUAACAGAUAGUCACUACCAAGAGUAUUAAACAGCUGCUUUGUCCUUUCGAUUCUUGGAAAGUUGUUAGUGCUACCAUUUAAUCUUUUUAACUUCCUUAUUAUACUCCCACAAAAAAUGUACUAUGUAAGUAAGUAUAGCAUUCUCCCAUUUUUGUUGAUUCUUUAUAAGCUAAAACCUUUGCAUUAAACUAUGAAAACCCAUGAAAUCUGCUGUUUCUAUAAAUUAUUAUAAGUAAGGAGCAGCAUUCAAACUAGUUUCUAAUUGGCAUUAUGAAACUCUAUUUAUAAAAAUCAUGGCAUUAACUCUUAAAGAAAAUGAGUUGGAAGUCAAAAAAAAAAAAAAAAAUCACUUGUAUUGCAAUAAUAUAUUCAUAUUAUACAUAUAUUAAUCCAAAACAGUAAGAAUAUUAUCAGCCAGAACCCCUAUAAAUAAGUACGUGUAAAGACACAAGAAUUGCUGCACUGCAUAGCUCACUUGCCACCCAUUUUAUGUAAAGAAAGAAACAAAAAAAAAGUGUGUAUAUAUAUAUAUAUAUAUAUAUAUAUAUAUGAAUUAGUGUAAUUAGAUUCUUGCUGAGAGUAUAUACACCUUUGUUAUAUUUAUUCAAUCCUUUUUCAUUUUCGCCACAGCACAAUAACAAUAAUAUAAUAAUUUAUAGUAGUGGAAAAUGAAAGUCAAAAUGUCCGUACGACUCAUGGGAUUAUAAGAAAUAUUUUCAAAAACUUUAGUAUUAUGUAAUUCAUUACAAUAAAUUUCCACAUGGUUCAUGGAAACACUGCUUUAGUUAGGUUUUAUAAGGUAAUAGCCAAUGGCACUAUUCUUCUGAUGCAAUUGAUUAAUGGUAAGAACAAUUGUUAUGCCGAAAUAAUAUAAACUAGUUCUUCAUAGUCAGACACCAUUGAGUCAUAGAUAUUGUUUAUCAACAGCUUGAGUUCUAGAGAGUGUUGUUCGACUACCUAUUCUAAUAACUAAAUCAGCAAAAAUACCUUAAAAUUAUAAGUGAAUUGAAUUGUGAACGUCUUCUGGUAAUGUCUUGACAUAGGCCUUCAGUUCGUCUUUGUUCUGUUGGGAUUAGAACAGUCUAUGUAGAGAACUUUCAAUUCUUUUAGUUAGAGUACUACUAGAAAUAGUCUUCCAUAAGACUUAUAAUUCAAGUGAGAAUUGGGUCUGAUCAACUCUUAUUUAUUUGGCAUAUUCUGCUCAAUUAUCAAUACAGUAGUGAUCUCUUGAUAUUUUUAUUUGUAAAAAUUGGAAAACUCAAGUCUUCUUGUUGUUAUCCAUUAAUGCUAAUUAAAUAUUAUUAUCUUUAUAAUAAGGGGUCGAUGGUUCUAUGUUAUGUAGCUCAUAAUUCAUUAGGUUUCCAAUGAAUAAUCUUUUUUUUUUUAAAUAAAAAAACCAUUUAAAUUGGCAAUAAAUACACUUUUUUAUAGUAUAAGAUAUCAUAGAUUCAAUUCUCAUUUUUCUAUUUCAUGUGUAGUGUGAUUCAUAAGAAGUUUUCAUGAUAUAGAAGAAUGACAUUUUAUUGUGAUUUUAUUUUGAAAUUGUUAUAGUUUAUAAGAGUCGUUACACCAAUAUAAGUGCGACUCACCAACAGAAAUACCCUGUAUCUUCCAGUUUUAUUCUAGCUAGUAAUGUUAAAAACAUCUUCGAAAUAAAGGAAACUGAAAAAUAGAAACUUGAAAUUUCACUAAAAGAUUGAAUUUCAUGCAUACAAUUGACUUGACUAUGAACAUUACCAAUUAGGAAUAAAAGAAAAUAAUUAGAAAAGACAACUAACAUAGAUUCAUAGAAUGGCUCCCUUUUAAUCGGUAGAGAUUAAACAAAAUGUUUAUGUCUUCAAUUGUUAUACUAUAUAUAAUAACUUUGAUUGAUUUUCUUCUAUAUAGGGAUAUUUGAUUUAUACAUUAUGAUUAAUUAUAAUUUUAUUAAUCUAAAAUAGAAAAGAAAAUCAUGCACACAAUUGACUUGCCUACGAACUUUACCAAUUAGGAAUAAAAUCAAAACUUUAGAAAAGACAACUAACUAAAAACAACCAACACAAAAAGAUUUCAUUAGAUUAUGUAAUGGUUCCUUUUUUAAUUGGUAGAGAUUAAAUAAAAAGGUUUAUAUCUUUGAUUGUUAUAUUAUAUAUAAAAAAUCUGAUUAAUUUUCUUUUAUAUAGAGAUGUUUGAUUUAUAUAUUAUGACUAAUUAGAAUUUAAUUAAUCAUAUUGAUUUUUUCUAUAUAGAGAUAUUUGAUUUAUACAUUAUGAUUAGUUAGAAUUUAAUUAGUUUAAAAUGGAAAAAAAAAAUCUAAAAAUAAUAAUCCAAACCAUAUAUAUCAUACAUCUCUCCUGUAAAAACAUGUUCCCUAAGGUUUAAACUUACAAAAAUAAGUAUGAAAUCAGAAAAAGUUAUAUAUCCAUAAGCAAAAUACAAAACAUUAACCAUUUUAUCAAACUUAUAGAGAAUGGUUCAUAUAUAGGGUUACUUUCUUAUUUGUCAUCCUUCUCGUGGCAGUUCGUCAGUCUCUUUUUGUCUUCCAUUUUCUUUUUAUCUUUUAAAUUUAUUUAUAACAUUAUUGUUAUGAAAUACUGGAUUAAUGCCAGAUUAAUUAUUGGAAGUGGGUGAAAAAACAAAGUGUCAGGGAAUUGCAAAAGCGAUCCGGAUUGCGAAGGUGCUUGUGAAUCUCGAUGUAUAUUGUGCACAAGCAAUGUUUGAGCUCAGGAAUGUGUGUGCUCAAACUUCCGGCCUAAGAAUACUGCAGAAGCCAUGAUUGGGGAUGGUUGCAUAUGGUCACUAAUGGCACUGACCUCUUUCUAAUUACUUGCGAUAAACAUUAUGUAAUGUUGCAAUAUGAUUAUAUAAAAAGCAUAUCAAAGAUGGUGAAGGCUUAUAAUGUAACCUGCUCUAAUCAGCCUUGGCCUACAUUUUGAUAUUUAAAUCUCAAAAUUUACUUUAUUAAUUGUCAUUCGAUGUGCUCUCUCUGUGUCUUUAUAUUUACUAAUUCAUUUACCUUUCCUAUUUUUUAUUAUUACCAUUUUCUUUUGAGAAAGAGAUGGAAAAAGAGAAAAAAUAAUCUAUGAAUUUUAUCUAAUUGGACUAAUUUAUUUAUGAAAUUCAUUUUGUUUCAGGAAAUUAAAAAAGUUUCAUCACAGUGAUAAAUCAUCCAUUACAAAAGGAGGUGGGUAUUCAGACCACACACUCUAAGACCUGACUCAGAAUUUGCUGCCCUUGCAAGUUUAUGAGCAACAACAUUUGCAGAUCUUUAAACAAAGGAGUAUCUUCUAUUACUAAUACUCUGAAAUAAAGCUUUGCAAUCUUCAAUCAACAUGCCGAGAACAUUUCCAGCAUUACCAGCAAAUCCAUUUUCAAUACACCAUGAGAUAGUUGUAAGUCCUUUAUCCAAGAUAAUGCCUCAUGAACACCCAUAGCUUCUGCUUCUCUACGAGUAAACGAACCGUGACUUAAAACAUUUUUUGCACCUCCAUUGCCCAAUCCAGUCACGCAGAACCAUACCAAAUCCAGUAGAAUCUGUGUUAUCAAAUUUUGCAGCAUCAACACUGACUUUAACAAAAUCAAAUUUAGGUCGUUGCCACUUAACAACACCGUGGUUCCGUCGUAGACUUUAAAGAUUCCAUAACAGUAGUCUGCCUUUGAGCUUCUGUCCAUUGAUAAAGAUAGGUACCGGCAAAAUUCACACAUUAAGAGCUUUAUGAUGCCAGACAAUAUCAUUUCUAUGUUGCCAAAGGCACCAGCACAUCAUAACAGCUAUACGACAGUCCUCAAUCGACAGACUUGAGAACAUAAAAUUCAACCACGCCAUGAUGGUAUCAAACGAACCACCAGGACCUGCAAAUAAAAUAGGCCAGCACCGCACUUUCGUCUUUCCUCAUACAAACAGGACACAAACUAUCCACAUCAACCUUCCUCUUCCUUAAUGCAUCAGCUGUAGGUAAACACCCUCUGCAAGCCCUCCAAAUCUAUGGAAUUCAUUUUUAACUUCAAAAGUUUAUGUGUUUUGAAGGAAGUAAUUAUUAUUUAGAAUUCUUUAUAACUAAAUUAAAUUAUCAUAAAAUAAAUAAAAUUUCUAAAAAAAUUCUACACUAUUUUAUCAAUAUAUUUUAUAAUAUCAAAAUAUUUCUUCUAAAUUUAUCAUUUUCAUUUCAUUUUCUCUGUCGUGUAUUUUUUUUCAAAUAAAAUAAAUUCCUUAAUAAAUUUUAACCAAAUAUAGUAUUAAAUAUUUAUGACGUUAUAAAAUAACUGAAUGCAAAUUGAUAAUUAAUAAGAGAAAAUUUAUUUUUUAUCAUUUAUUAUUAUUAUUAUUGUUAAUUCUUACAAUUAAGUUGUAGCUUUCAUGUUCUUGAAUGAAAUAUUUAUAUUUCUAAAAAAAAUUGAAAGAUAUCUUCCAUACAUGGCAAUGUAUAUAUUAUUGAAUUAAAAUCAAUUUAUUCUUAAAGAAAUGAAAAAGUAUACAUAUCCACUUGUCUAAAUCAUAAGAAUAUGCACUUCUGCUUUUAUUUCAUUGAAAUAAAGGUUUUAAUUUUAUAGGAAAGAAGGAAAAAUAAUAAAAUCUUGGAAGGCAUUUUACGGGCUUUGCAGCUUGAAAUAAGAACUUGAUUGAGACUGCAAAGCUUUUUAUGAGACAAAAAUAAAAAAGAAAAAACACAUUAAAGCAUCUGAAAUUCUUCAAAAUCAGAGCCGCAAAGGGCAUAAGAUUUCUUCUUCAGAAGGCUAAAAUUGGUAAAAUUUAAUAAUGGAAUCAACUCAUUUUUCUAAAUAAUUUUAUUGAAUAGCCUCAAUUAAAUAUGUAUGUUAAAAUUUAAAUUUCAUAAAACUAAUUUAAAUAAAAUGUGGGAAGAGCAAUGGUGUAACAAGAAUCUUAACUAACAAUGACAAUUCUUAAAAUAUUUCUGGGCUAAAGUUAUAUUUUUCUUUUCGCUCAAAUUAGAGUAAAUCCAAAUGAUUCCCGGACUACACCCUACUCCAGUCCCAACAUGGUUCCCCUUCUGAUGAAGAGAGAAGGAAAGGAAAAGAAAGAACUAAGAGUUUAUAAGAUUUUAUAACCUGAAUGACAUGUAUAAUGAAUCUUUUGAAGCUAAAAGAAAAAGAAAAAUUUAAGACUGCCUUGAUGAUUAUAGUGUAUAAUGGUUGAUGAGUACCAUUCAACCUUGUGAAACAAAACCCAGAUGAGAUAUCUAUCUGAAACCAAAUCUUAGUGACUUGGAGUUGGAGUUAGAGUUGGGGUUGGGCCUAUCAUUCUCCUCAUCAGAAGCUUUUCUCUUCUUGGAAUUUGAUGCAUAGCUUGAGACUGUAACAGAAAAAGAAGCUGAUACCGAUUCGCUCUCUUCAGCUAAAGCUAACUGAAUACAACUUCCAUAGAAAUAAGUGAUAUCCUCAAGAGGCCGCCUAACUCUUCUUCUGAAACCUUUCUUGGAUGAUGAAAAAGGCACAUUUUCAAUUAUUGGGUUGGCUUGUUUUGAAGAGAAAGGAGGUACAUUUUCUUUGUGGUUGGUGUGCUUGCAGAGAUUGGUGGCUUCCAUUUUGGUAAUGUGUUUGGAGAUGGACACUGAGGGAGAGAGAGGUGGGUAUUUGUAGCGAAUAAUGAUGUGGGUGCAUUUCAGAAUUUGGAGGGAUCAAAGUAAUUAGAUUUGUUUCUUUCAAAUUUUGAGUUUUUGGGUUCUUGGUUCUUCUUUUAGUGUUUUAGGCGGGUGCGUUAGAUUUCGUUUUCUUGGAUUCUAUGGUUUUUCUUUGGUUUUGUCUUUAGUUUAAAAUCUUGAAAUGAAGUUAGUCAAAAUUGUCAUGUGCAAGAAGAGAGGGAACCGGGAGGGAGGGAGAAGUUCGUGAAUUUCCCGGUUCGUGAAAAGAAGUUUUAGGCGCCAAUAGAGCAAGAGCCAAAAAUACAAUUUAGACAAGUAAGUAAUAUUUUGAUAAUAGCCAAGUCAGCAUGACAAACUAAAGUUCCCAAUUUUUUGAAUAAAUAAUAAUAGUCAGCAAUCUGAUCUGGCAUUCCCGUUCAGAUAUUACCUAUUAUGUUUGUAAUCGGAGAAAUUGUAAUAUUUUGAUUAUAAUUUUCAAAUCAGCAUAUAAUAUGAGAUUAAUAUGUGAAAAAGGUAAAUAAUUAGCAUAUAAUUAGUUUUUUCUAUUAUUUAAUGAAUAAUUAGUGGGUAAUUUUUUAAAUUUUUAUUAUUAUUAUUAUUUAAUAAAAACUCCAUAUAGUGAUAGUAAUAGAUGAAAAAUAUGUUAUUAUGAUAUUGCCUUAUGCAUUAUUUUAGACAAAAAACAUAAAAUCAUAUUAGCCUUAAAAACAAAGAUACAACAAACAUUUAUAGCAGAAACACUUAGAACCCAGUUGAAAAAAGAAAUAAAGAUCAAACACAUAAAUGGUUAAUUCAGGAGUUAUAGAAAUUUGCAAACAAAAUAAACAUUAAUACCAUGAAAACUUCCCAUAGAAUUUUUUCCAAAGCCUUAAUAAGAAUUUGAAAAUCGCUUCAACUAAUAGAUUCGAGUCUGGCAUUAGAAUCCCUUCAACUCUUUCUUGAUUUAAUAGUCAAUUUGUUUGAGAAAUUACUGUUGUUCGUUCAGGAUAACCUGAUUUGGACUCCAAUAUCUCUAUAAUCUUAUAAAUUAAGAGGCCAUGGAUGAAAGUUCUUCCACUCUUUAAGAAAUUAGAAGACUUCAUGUCAAAACACACAACUAAUUGAUAAAAACUGACAAUUUUAGCUAAGUCUUUUUAACCUAUAAAAGAUCCAUGCAAGUUUCCUGAAUCUCAGGAAUUGUAGACCCAUUAUUGUUUAAUAUGUACAUGCAUCUUAGGAAUAAUUGAUAUGAGUGCUGUGUUUAUUGUAGGUUCAUGUUUUAAUUAGAUUAAAGUAUCUUUCAACUCUUGGCUCCAUAAUAUUAAUAAUCUUUCAAUUUGUAGAAUUUUCAAUUAUUCAAAAAUUGCUUUCAGGAUUGAGAUUAGAAUCUCGAAUCCAAAUGGGGGUUAAUUGAUAAUAGCAAAAAACAAAAAGAAAUCGGAGUUUUUGGACCGAUUUGUAUUUAAGUUGUCAUGCUAUAUAACCUAACACGGUAAAAAUUGCAUAAAUGGGGUCUAAGUUUUCUAUAUUUUCUCAAAGGAUUGCUAUUUUUUCUAUGAAAAAAUAUAUAUAUUUUCGUGAUAAUCAUCAAUGGUGUUGAUAAAAAAAUAUAUUAUAAUUUUAUAAAAAAAAUAUUUUACUCGGUAAUAUUAAGCUACAUAUUAAUUUUAUAGAUAUUUUUUUACUAGUUUGAUUAUUUAAAUACCGAAUUAAAUAUUUCUUUUACUAUUUUUAUAGAGAGAGAAUUCAAUACUCCCGUAAUAAAGGACUAUAAAACUUUUAUAAAACUCAAAAUUUCCUUAAUAAAAAAGAAAAAAGAAAUAUUAUAGGAUUGCUAUUUUUAGGUCCCAUUUAAAUAAAUAAAAAAAGACUCCUACGUGUGAGAGUUAUAUGAUUUUUUUAAGAGAAAAAUAAAUAAAAAUAUAAAAAUUACUUAGUUCACUUUUAAAUCUAAAAUCCAAAUCCAAAUUCAUCUUCCAUGAGAGUUUUGGAUGCUAUAUAUCUCCUAUAUUCUUAUUAAUAAAAUCUGCAAUUUCAGUUGAGGAAUGAAAAAAAUUAAGAACAACCAUUAGAUAAGAAAUAAAACCAUAAUCAAGUUAUCAAAUUCUUCACAACAGUAAGCCAGACUAGCCAAUGACGAUCAAACUCAUUGUAAAGAGAAAAGAAGAAUAUCAAAGAUUUUCGAAUAAUUGUUUCCGUCUGUUAAUUUUAGUAUCCACAUUAAUUAUCUCCGUCUUCAGAAAGUAAGCUAUCAAACUCUUGCCAUUUGGUACGACAACUGAAUUGUCUUAUACAGGUCCCUGCUUGAGAUUACAAAUGGAAGAAAUAAAUGAAGAAAGCACAAAUGAUAAGUCUGUGAAGGAACCUUCAAAGAUAAGAAUGGCUCCAAAUGCAUGCUAUUAAUACCCACUAUUGCUCAAGGGCAGACAUUAAAAGGGCAUUGAAGAACCUGCUGCAAGGUAGUUUAUAUCUUUUCUUCAGAGUAUUUUGGGUUGCAGGUUGCUUUUGAUAGCACAGAGAGGUGGUGGUGAUCAAGUAAAAGAUCAAAAAUGAAAAAUUAGAACAUAAUAUCAAUUCUUCUCAUAUAUAGAUAAACCAAGCAACUAUUCCAGCAUAAAUCAUUUAAAGAAAAAACAACAGAAAGAUGAAAGGAAUGCACCAGAGCAUAGAAAUAUGUAGUAAUGAGCGCCUAAAACUGAUAGAAAGAGCCUUACACAACGUCUUGCAGAAAAUUUAGUAUUGUCCUUCCCCUUGCUAUCAGUUUCCUCUGACACCAAUAUGAAAGAUGGAUCUUCUUCCUUUUCCAGUGAAGCGUCAGUAGACCUGCUGAAACAAUUGAAACUUCCAGUCUUAUAACAGAAGAAAAAACAGAAAUUGCAGUUAAGAUAAGAUAUACUCAAUUCAACUAUAGUUGAAUUCGAGACUGCGAAUGCUAUAUAAAUUGGUUUCCUCCAUUCGACCAAGUCUAGAGAUAUAUCUAUAGAAAAGUUAGAAGAGUUGCAAAGUCCUUUCUCAGUACUUUACCCCCACGUCAUCUUAGGCCUUACCCCUUCCUUUCCUUUUACAAUCUUUCUACUGGUAUAUUCGCCACUUCACACUUUGCUAUGAAACCGUUCAUUUGUUAUCUGGUCCAUCCUUAUAUUUAUGUUCGUCAAUCUUGGCAUUGGUAACAUUUGAAAGAAAAAGGAAACGAGAUUGCGAGGGACACAGUCAAGACCCUCGAAGCUUAAUAACAUUCAUAACUUUAACCACAUUUGUUGAAUGGCACCAGUUGAACUCUCAGAUGCAGGUAGCUCUAGUCCACAUGAGCACGCAUGUGCCACAUAAAAAGAAUGGUAUCCUACAUAGGUUCUUAUUCUGCUCUGUGGGCCUUGGGCACCAAACCAGCCAAAAGCACAACCUUACUGAAUAUGUUGGGUUAAUUGCAUCGCUGGUACCAAAUCUUUACACUUUUUUCCAAAUGGUACCAAACCUUCAAUUUGUUUCGUUUUGGUACCACUCCUAUUAUUUCUGUAUCUUCCGCCAGUACCAAAGAGGAAUCCGACACUUAUUUGCUAAUGUGGCUGCCGGAUUUUGAAUUGAUAACACACCACUUGCCACACCUAUUGCUGACUCAACAACUUAAUUCCUAGUCAGCAAUUAACUAAUUACUUUAAAUUUGAGCUAAAUAAUUGAGAGAAAUUGUAAUGAAAUUGAUUUCUUCCUCUAAGCUAACCCAAAAGUAACCGUUGGUAUCAAACCUCAAAAAUCAACGCAAACCGCUCGACUUCCACCUCCAUUGUCAACAAUCUCUCGUUUCUCGUCUCUGACCUUCUUCUUCGUACCUGGACAUUGCAACAUUGUAGAACAAUGACACUCGACUGGUGAGUAAGAGAGAAAGCCGAAGAUCCACCACUAUACUGUAAGUACAAGCGGACCGAUAGUUAUUUUGUAGUUAUUGAAAGCUAUUCUGCAUCUUUCAUUAAGUAAUGCAUACUGCAUUUAUUUGGAAGUUAACAAUGCAGGGGCUAGGGUUUUCCCUAAUUCCUUUUUAAAAAUACAAAGAAUGUUGAUGAUGUUUGUUUAUAAACACUGCUUGUGUGUGGUUGUUUUACAUUUAUUUAAUUAAUUUAUUUUGCAGUGCCUAAUUCUAAAUACUUCACUUUGUAUUGGCAUGAUUAUGGAGUUGAUGUUAGAGGUGAACCUAAGUUAUGUGAUAUAGGAGCUGUGGAUUUUUGUAGUUUAGAUAAGAUAUCCAUGAUAGAAAUUGAUUCAAUGGCUAGAGAGCUAGGGCUGAAUCCUGAAACAAAGCUGAUUAUGUGGAAGGAUCCUACAAAGAGUAUAAGUGAUGGGUUGAGAAGCCUUGAAACUGAUAAGGAUACUCUAGAAAUGGCAAUGGCUAUGGAGGGUUCUAAAUUAAUGCAUAUAUUUAGUAGGGAUAAAUGGAAAACAAAAGAAAAAACUGGAGAAGAAGCUGGGGCAGAAGCUGGGGCAAAAGUUGGGGCAGAAGCUGGGAAGGAGGCUGUGAAAAAUAAGGAUGAUGGCAGCUGUAAGGAUAGUGAUGCAGAUUCAGAAGACAGUGAGUUUGUGGACUCUGAUUAUGACCUGAGGGAUGAAGAUGCUGAUGAUGAUGCCAUGUUUAAUGAGUUUAUUAAUAAGGAGCUUGAGAAGGACAGACCAUCUGGUUCUAGAAGUGCUAGGCAACCUGCUGAGGAGUUGUCUGAAGAAACAGAUGCAACAGUUUAUGGUCCAUCAGAUGAGCUGGUGUCAUGCUCCUCAUCUGAACACAGUGAUGCAGAUUCAAGGAAGCAGAGAUGGCCUGUGUUUAAUGAGGAGACUGACAUGGCAAAUCCCUGGUUCAAGAUUGGAAUGCUCUUCAGUUCCUUCAAACAAUUCAAGGAUGCUGUGAAGAGCUUAUCAAUCAAAAGCAGAAACCAUGUUAUAUUUAAGCCAAAUGCAAGGCAAAAUAUAAGAAAGGAUGCCAGUUUUUUAUUUGGGCCUACCUGCUGAACUCAGAUAAACAAACAGUGCAGAUAAAGUCAGCCAAUUUCAUCUAAAACUGUUCAAGAGAGCCAUACAAUAGGCAUGUUAAUGCCGAUUGGAUAGCUGAACAAUAUUUUAAAAGGUUCAGAGCUUAUCCCAGUUGGGCAAUUCAAAGGAUCAUACAAGCUGUAAAAGAAGAUUCUGGUGUUGAAGUGUCCAGAUUGAAAGCAUGGAGAGCAAGAAAUGCUGCUUUGACAUUUAUCAAUGGUGAUGAGACAGAACAACUUUUUAGCCUUCAUGAUUACAAGCUAGAACUCUUGAGAAGUAAUAUAGGAAGCACAAUAGUUUUUGGUUUGAAUGAAGGUGUUUUUAACAGCAUGUAUGUGUGCUUUGCUGCAUUGAGGGAAGGAUUUAAGUUUUGUAGGCCUUUCAUAUCUUUGGAUGGUUGUUGGCUGAAAGGAGUAUUUGGAGGACAGCUUCUCACAGCUGUUGGUUUAGAUGCAAAUGAGUGCAUCUACCCAAUUGCAUGGUGUGUUGUGCAAAAAGAAAAUAAGGAGAACUUGAAAUGGUUUUUGGAGCUGCUAGCUCAAGAUGUGGGGAUAACAAACAGUUAUCAAUGGGUGUUUAUGACUGACAGGCAGAAGGUAAAUACUCUUUACAAUUUACUUUUCUAUUCCUUCAUAUAUUUUAGCAUAAUGGUAUUAAUUGUGUGUUGUUCUUUUGGAAUAGGGUCUUAUUCCUACCAUUGAAGAACUAUUCCCUAAUUCUGAACAUAGUUUUUGUGUUAGACAUGUGCAUAAUAAUUUUAGGAAGAAAUUUAAUAGUCUAGGGUUAAAAGAACUUAUGUGGGGUGCUGCUAAAGCAAGUUAUGUCCAGCUUUUUCAAAGGAUAAUGGAGAAGUUUGCAGCAGCAUCACAUCAUGGACAUAACUACAUGAAUAGCAUCCCUCCUCAUCACUGGUCUAGAUCUCAUUUUAGGACUGAUGCUAAAUGUGACAUGUUGUUGAACAACUUAUGUGAGUGUUUUAACAAUUUUAUCUUAGAUGCUAGAAGCAAGGGUGUGAUAGCUAUGAAUGAGGUAACUUAUAUUCAAUUGGAAUAUAAUACCCCUUCAAUUUCUUUCUUUCUAAUUGUAGGUGAAGAGGAAGACAAAAAAACAGCAAAAGGAAAAGGAAUCAAAUGCUGCAACUACUGCUGCAUAGAAUGUAGAUGACCAACCUGAUAAUGUAGCUCCUACAAACACAGCUCCUUUAGGGACAGCUUCAACAUUUGAUAAUUUGUCACCGCUAAUACCAUUGUUACAGGUAAGUAAUAUGUCACCUAUAAUAUUUAUUCAGUAAUGUCAACUGUUUGCUAACUUGAGACUUUAUUAUACAGUUAUUCAAUGUAACACCAUCAGCAAAAAAAUCAGAAAAACCUGCAGUUCACUCUACUACAUCACCUUCAAAACCUACCAGCAAGAAGAGUAAAAGCAUUAAUGAUUUGUUGAGUGAGCUGCCACCAGAUCUGGCCAUUGGAAGACUUUCAGAAACACAUAAAGGAAGAACUAAAGCUAAGGGAAAAAAGACUUUCAAACCCCCAGGGUUGUUGAGCAAAGAUCUUGGGGCUGAAGGAGUUACCAUAAGAACAAAACAAGACAAAGGAAAACAGAAGAUUGAUGGAAGUGUUUCAACAAAGAAGAGAGCUUGGGUGCCUCCAGGAAAUGCAAAGAACAAAGGAAUUACAAUUGGAAACCCUAAAAAAUAAUGUUUAUUUUGGUUGUUGUGUUGUUAAUAUGUUAAUAUAUGUGUGGACCUAACAUGUGGUCAUUUGACAGAAUUUCUUUUUUUGUAAUGGCUUUUGACAGUCUUGGGCGUAGGGUUCAUAUGGACAAAAUUUCUACAUCCAUUCACUUUUUGUUUAAACAUUUCAUUAUUUAAAGUAAUCAACAGAGUACAAUUAUUUUCACUCAAUUUGUCCGUUGCGAGGAUUGCUCUAUAUAGGACAUGUCUGCAUAUUUAUUAUAACAGUAACAUUCAAAUGAAGCAAUAUUAAUCAACUACUGUAAAAACCAAAUACUCAUUUAUCAUUUCAUUCAUUCAUCAGUAAAUUACAUAACUAACAGUAGUUGUAAAUACUACUGUAUCCAAACUACAUCUUUAAGUAAAGCUAUAUCUUAAAAAUAACAAUCCUAGCCAAACCAUAACAGCCAAGCUUAGACAGGUCCAUUCUGCACUUCAUGCUCUUUCUUCUUUCAUUUUCUGCAGCUUUGAAUUUAGCAAUUUAAUCCAUUCUUGUACUCAUUCAGCAGCUCAGUUGUAAGGUGAGAUUCACCACUGUUCAUUUUUAAGUUAAUAAAAUGACAAAUGAAGAAUAUGUACAAGAAGAAGGUUCUUCAUUACAACUCAAAACAUAUUAAUGUAAGCUAAGACAGCAUCCCCAAAACUUACUAUAAUAGAGCAUAACCAAACUUGCGCCUGGAUUUCCUUUCAGUUCGAGAGACGAAGCUUCACUUUCAGUUCGAGAGACGAAGCUUCACUUUCAGUUCGACAGACGAAGUCACCAUGUACAUAUAGAUCAGUGGCUCAACUCCAACACUAAACACACUGUAAUCCAAUAUGACACGAUAAAGAACAAGGACACUACAGAAUCGAUUAUUACAGAAAGUAAAUCGAUCGAUAUAAUAAAAACUAGGUUUCAUAAUUUAGGAAUUUUCCUGAUUUAGGGUUAUAAAUUGGGAAUAAAAACUAGAUGUUUUUAAUUGCUGAGUUGGAUAACUAUUUGUUGAGUCAGCAACAGAUGUGGUAAGUGGUGUGUUAUCAAUUCAAAAUCCGGCAGCCACAUCAGCAAAUAAGUGCCGGAUUCCUCUUUGGUAUUGACGGAAGAUACAGAAAUAAUAGGAGUGGUACCAAAAAGAAACAAAUUGAAAGUUUGGUACCAUUUAGAAAAAAGUGCAAAAAUUUGGUACCAAUGGUGCAAUUAAUCCGAAUAUGUUCCAUAACUCGUAGAAAAAAUUUGUCACAUUUAAGGCGGACUGCCAGUUGGAGCCAUCAAACCUCAACUAGUCUGAAAUGGAUCAAAAUGUACUUGCCCCUCUCUUCUGCAGGAUUAAUCAACAUACAUUAAGUAAACUUCAAUCCAAGAAGUAACACUUGAUGAACUCGAUCAAAUAAUAAAAGUAAUACAUAGACACAAUCAUCAAAUGGUGGCAGAAAAUUGACGUCCAAGGAAUAUAAUUAUGUAUGACUUACAUUAGACUUAGAUUUCUGCUUUGCCACAUGAGUGAUAAAAAUUCUAGCUAGAAGUAUGGGAACAAAAUGUUAAAACAGGCUAAUGCUAACAUCUCAAACCACCAACUCAAAGUUUUUCAGGCAUCACUAGAUAUCCUAAGUGCUACAAUCAGCAAUAAACUGCAAGUAGAUGUAAAUAAAUUUCCCCCCUUUAUUGAACGUAAUCUACAAAUCCAGAUUGCAUCCGUUCUUAAUUUUCAAUCCCAAAUCCUAAACAAUAUUCCCAUAACCUACCGCAAAAGCAUACAUAGAUAAAUAAAGAAAAACUCCAUCCGGAACUUCAAAUUAUAAUUGAAAGAACCUAACCUCUGGUUGGUGUUUCCACCUUCUUGACAUCUCCAUAAGAAACCGAACGGCUUUCAUUGUCAGAGAACACAAGGCUCCGAGUGCAAGUCUGAAUAUAAAAUGCUUCUGGAAGUCCUUGUAUUCCAAGAUCAAAACUUUCUUUCUUACAAUUAUCAUAAGCAGCCAAAGUUUCAUUGUAUUUAGACACCAAAGACUCCUCAUUAGCCCUUAACCCCAAAACUCUAUCACCCACGUCAUCAAAUUCAACAAUAAACAUUUUAGUCCAAGAAUUUGCAUCCCCAUAUUCUUUUCCAAUACACACUUAACAAAGUUUGUGAAAAUAAGCUAAUACAGCAAGUGAACUAUUAAGCUCAGCAAUAAGCAAAUUCAGUGGACAAACUUUAAUCAAACUUUCAGGUAACUUCAUUUUGGAGUUGAAGUGGAAAGAGAAGGUUUGGGUUCUUAGGUUUUCGAUGAAGCAGCAGAGAACAAGCCCAUCGGAGAGUGGCGGUGGAUGCUUCCUUAUUACUACUGUUCUUGAAAGCUUUGCUGUAAGACUCUAAAAUCACUCUACUGAAUACUGGGUUAGUCCAUUAAAUGUAUCCUUCUUUUCUUAUGGGGUUAUGGUCUACAAAUGUCAGGAUAAUUUAUCCUUUUGUUGUUCGUAAAUUGAGUAGAAACUAGAAAUCAAAGUCCAAAUGGGCCUAAAUAGAAAGCCCAAUUUGGGCAUAGUCCUGUUUCGGAAAAGGUUAGGACAAUCCAAGCCAUUAAUUGCUGACAGAAGAUGAUUCUUUUACUGUUUCUUUUCUUUUACAAAACAUGACUUUGGCAUUAAUUGCCAGUUAAAAAAAAAUUAAAAUGGGUACUAGUGGAAAAAAAGUUAUAAUAUGUAUAACUAUUAGAUAUAUUUUAAAUAUUUUAUAUUUGGUAAUAAAAGUAUAUAUUUUAAAUUUUAUAAUUAUUUUAUUACAUACUACUAAUUCAACUGCAUAAAUCUUUAUUGAAUUUAUUUAUUAGAACCUUUUGUCAAGAAAACUGUUAGUAGAUCAUGACUCUCCCAUGAUUAAUACCAACAAAAUGUGCAAGGAAAACAAUUUUCAUACUAUAGGAAACAGAUUACUCGAAGGAAGGAACAACAGAUUGUUGGAAAGGCUUUAUCAGAAAUGCAAAUAAAAAGCAGUGUCAGAACCAAAUAUUUCAUGGUUGAGAGUCCUGACAAUGAUAUCCUUCUUGCUCCACUUGCUAUGAGUCAUAGUCACCAGUGAUAGAGAGGAAUGUUAACAUGGUUGUUUUUUGUUUCUCAUUUGAAGUCAGUAAUUGUCACUAAAAACUAGUAUCCACCAUUUUUAAGUUCAAUAAAAAUGAUAGAGAAACAGUGCCCUAUCUGCCAAUUAUUAUAAUGGCAAUGUGGUUAAUAUUUUUACAUCCAAAUAUCAAAUUUUGAACUGUCAUAUUAUGACUCAGGAGGCAUGAUGAUUAUUUUAGAAAAAUUUCGCAGAAUAUGGCUUCUAACAAUGGAUAGUUCCCUGUUUUCUUCUACCAUCAUAACCAUGCAUUAAAUGUUCAGAAUUAUGAGCAUCGUACAUGAAUGUAGGGUUUUGUCCUGGUCUAUGUAAAAUUUUACACAUUCCAGGCAUCAACAAAAGUAACUUGCUUCCCAAUGAAAUAGCAUCCAAAAUACCCUCCCUUUUUCUUUCUUUUUUCGCAGAUGACAGCAACUAGCUAGACUUUCCAUGUGAGCUUAGCAAAUGCCUUUUUCAUUGAUAUCAAGCUAGAUAUAUAAUUGCCCAUGUUAUAAAAUUCAGACAUCUUCAACAAAAUAUAGCAAACGACAAUAAUAGCUAGAGUGUAAUGUGUACAUCACUUUUUGUUAUUAGAACUUCAGGUUUUGGUGUACAUAAUAUAUAUUGUAGGGCAGUGUCAAUGAUAUUCAGAACUGGGACCCCUUUUUAAUUGGCUGUGAAACUAUAUAUGCACAAUCAAUUAUGGAUCAAGGUACAACAAUAAGCAAUGAUGUCGAAUAUGAGUUGUCAAAUUAUUGAUUUUGAUCUGUACAAGUGAAUGUUUAUUUUGUUUUCUGUCUGAUUGACAAGAGCACAAUGACAUAUAAAAAUAUGUUUUGAGUUUCUUGUCCAGCUACUUGAAGAAAUUAAGAGAAAGAUAUGUGCAUAUAUAAUUUGGUCUGAUUUAUAUUUUUAUAUAUGAUAAUUGAAGAAGUAUUAAGUUGAAGUUCUUUUCAACUAUUAUCUGCUAAUAGAUUAGGGAAAAAAAAAGAAUUUAAAACUAAUUUCAUAUUAUAGUUAAUUAAAGAAAAAGUUUUCUUUUUUUUAAAAAAGAUUUAUUGAAAAGUGAUUAGGUUCUGAAUGAAAAUUUAUGAGCCUUCUUAAAGACAAAAGCAGCUGUAGAAUUCAGAUCUGAAACCCUAAAUUAAUGUCUUACAGGGAGUAUCCCUACCCUAUUUAUCCCUUAUAAAUUAAUGGUCUUACUCUCACAGUUACAGUCUUAUCUUUAUGAGCUAAUUAAGUGUUAAAAGUAGAGAUGUCUUGAGUAGAUAAGAACACAUUUACACGACUUUACAACUAGAACCAAGAAAUGAAAGUAAAGAAAAAGGAAAAAUAGACAAAUAGAGAGAGAUCAGGGAUAUUAUGGAUGGCCUGCAAUUUCAGAGGCAAAAAAACAUGGACAAAUAGAGGCCUUCCAAAUCUGAAGUAUGUCAAACAUAAAUGCAAUAUAAGCAAGACAAACAAGCAAUACAAUUGACAGCUUUGGCAGUUCCUCUAAUCUAAAGGUGUCUCUUUACUCUUGCUGCCAUUGUCCUUUUUUAGGAAUUCAACUAAACUUUUCUUUUGUAAAAAAAUAUAUAAAUAAAUAAAUAAGGGAAAAACCAUUUUAUCAUAAUAGUUUUAUAUCUAUGGUUCAUGACACUAAAUUUUGUACACUAUUUGUUGGAAUGGAUUUGCCUUGAUAUUGUUUAAGAACUAUUACAUCAGUUGAAAAACUUCAAAAAUAUCUUUAUUAUGUUAAUAAAUGGACAUUGGUUUCUAGUAGGUAGAGUUGAGAGAUAAGAAAAUAUCUUUCUAUUUCCCUCUGACCAAAUUCUGCUACCCUUUGCAGUAGUAUCAGAUAGCUCCUCUCAUAAACUGGGUCAGGAUUCUUCUCUUUCUCCCUCACAUUAACUGCUAGAAAACCUUUCCCUUUGCCCUUUUCUUGGUAGUGGUAAAAUCUUCUUUCUAUGAUUCUGGGAUCAGCGGCUGCAAAAAGGUUUCAGCUUUGAGAGCAUCAAGAAACUAUAGCAACAACAGCACCAAGAUCAAAAUGAAGGAAAGCAAGUAGCUUUUGAGUAGAGUAAGUAGUACUAGAACUCUUUUUUUAAGGUAGCAAGAAUUUUAGGAUGAGCAGAAAAGAAAGAUGAGGAAUCUUGAUUUUCAGAUAAAUCAGCAGCAACAGCUACAGAAUCCUGUGUACCGAGAAACUCAACAACAAAAUCUUGACAUACAGCAACCCCUUCACCAACAACACCGUCAUCUUCUGCAAAACAAUCAAGAAUAUGGGGAAGCCUUAAACUUAAGCCAAGCAGAAGUAGAGCCUAGCAGACAAUCUUUACAAUUUACAAAAUCUAGACAGAGAACAGGAAUGAAGGGCGCUGUAGGAGAAAUUGUUCAAGCUCAAGGAGGCCACAUUCUUCGGUCUACUGGCCGUAAAGAUCGACACAGCAAGGUUUGUACUGCUAAAGGUCCUAGAGACCGCAGGGUUCGAUUAUCUGCUCAUACCGCCAUAGAUUUCUACGAUGUUCAAGACCGGCUAGGCUACGAUAGACCGAGUAAAGCAGUUGAUUGGCUCAUUAAGAAAGCAAAGUCUGCGAUCGACAAACUUGAUGAGCUUCCACCUUGGCAUCCAACUGCUAAUGAUACUAACGAAGCCAUGGAAACGGACCAGAAUGUUGAGCCUACUGAAAUGCCUAUCGGCGAGCAAUUAGAAUCUUCUGGCUAUACAUUUCAGCCCCAUAAAAGUAAUUAUUCAUCUUUCGUUUCACCAACUAUAGACCCUGAUGCCCUUAAUGAUACUAUGAAAUCUUUGUUUCCAACAAGCUCCGCAAACUCUUCAAUGCACUUCCAGAGUUAUCCGCCUGAUAUAAUCUCAAGAACCAUAAACCACACUGAAGAUCUUGGUCUAUCACUUCAUUCUUUUCAAAACCAAAGUCUAAUUCAUGGGCAGUCACAGGCAGGCACAAGCCAUACACCUUCAGAUGAACUUGCAUCAGCUCAAGUUGAGUAUGAACCCAAUUUGAUAGGUUGGAGCAAUAAUACUAGUGCAAGAAGUAGAGCUGGUGGUGCGUUUUCAUUUAACCCUCUACCAAUACCUCUACAACAAGCAAUGUUCAGCCAGAACUCAGCACUUUCUCAGAGGGGAUCCCUUCAGUCCAAUUUUUCUCAAUCUAUGCAUACUUGGAAUGAUCUUACUAUGUCAUCACCAGAUCACCAUAGAACACAGGUAAUUCAUCAGCCUUUCAUUUUUGGCAGUAGGUUUGCUCCUGAAGCAUUGGCAGGUCAUAGCAUUCCAGCGCAAAUUCAUGGGCAGGAAGAGCAACGCUUUGUUUCAGAUAUGCCUUCCUCUGCUUCUCCAAAUUCUCAACAUUGAUUAUCUACAAGGUACUUCAUGCCAACCCUUCUUUGUUUUUCUCUUUUUUAACUACCUUGUCUGUUUGUGCCAUUUCUAAUUGUAAUCAAUUGGAAAAUAUAUGUCCAAAUAUAGAAUCGAGACGAACCACUGUAGAUGAAGAUCAAAUCGAAGAUAAAGAAUCAGACGUCCAGUCAAUUCAACUCUAUACCGCAAUUGAUGGGAAGUAAACAUCUGAUUGAGGUUAACAUUUUAUUCCUGUUCUUAGUUAUAUAUUCUUGAUGGAUUCCGCCAUUAUUCUGUAUUGACCUUAUAUGAUUAUUUGGUGGGCUCUUUUGGCUAAACUUUGUUAUAAGCCAUUUUUUUUUCCUUUUUAAGUGUUUUCUUAUCUUAACUGAUUCUGUGAUUGAGCUUGCUUGUUUAUUAUAAGUGAGCUUUUCUGCUAUGUACUACAUUUGUGACUGUUGAUUAUUGCUGCUUGAAAUGGUGUCUGAUGUUAAUAAUAGUCUUUCUUUGUUAUCGUUGAUAACUCCUUUUGCUUCAUUUACUCGACAGAAACAACAUACUAAUUAGUGAAGUGAAGCACAACGAUGACUAUUAAAUUCUUGAAUUAUCCACCCACAUAAUGAAGAUUGGAAACUUACUCUUAAAGGGAAUGUUAUAUUUAUAUUACCCAUCUGUGUAGCAAACAGAAAAUUAGACUUGGCCCAUUAGACACUGUAUCAAGACAUAAUGCGAAGACUCCCCAUAUAGGAGCCAUCCUUCCUAUUCAUACACUAAUGGUGGAUUUUUGUCUAUAUUAGGCGUAUAUACUUACGUAUAAAAUAUAUUUUAAUAUUAAUAAUAUAUUUAGUUAUUUAAAAUUAAUAAUACAUAAAUAGGAAUAUAGACCCACCAAUCAUAAAGCAAUUUAUGGUUUUUCGUGUGCCCUUUUAUAUUUGCAGUGAGAUUGGAGCAAUACACUAGGCAAAACGAACUACUUCCCAUUUCUUUAAUUUGUGGAAAAUGGGGAGUGGGGGACUUUAUGAGCCAUCUUCAAGGGUUGUGUCCUGACUUAUAGCUAAUUUUCUGCCAACUGGAAACGUUCAAAAGCCAUAAUGUUGCAUUCGGUUGGUUAAAAUCAUAAUAAUGGUAAUACCUUUUCAUCGUGAAGCUCAAUUCAUAAUUUCAAAACCCAUUUCCAGAAGGAUUUCAUUGAAAAAAUUAUGGAGCUUCAGCUUUCUUUCUGCUCUAAUUUACCUCUCAAUUCUUAUCCUUACGUCCUAUCGGUCUGAACUCGGAAAUGUAAACCCAAAUUCACACCCUCAAAGUCCUGCCCAUAUUUUUCAGAUAGUUAUAAGUGGCCUAGCAAUGCCUAGUCUUUUUCUUCUUUUUUUUCGGAAACCAUUCAUUGUGUGCCACUUGAUGCUGACGAAGAUGUGACCCAUGCCACUUGGCAAUCACGAUGACAUGUCAUUCAUUAGUCACCUAAAAAGCUGAUGACAUAGUAUGGAUAUAUAUAUAUAUAUAUAGACCAUAUCCAAACUCUUUUUACAUUGUAUAAGANNNGUAUUAAGAAAAUCACUGCAUGUAAACAUAGAAAUGAUGCAUUUUUAAAAAGCUAAAUAAAAUAAAUUCUGAGAGUCCAAAAUAUUAUAAAUGAGGUUUGGCAGUAAAGAUCAGAUCCCACAAGAAUUUUCCAAUAUAACAUGUCACCCAUAACAUGGAACAUGCACAGGCAACUGUUUAUGAUGUGGAGCAAUCAUUUGCUUAGCAAAAUUGCUUGAAGAGAUGCAUUAUGUGAAAAUAGGUGCCAUAAAAGUGAAUUACAUUAAUAACAAUAAAAUAGAAAUUUCAAAAAAAAAUUAUAUUUAUAUUUAAAUAAUCAAUUAAUGCCAUAGUUACAUCGCAUAUUUAAUUAAAACCUUAAAAUCAAUUAAAAUAAAUAAUAUAACACUAUUAAUUAACGUGAUUAACUUUUAUUCAAUGUGUUAAUCAAUUACCUAAUAGAUAAAAUUUAUAUGAAAAUUUUCCAAUAUAAAUUCUAUACACAUCAACUGAUCUAGCAUGGGGCAUUUGUCAUUAUAAAUGACAUGUAAAUGCAUGUGCCAUAACAUUCAUACAAGGCAUUAUUAAUUAGCAUGUUCAGUUAUUUAUUACUACCGUUAGAUUAAAAUGUAUACGUCAAAAUCUCAGUUCCCUUCCUAGACGAAACCUCAAAAGAAGUUAAAUACUCAGUCGCCCAAUACUUAUUCGUAUACUGUAUGAGCAUUUCAUAAGAGAUUAUAAGAAUUCUAUAUAAUAUGUGCUGCAUCAUCCUAUUAAGCAGGUGUCAUUGACACAUCAACAAGGUGAAGGGUUAUGUCCUUCCGAGUUUCUUUUUCUUUCUUUUUCCUCCAAGAGGCCAGUGCAAGUGACGAAUUACACAAACCAUGGAACCGUAAUUCCAAUCCAGUGGCCAUAGUUGGAACAACAGUCUAUCAGAAUGAUACAUUUUCCGAAAUUUGAAGAAGAAAGAAGGAAAAGAAAAGGGAAGGGAAAGAAAGAAUGAAGACAGAGAUUGUCAUCUAGCUUCGGCAUAGGCAUGCAAUUAAAGAUUAAAGAGAGGAGGAGAAAAAGAAAAUAAAAAAGGUUAAGUGGAAGUCCUAGAAAAGGACAAUGGCAGAGAGACAGAGAGCAAAGACACUGACUUGACAAUGUCUAUUGUCUUUGUGUUUGUAAUACAAAUAUACAAAUUUCAGCCCCUUUUCUGUUAUCUGUGGCAAGACGUGAAAGCCACCAAUCGUGCGCGUGAUCCGAGAUAAUCAUUAUUUUGUCAACACCUCUGAACCCUGCACCAAAUAUUUUUAUAUAUAAAUACAUACAUUGUAUUAAAUAUUUUUCUCAAAAUUUUCUUUUUUUUUUUUUUUGCUUUGACAAUAAUGCAAAAAUUGAUGAUGAAGAUAGACACUAGUGUUUGCUGCUUACUUUUUGUCUUACUUAUAUUUGCAUUUAUUUUUGACAGCUUGAGACUUUGAGAGGCCUCUCUAUUAAUUUCUUUUCAUCCUCUCUGAGUCUUUGCACUAGGCCACGGCCACCCAUAAGAAUAUCUUCCAAUUUCUGUCUUUCUUUUUUACUUUUUCAAACCCAUUUUUCUUGGACAAUUGUGACAUAAUUAGCCCAUUAGAAUGCCCUCCUCUCUUACAAGUUACAGUAGAAUAGGGAUCCUCCCUAUAACACAACUUGGGGUUUCUGUCCUGUAUUCUUCCUGCCAUGCAUUUAACAGCUGCUUGCCUUUAAACUCUUCCUAAAUUGCAUUCCAAAUCUUAGUUACCUUUCAUUAAAAAAAAAAAAUCAUUAUUUUUUUCAUUUGUUAGUGUAGUUAGUUAGGAUUUGUUUGGUUAAGUGUUUGUGGCCAGUGGUGGAUAGCUAUGGUCAACGGGUAGCGGUGAAAGAGUCAGCAGUCAGCAAUCCAAGGUUAAUAAUUAACAGUUAUAAUUGAUUAAGAAGUGUGUGGCAAUUUAUCGGUUAGACAUAUAUUUAUAUUAUAAAAUUACUAAUCAAGAGAUUUGUGAUUUUGUAUUUAAAAUGACAAAUUAUUCUAAUUAAUAUGUGAAUAAUUUUACUUUUUUAUUAGUAACAUAAACUAAUAAUAAUAUAACAUGUAUAUGUUUACUUAAAACUAAUUUUGAUUACAGAUUGAUUAGUUGUAAUGGAAAAAUGAAAAGACUGUUUUAGACAAUAAACUAGCUUUUGCUAGAAUUUCCAAUUUUGACAAAUUGAAUUAAAUAUUGAUAUGAAAUAUUAUUUAAAAAAUAUUACAUUCGUAUUGAUUAGUUUAUUUAUUAUCAUUAAUUAUCAAUGAUUAAAAAUUUAUUAAUAUACAUUUAAGGCUUAGUUUAAGUGGCAAAAAUAAUUGCUUUUGCAAAGUGGAGGUGUUGAGUUCAAAACUGGAUGCACGGGAUGAGAUUUCUCUUUCACAGCAAGAGUAAGAGAUGUAUAUUCCUUGUUGUGUAGCCCAUAAUCUAUCGGCUUUCUUUAAAUAAAAGAACUACUAGUACAAAUACAACAACUAACAAAUAAUGUGCCACUGCCACUUAGUAGAUUGAAUUUACCUAGUUAACCCUAAUAAGCGUUUGAGGCAUCCAACUGCCGACCAUUAGGAAUGAAAAGCUGAGCCAAAUAAGUGGUAAAGAAGAGGGAGACAUUGCUCCAAUUUUGUAGAAACCCAUUCAAUGGAGGGGCAAAAUACUAACCAUUUGAAGCCCAUGUGGUCUUUCACUGUAAUCUCUAUACGUAUUAAUUUACCUUAGUUUGGUCAGUUGGUGGCUAAGAUGCAUGAGAAAGAGAAAAAAAAAAAAAAAAGAUUGGUGUCACUGUCUUCCAUGGCAGGCAGAUAGAAAACAAAACAAGUAUUCACCCAUACGGAUCGAUCCAAAUCAAUAAUUUGACAACUCAUAUUUAAACAUCAAUUGUUUUGUUGUACAACAUUGGUCAUAAUUGAUUGCGCAUGGUUUCGCAGCCAACAAAUUAAAAGGGUCCCAGGACACAGUUGAUUAAAAUUCACACCACCCUACACUUACACAUUUUGUACAUAUGAAUUAACCUGCACUUCCAAUAACUAAAGAGAUUAAGACAACACAUUGGGGGAGCUAUUAUUGUUUGUUGAGGAUAUCUGUCUGAAUUUUGGAACAUGGGGCAGCAGCAUAAGGGCUACAUGCACCAGUGACAAAGGCAGGCAUUUCCAGUAAUAUAGCUCACGUGGGAAGUGAAUAGAGCUGCUGCUAUCAUCUGCUGGAAAAGUGAGGGUUUAAAAACAAACGAAUUUCAACUCCAGCAAGUUACUUUCUUUUCUUGUAUUUGUUGGUUGGAGGAUAUGAAUUAUUAUAUAGCAAGGACCCAUUAUAAUUUCAUCACCCUAUAGUUCUUACUCUCAGUGAAUGAAGACAUGGCUGUACAGGUAAUAUUUUAGAAUGCUCAUAUUACAGUUGUACACUGAAUAUUCUAGGUCAUAGGCAAGUAUGACUCUUUCUAUUACUAUCAUUUCUGUUGGAUUUGAAUCCGGAUAUGCUCAUAAUGGGUUAGUACAUCCGGGUCCAAAUUAAAAAUAUAUAUAAAAAAAAAAAAGACUUCUCCAUAAAUAAACAAUAAAGAAAGAUGGUAGUUUCUCUUUUGAUUUCUCUACACAAAAUAAAGAGAAUUAGAUUGUAAAAAUAUAAAUGAUUUCCGUUUGUGACUACAUUCUACGACCAACUAUCAAUGUAUGAUCCAAAUCAUUUCUGCUUCCACAAUUUACGAAUCAAAUUAUUAAAAUAUGUAUAUAAUUAAUUGUAUCAAAUGAAUUAGUUUUCCUUGAAUUUCAGUGGGGUUAAAAAUAACAGAUGCAAAGUUCUUGGUGAAAAAUAGUGACGCAACAGCAAACCCUGAAGAAAAAGCUAUGCAAUUCGGAUGUUUUGAAUUAAGAAAAAAGAAAAUCAUUAGAAUUGUGGGAAUCAAUUAUGCUAAUGGUAGGGUGGGUACUUUUCUCCUAACAUUGGUGAAGACGACAUAGCAAGUGGAGCAUGAGAGGGGGUGUCAAUAUCAAGACUCUCAACCAUGAAUGAAAUAUUUAAUUUAAUUUAUUUUAUAUGCAGCUUCCUUUUAUAUUCUUUUUAGAUAAAACUUUGCAACAUUCCCUUCCUUCCUUGCAAGAAAAAAGAAGAAAUUCCAUUUUCGGUAUAUUUAACGACGAGAUAAUUUUAUUUAAAUUUAGUGUAUAUACCUCAGUUAAAUACGAGAGUGACACAUAUAUAUAUAUAUAUAUGAGUAUUUUAUAUAUUGAUACUGAAUAAUUGACAGAUACUUAAUCAUUUAAAACUAAUAAAUAUGUAUCAAUUAUCUAUUAAUUUAGUAGAGACAUAUACUUAGUCUAGAAAUCACUCACCAUUGGAUACUAUAAACAUGGAACAGCAAAUGAUCUAUUGGGCAGCAGUUCCUGGACAAAUAGUUUCAAGAAAAGAAAAAAAUUUCACUUUUUAACUUGAAAAGCCUUUUCUAAUAGGGAAAUUUAAGCUAGGCAAUUAAGGUGCAAACCUAGCUAACCUUAUGUUAGCUUUUUGCCUAACAAUUAAGAAAAAUAAAAUAAAAUAAAAAGCACAAGUUUAAUAUUUUAUAGAGUAGCUGUGAAGGUGAUGAUGAAUUUAAUUAUAUUUUAAUGUUUUUGGGUCCAGAAACUAGUGAGGUCACUGCUUAGCCAAUCACUGGCUUGGUUUGAUUUUCCCAAUAUCCUUCUGUGAUAGUGAGAGUUGUUUAUAUAAAGAAAUGAAAGCAUAUAUAUAUACAUACAAUAAUUCUCUUCUUUUACUUGCCAAUUGCUAUUCUCUUUCUGUCCCUUUCUAUCUUUAGCUGUGCUUUGUCACUGCGUAUCAAACAAUCCCUACUAGACACCAUUAAUCAACUAUCUUUUAUAUGGCUGCAUUUCGAUUGUGUUUCCCUGUCCUAUUUUUCUUUUUUCCUUUAAUUACUUACUGCUUUUCAUAAAACAAUUUUCAAAAUGGGUUUAACAUCUGCAGUCUUUAUAUAUAUAAUAAAGGAAAAAUUAAUCAAUUAAUUAAAUCCUUUUUCAAUAUUAAUUUAACUAUAUAUAUAUUGGCUUGAGCUUUUGAUAAAUGCAACUUGCUCCACUUGAUCCUAGCAUUCCUUUUCUCCUUACUUGUUAGACCACAAAAAAGAAAUAUGACAUGUAAUUUCUAUUAUUAUUCUCUUUAAAUAUCUCAUUUUAUUAGGUAUUAUUAUAUGUAAGUCUAUUAAAUCAAAUAUUUAUUUUACAUAUUCAUUUAUUUAAUGCAUUUCUCAUUAUCUCAAUUUUUCUUUGUUACUAGCUUCUAAAAUAAACCUAACACAUGAAAGUGAUAUCGCUUUAAUUUAUCUAUAUAGCAUAAAAGAGGCAUUGACAAGGAAAGGAAAGCAAACAAAAGACUAAUUUCUCUUUAUGUAAUUUUUAAUUUAUUAAAUCUCUAAGUGAAGAAUAAUUAUUUAUCUUUUUUUUUUAAAGUAGUUUGGUGAGAUUUAAUUUCCGAUAUUUAUUUUUAAAAUAAUCGCGCCUUAUUAUUAGACUACCAUAUUAUUUAAUAAGAGUUAAACUAUAAGAAAAAGAACUAAUUUUACUUACACAUAAAUGAAAUGCUUUUUAUUUAACCUUUUCUUCUUUUCUUUUUGCUUUUUUUUUUUUUAAAGUGUAAUUGUUCAGAAAUUAAUGCCAAAGAUGGCAAAAGUAAAUGCAUAGGUUAAUAUCUAUAUUAGCAUGCAGUCUAAUUCCUAUAGUUUACAGUGGUAAUAAAGGAGUAUUUAUUAAAGUUUUUAAGGCUAUUAUGUCAGUGCAUUAAGUCUUUCUUUUGAAAAUUUUGAACAGAAAAUAUUAAUAUUAUUAUGGAAGAUUAUAUAAAGUCAAUGUUCUUCUUUAUUUAAAUUUUGAUAAUUUUUCACAGCAAGAAAAUAAAAUUUAGUGAGUUAUGACCAUAAAUAGAGAUUCGGAUUUUUAAUUAAAGAUGAUCCCAAACUAUUAUAAAUAGGUUGGUCACUGAGAUUUAAUUGAAUUAACUGCAGCCAAACAUCAAAUAAUGUGAACAUCAAUUAGAUUUGUGUACCCUUUUAAGUUAAAUAAUGAAUUGAAUUAUGAUUUCAUAUGCUUGUAUUAUAGUUGAGCUUAAAAUCUCUAAAUUAACAUCCAAUAUUUUUUUAUAAAUUUAACUCAAUUAGUGUAAUAUCCCAUAUGUUGAGAAAUUAUAAAUGGACUUGUCAAGUUUAAGUUGAGACUAUUAAAUUAACCCUAGUAAGAAAAUUUAAAUUAAUUUUAAUUAACUAGUUUAGUCGAAUGUUAUUCAGCUAGAAAGUUUUUAGAUCUGGAUUGUUACAAAUAGUAUUGAAAUUAUUUUAAAUUAAAAUUAUAUUAAAUUAAUAAAUUUAAAAGAAAAAGAUAUUUAGAACGAGAAAGAGUGGUCCAAAAACACUAGCAAAAUAUAGUAUCAAAAGUUUGAUUUUAGAAUCAAUUAUUAAGCAAAGAAAAACUCAAUAUCUAAAAUUCAACUUUAGCUCAAGCCAUCGCAACGAAAACAAGUCUAUUCUUUUUAGAAAAAAUUAUAAUCAUUUUGAAAAGAAAUUAUAAUAAAAAUUUAAUAUACUCUAAAUAAAAUUAAUUAUAUAAUAACAUGUAAUAUUAUAUAUUAAUGUGCUAGUUAUAAAUGAGUGUAUGAGAAUUAGGAAUGGAAGAAGGACCUUAGGAGGCAAAAGAGAGGCAUGUGGGAAAGGCAUAAUUGCAGUGUCCCAUUGAAUGUGAAAGCUCGCAUGUCAUUUCAGUGAUGAAUUGGGUCACUAAUUGACUAUUGAGAACAGAACAGAAAACACUCCUUACUCCUACUAUUAUUUCACACUUUGAUGAUUCCCUUUGCUUUCACCCAUUUUCUAAUAAAUACCUUAACCUUCUCCCCCAAUUAUCCCUUUCUUCCUUCCCACUUUAUGCUUUAGGGUUUUUCGGUUAUCAUAGUACACUUUUUAUAAAAAAGACUUCUUAUGUCCACCAAAAACUAAAAUACUUCCUUACCCAACAAAAUAAAUAAAAUACAAACACUUUUGUACAUUACCAUCAAAUCCUGUUUAAUUGUAUUUUGAUCCGAAUUCACUUUCUUCUUCUUUGCUACCGCAAAAUCUCUUUUCCCUAAUCUUGUUUCUGAGGGAAUAAAGAACUCAUAUAAUUGAUAGUUAGGUUCUUGAAUUUAGAUUUUUGGGUUUGUGUUAAUUUUGUGAAUGGAGAAAAAUUUGUGGGUUUAAAAUUAGAGCUUGAAUAUGAAAUAUAAGUUUUUGAAUUAUCAGAAGUUUUGAUGAUUUUUCUUGAGUCUUUGAUCAAAAUUCCAUGUGGGUCUUCCAUUGGGGUAACUAAUUUUAAACUCUUGCUCAAAGCCAUUAAGAUAAAUAUUUUACUUCUAAUUUUGGUUGGAUGUUAAUUUUAAAAUAAAAAUAUUUUAAUGUGUUUGAUAAAUAAAAGAAAUUGUGCUAAAUGUGAUAGAAAUUUUUUAAAAAAUACAGAUAUUUAAAAAAAAUAUAUAAACAAGCCUAAUAACAAAAUAGAAACCAAAAAUAGAAAGAAUAGCUAUAUUCUUUCAAUGUUGAGAAUUGAGAGAGAAGUCCACGUGUUAUAAUAUAAUAAAAUGGGCGGCUGAUUUUAUAUAUUUGCAUGUAAAGCAAAUAGCAUAGUAACAAAUUAAUAAAAGAAAAAGGACACUAGUAGCUGGCCAUUUUACGUGGCCUAUAUGAUAGCACUCCUCUCUUUUAUGAGCCGCGACAAGGAUUUCUUAGAUUUCUUUUCUUUUUUCUUUUUAUAAAAAUUUUAAAAAAUAGGAAAACGAAAAACAGAAUUAUGACUAAUUAAUUUAGAGGGCUAAAGUGACAAUUUGCCCACUUUUUAACUUAUUAGCGAGUUUCAAAUCAACCUAAAAUUUGACUUUCACGGCCAAAUUACUUGCAAUGCCUUAUAUUCGGGCCAAAUUGCCUCUUAAUUAAAGCCCUCAUCAACAAUAAUUAUUAAAUGAUCUUGAUUUACUAUAUUAUUAAAAGACUUAUCUAUUAAAAUAAUUAUAUUUUUAAUUUAUUUCUAAAAGUUAACUGUCUUUAUUUUUUGAAAGAAGCAAAAGUCUUGUUUGAUUUUGAUAGUCCUUCUAUGUUUUUAUUCAGAAAAAAUAUGAAUAUUUCGUUAAUAAAAAUAUUUUAAUAUAAAAAUUAAAAAUUAAAAAGAUAUAUAUAAAAAAUUUUAUAAUCAAUCAUAAAAUGUAAAAAGAAAAAUGCUGUAAUUUUCUAACAAGUUUCCUUGUUUGAAUAUCAGAUUUGAUCUUUUUUUUUUCUUUAUUACUCUUAUAGAAGAAAAAUUCAACACUAAUGUAAUAAAGCACCGUACAACUCUUAUAAAAACAGAAUUUAAAACUCUCAUAACAGAAAUCAUAAAACUAUUUAAGAAAAAUAUUAAUAUUUAUUUAUAAGACUAACUAAUAAUAAUAAAAAGUACCACCGUCGAUUUUUUUUUAAAUCGACGGUGAGAUAAAAAAAUAAAAUUCUAAUAAAAAAAUAAAAGAGAAAAAGAAAAUACGGCUCCCGCUCAUUUUAUUUCUUUCUUUUUCUUAAUAGAAAAUCAGUGUCCUCUUAUGCUUAAUUGUUAUGUGGAUGCAAAAUCUUUUAAUCACUGCGAUAAUUACAUAAUUUCAUUAGUUGUUCGGAACCAACUUUAUCAAUUUAUAUUGUUUUAUUACAUUAUUCAAGGCAUGCCACAAUAGAUUACUUAAUUAAAGAGUUUAAAAUUUUAUAGUUGCUUUAACCUUGUUUAAUUAGAGAGAACAAUAACAUUUUAUGAAUAAUAAUAAAUUCAUCCUCCAAUUAUAAAGAGAUACAUGGAUUUAUAAAAAAAAUCAAAGAAAUUUAAGCAUAGAACAUGUUUUUUUGUUUACUUUUAUUUUCAUUUUUAUGUUUUGAAAUCUUUUACAUAACUAAAUUUUUUACGUAUCUUUUUAAUUUUACUCAUACAUGAUAAUUUUGUUAAUAUGUUAUAAAUUUCACAUGUAAAAUAAUUUUAUUUUAUUCUAAAGUUAUUAUAUAAUUACUAAAUUAUUAGAAUUUAGAAAUUAAUGUAUUUCCAUUUAUUAUUAUUAUUAUUUUUAAUAUGAAUCUUCAUCUAUAAAAUUCAUAAAAAAACAAUAAGAAACAAAUGUUGUAUACAAUUAAAAUAUUUGAAUAAAAUAUCUAAAACCAAUUAAUUUCAUAUGACGUGUCCAUCAUUAAUUGAUUUCUAUUAACAACUUGGUAAAGACGGUGUGUGCCUUAGAUUUCUCCUACUUCUCUUGCUAUUAAACUAAAGUUGCUUAUAUGCGUCAAGGGACAGGUAAAAGAUAUGAAGAAUAAAAAAAUAAUUAUAUAAGAUGGAAGUAUACUUGUUUCUUUUAGUUUCCUGAAAAUAGGUAAUAUAAAAUCUUUUCCAGUUGAUUUUAAAUGUAUAUAUUUAGUUAAAAUUUAUUUAAAAAUUUAAAAAAUUUAUAUACUGUGAAUAAAAUAAGAAUUAAUAUAAAAUUUUAAAUAAUCACAUCUAUAUGUNNNNNNNNNNNNNNNNNNNNNNNNNNNNNNNNNNNNNNNNNNNNNNNNNNNNNNNNNNNNNNNNNNNNNNNNNNNNNNNNNNNNNNNNNNNNNNNNNNNNNNNNNNNNNNNNNNNNNNNNNNNNNNNNNNNNNNNNNNNNNNNNNNNNNNNNNNNNNNNNNNNNNNNNNNNNNNNNNNNNNNNNNNNNNNNNNNNNNNNNNNNNNNNNNNNNNNNNNNNNNNNNNNNNNNNNNNNNNNNNNNNNNNNNNNNNNNNNNNNNNNNNNNNNNNNNNNNNNNNNNNNNNNNNNNNNNNNNNNNNNNNNNNNNNNNNNNNNNNNNNNNNNNNNNNNNNNNNNNNNNNNNNNNNNNNNNNNNNNNNNNNNNNNNNNNNNNNNNNNNNNNNNNNNNNNNNNNNNNNNNNNNNNNNNNNNNNNNNNNNNNNNNNNNNNNNNNNNNNNNNNNNNNNNNNNNNNNNNNNNNNNNNNNNNNNNNNNNNNNNNNNNNNNNNNNNNNNNNNNNNNNNNNNNNNNNNNNNNCAUCAAAUGAGAAGCACUUUAAUGUAUAUCUAUAUUGAAUAUAUAUAUAUCGCAAUUAAUAAAAAAAUAUAUAUGAGUAUUUUAUAUUUUAAUAUAAAUAAUUAAUAUUUAAAUUUUUUAAAAUUUAUAAAUAUAUAUUAAUUAUUUAUCAGUUUAAUAUAUAGAUAAAUAUAUGGACGAACAAUAAAUAAAUAAAUUUGAUUAAACAAACCGUAGCCUUUCAUGUCCUACCAUAGGCAAAGUAUGUUUGGAUAUAAUUUGUGCUGAAAAUCGGGACUUUAGUAUUACCAUAUUUUUUUCUAAUUUUUUCCUUUAAUAAUUUUAAUUAAAAUAUAAAUUACAUAAAAUUAAUUUUGUUUUUUAAAGAAGAGAAAGUGGAAUAUACAAUAAAUAUAAAGUGGUUAGGGAGGGGGGCGGGAGAGAGCAGAGAAAGUAAAGCUUAGUUGAGUCAUGAUUGGAGUAGUGAAAAAGGAAGCUGAGAAAGCUAAUUACAAUCCAACUGACCAAAGCUGAGGAAAAGUGUGUCUGUGGAAGGAUGUUUGUCCUUUCUUUUUAGUGAAACUUAUCUUAAUAGUGGAACUCUUUUACAAUAAAAAGAAUAGAAACCAGAAAUAAAAUAUUCAUUAUUUUAAUAAAUAAAGCUGUUGGGUAUCAUUAUCAAAGGGGCUUCAGAGUGGGUAGGAGAGGUGAUCAUUUGAGUCAUCUCUUUAUCAAACCAUGAACUCUAAUCAUAACUCAUCACCUACACACUUCUGAUUAAGAUUCAUUCUUUCCCUCCCCCACUUGUUUUUCUUUUUCUUUUCCUUCUUUUUCUUUCUAAAGUCAUUUCUUUAAGGAAAACAAAGGGAGUUGGAUUUUGGGGUUUUAAGAAAGUGGUAACUAAAUGGAUGGAUAGAACUGGUGUUACUGUUACAUUUGUUUGUUGUAAAAUGGGGUUCAGAUAACCAAAAUGUCUUUAACCACUCUCUCUCUCUCUCUCUCUCUCUCUCUCUCUCUUUCUCUUUCUUUCUGCUGCCACCCUUUGCAGAAGCAUCAAGCAUCUUUCUCUCUCUUAAGCCAAAGUCAGGAAUUUCUUUUUUUUUUCUUUUCAUAUUAAUUGCCAUAAAACCUUUCUCUUUGCUCUUUGCUCUUUGCGCUUCUCCUUUCUCCUUGUACAAUCUCUUUAUUAUCUGAAACUGAAAGGAACAAAACAUAAUCAGUGAGUUUUCCCCUUUCUUCAACCUCUCAAGUUCCAUUUUUGCUCAUUUUCUUGCAAGUUUUUCAUAAACCCGCCAAUUCUUAUCCAUCUUUAUUUUUAGAAAAUAGGUAAACUGGUUACUGAUUUUUCAAAGAACAUCAAAGUUUUUUUUUUUAAUCUUUCUUCUUCUUUCUUUUCUUGGUGGGUGGAUUAGUUUUUUUAUGUACUGUGGAAUUUGGACCCAGUGGUGUUAUUGGGGUAUGGAAUCUGGGGAAGGUAAUGGCAGGUGUUAUUGGGAUCAGCAGUUACAGAAAGUAUCAGUUAUAAGGUUUAGGACUGUAGCAGAUUAAAAGCAUCAAGCAAACAACAGCUACAAACAGCAGCAGCAGCAGGAUCAGAGCAAAAGGAAAAGCAAACCAAAGCAAAGCAAGAAGCUUUGAGUUAUAAAUCCUUCCGGAAGUAUCAAGAAUUCUAAGAACAAAAAUUUCUGAAAGAUUAGGAAUCUGGAUAAUUUCCAAAGCAAUCAGCAAUAUCCACAUCAGAAUCCUAUCUACCAAAAUGUUCGUUUAACACCGUUAGAAAAUCAAGAACAAAAUCUUGACAUACAAGAACAACAGCAAGCCCUUCACCAACAACAUCCUCCACUUCUCAAAAACAACCAACAAUAUGGAGAAGUAGCUCCCAUCAGACAAUCUUCAGAAACCGAAGAAUAUGCAAAAUCUAGACAAAGAAGAGGCAUGAAAGGCAGUGGAGGAGAAAUUGUUCAGGUUCAAGGUGGUCACAUUGUUCGGUCUACCGGGCGAAAAGAUCGACACAGCAAAGUUUAUACUGCUAAAGGUCCUAGAGACCGCCGGGUUCGGUUGUCCGCUCAUACUGCAAUACAAUUCUAUGAUGUUCAAGACAGGCUUGGCUAUGAUAGACCCAGUAAAGCAGUUGAUUGGCUUAUCAAGAAAGCGAAGUCUGCAAUUGACAAGCUUGCUGAGCUUCCACCUUGGCAUCCGACUGCUAAUGAUACUAAUGUAGCAAUGGAGGCAGACCAUAAUGCUGGUGGGACCAGCGAAAUGGCUAUCGGUGAACAAUCAGAAUCAUCUGGCUACAGCUUUCAGCUUCAUAGACAAUUGGGUGAAAGCAAUCCAAGUAAUGAUUCAUCUUUUAUGACGCCAACUAUAGAUCCUGAUGCUAUCCCUGAUACAAUGAAAUCUUUGUUUCCAACAAGCUCAACAAACUCAACUAUGAACUUUCAGAGUUAUCCAUCUGAUAUAAUCUCAAGAACCACAAACCAUACUGAAGAUCUUGGUCUUUCACUUCACUCUUUUCAAGACCAAGGUCUAAUUCAUGGGCAAUCAGCACAGGCAGACACAAGGCACACAGCUUCGAAUAAUCAGAACCUUUUCGCAAGCUCACCUUAUGAAGCCAACUUCCAAAGGAUGGUGGGUUGGAGCAAUAGCAGUACCAGUACUGACAAUAGAGGCGGUGGGGGGUUUUCAUUUAACCAGCCACCAAUGACCACACAACAAGCACUGCUAGGCCAAGACUCAGCAUUUUCUCAGAGGGGAACCCUUCAGUCCAGUUUUGCGCAAUCAAUUCGCGCUUGGAAUGAUCUCAAUAUGGCAUCAUCAAACCACCAUAGACCACAGGAAAUUCAUCAAUCUUUCAUUUUUGGUAGCAGGUUUGCACCUGAAGGAUUGGCAGGUUUCAACAUUCCAGCACGAAUUCAUGGAGAAGAAGAACACAGUGUUGUUUCAGAUAGGCCUUCUUCUUCUUCUCCCAAUUCUCAGCAUCGAUAACUCGGUUAUCUACAAGGUUUGUGUCAUUUGGAUUGUGCUUAUUUCUCCUCAUCAAGAAACAAUCUCUUUUGCCUUUAAACUUGAUAGUAAACUAUUUAUAGCCGGAUUACUAUAAGAAUUAUUAUAUGGAAUAUAUCAAGAUUGUAUUUUUAUAACACUAAUGAUUACCCUUUUUUAUUAUGCUAUAGAAUCAAAGCCAAACAUGGCGAAUGAUGAGCAAAUUGAGGAUGAAGAAGAAUCAGAGAUUCCUGUCAAUUCAAUCCCGUACUACGACUUGUGAGAAGGGAACUGUCUGGUUGACUUCAACAUUCUUUUUCCUAUAUUCUUAUAUUAUAUUAUAUAUAUUUAUAUAUGUUUAACGGAUUCUAAACUUAUUCUAUACAGAACUUAUUUGUUUAUUAAAAUGGAGCUUUUCGGCUCUACUUUUGGUAUUUGUUUGACUGUUGUUAAGCAGCCUUUGCUGCUAGGAUUUGGUUUUUGAUGGUACCACUCUUUUUCUGUCAAUGUUGUUGUUGUUGUUGUUGUUGAGAAAUCAUCCAACAGUCUCCUGCUUUAUUUACUUGAAAGAAGCAUUGUAGUAACUUGGCAAGUGAAAUGAAGCACAUACACUAAAAUCUUCAUUUAAAUAUCUCUACUUCUCUUUCUAUUUUUCCCCUUAUGAGAAUGGUUAUUGAAAGUACAAUUGUAAUUGGAUGAGGCGGCAUCUAAUUCUGUGAUUUGUAAUGAACAGAAGCUUGUUGUGAGUUAUAUUUGUUUGAAAUUAAGGCUUCUUUCAUCAAACAUUUGUGCCCCCAAAAGAAAUCACUAGAAAAGUGCCUCAUCAAUUGCUCUCUCAAUGUUAAUAAAAAUAAUUGAUGACUUAUUUAGUGAUAAUUUGAUAUCAUAUUAGAAACCAGCAUCAGAAUUUAAAUUCGAUCAAGUUUAUUUUUAAAUUUUCUAGUAAAAGUAAUACAUUACCAAUAUGCAAGUAAGGAUGUACCCACGAGAGAAUUAUUAUUUUCUUUUAACGAAAUUAUUAGAUUAGAUAGUAGUGGUCAUAAGGUGGUAGCCGGGCUAGUGAAUAGUGGCUAGUAGUGAUUAAAUGUUGUCUCGAUCAAUAGAAUAAGCCCAUUAGUCCUUGUUGGGUUCGAAUUCUUUUGUACUGCUUUUGAGGGUUAAUAAUAAAAGGGUGUUCCUGGGGCUUAAAUGUGACGUAUCUGAAAUAAAUGUAUUCUUAUAGUCUCCUCGCACAACUCAAAUUUCACAAGGCUACCAUCAUCCAUUACUUGAAUUUGAAUAACAAAUUGUUCAAAUCGAAAUAAUUAUUGAAAUAGUUACUGAGUUUUGAUUUGUUUUACUUAUAUUUCGAUUUAAUCAUUUUUGUAAAUAAAAUGUUGAUUCGUGAAAAAAAUAACUAAAAUUAAUAAAAUAAUUAAAUUAAAAUAUAAUAUAAUUGAAAUGAAAUUAUUUAAUAUUUUAUGAUGCCGAAUAUAAAAUUCAAUAAUUAUUCAUAUAUAUUAUCUCUCCUGCCGUCUUAGCUUAUUAAGACUGUAUGCCUGGUUAAACAAAUUAAUCAGGAUGGACUUACUUAUUUCAGGUCUAUACACUAAUAAAUAUAGAGGCACACGUUAAGUAAUUGAUACUAACAAACAUAUAUAUGCUUAUCCAGCGUUCUCUUGCAAAAUUUUGUAAAGUUUGGGUACGGAAUCUUGGGCAUUAACUGAUCAUAUAUGAGUGACUAGACUGAUGAGGUCUGAUACUAUGUUAAAAGAAAAAAAAGAAACAAUUUUAAGAUUAAUGUUCAGAACAUGGAAUAAGCUCUAGCAGAAGCAUGACAAAGUUUCCUGAUUUAAGUUGGUCUGGGAUCUCUCUCAUACUAUAUCUAGACAUAGUAACUUUCUGUCUUGGUUGCCUACUAGGAAAAGGCUGCAAAAGAAAGAAAAGGGAUGUUCUGAAUCCUGAAUUCUGCAUUCUGAAAGUUAGGGGAUUGUUCAACACUUGUUCUUUAAAUAUAGCUUUUCAAAUGCCAUAUAGCUGAAGUUUUUACUUGCAGCUCUGCAGAUACUUUGUUUCUUGGCAGGAAAAGAAAGUAUAUGAUUUUUCUAGAAAAGCAAAAGGGGAAAAAGUCUGCAAUGCCAAUAUAAAAGNNNNNNNNNNNNNNNNNNNNNNNNNNNNNNNNNNNNNNNNNNNNNNNNNNNNNNNNNNNNNNNNNNNNNNNNNNNNNNNNNNNNNNNNNNNNNNNNNNNNNNNNNNNNNNNNNNNNNNNNNNNNNNNNNNNNNNNNNNNNNNNNNNNNNNNNNNNNNNNNNNNNNNNNNNNNNNNNNNNNNNNNNNNNNNNNNNNNNNNNNNNNNNNNNNNNNNNNNNNNNNNNNNNNNNNNNNNNNNNNNNNNNNNNNNNNNNNNNNNNNNNNNNNNNNNNNNNNNNNNNNNNNNNNNNNNNNNNNNNNNNNNNNNNNNNNNNNNNNNNNNNNNNNNNNNNNNNNNNNNNNNNNNNNNNNNNNNNNNNNNNNNNNNNNNNNNNNNNNNNNNNNNNNNNNNNNNNNNNNNNNNNNNNNNNNNNNNNNNNNNNNNNNNNNNNNNNNNNNNNNNNNNNNNNNNNNNNNNNNNNNNNNNNNNNNNNNNNNNNNNNNNNNNNNNNNNNNNNNNNNNNNNNNNNNNNNNNNNNNNNNNNNNNNNNNNNNNNNNNNNNNNNNNNNNNNNNNNNNNNNNNNNNNNNNNNNNNNNNNNNNNNNNNNNNNNNNNNNNNNNNNNNNNNNNNNNNNNNNNNNNNNNNNNNNNNNNNNNNNNNNNNNNNNNNNNNNNNNNNNNNNNNNNNNNNNNNNNNNNNNNNNNNNNNNNNNNNNNNNNNNNNNNNNNNNNNNNNNNNNNNNNNNNNNNNNNNNNNNNNNNNNNNNNNNNNNNNNNNNNNNNNNNNNNNNNNNNNNNNNNNNNNNNNNNNNNNNNNNNNNNNNNNNNNNNNNNNNNNNNNNNNNNNNNNNNNNNNNNNNNNNNNNNNNNNNNNNNNNNNNNNNNNNNNNNNNNNNNNNNNNNNNNNNNNNNNNNNNNNNNNNNNNNNNNNNNNNNNNNNNNNNNNNNNNNNNNNNNNNNNNNNNNNNNNNNNNNNNNNNNNNNNNNNNNNNNNNNNNNNNNNNNNNNNNNNNNNNNNNNNNNNNNNNNNNNNNNNNNNNNNNNNNNNNNNNNNNNNNNNNNNNNNNNNNNNNNNNNNNNNNNNNNNNNNNNNNNNNNNNNNNNNNNNNNNNNNNNNNNNNNNNNNNNNNNNNAUAGUUGAAGUUUUUAAUAUAAAAUUAUAAAAUAAAAUAAAAUAAAAAUAUAUUUUUUAAAUAUCAGAAGUAAUUAGUAUAAUGUGAAAGAACACAUAGAAUGAACAGUAAUUAUCCCUUUAUUUAUUAUUUACUAUUAGUAAAAUUUAUUAUAUUUACAAUUAAAAAUAUAUAUAAAAAAGAUGCCUUGCCGUGUGGUAUACACCUUGUAGAACAUGCAAUUAGCAGACUUAAUUUUCUUUUUGUAAUUGAAAAAAAAAAUUAAAAAAGAAAAGAAGAAGAAAGAAAACCUAAAACGCGUUUUUAGUUUUGAAUUUAAAAGUGUUUAUGUGUUGGAAGAAAACUUUGCUUUCUAAGGCAAUAAGUAUCACAUUCACACCAAACCUUAGGUAUACAUCAUAUACAUAUAUAUGUACUCCAUUUUUUGUCAAAAUUGAGGGCCCCCUCCCUUCUUCUACAAUGUUUUAAAAAAUAAAUCAUAUUUACCAUUUUAUAAAAUUUAACCCGAUUUAAUCCUUAUCAAAAUAUAAAUUUUCAAGAAUUUUUAAAUUAAUUAAGUUUUAAAAAACAAUUAAUAAAUAAUUUAAAGUAUAUUGAUUUGAUUUUCAAUUAAAUAAAACCCCAAUUGGCCAAUUGAAUAAUAAAUCUAAUUCAUUGUAAGAUUUGUAAUUUUAAUUAUUAAUUGAGUUCUGUUCGAUGCUCAAUUUCAAAAAUUGACAAUUCCCAAAACCACUGAAUUAAAAUUUAUUAGUAAUUUAAAGAAUUUUUUUUUUUAAGAAAAAGAUUAAAAAUAUUUGGACAUGUAGCUCAUGGAAAGUCCACACCAGCCAAAGGUGUAACAUGCUAACAAUUUCGUGGGUUUAGUUUAUUUAGGUACACCGUAUAGUAAAAGAUUAAAAAUAGAACAAUUUUGGAAUGAAAAGAAAGACUUCUUAUUCAAUAAAGAAGGAAAAUUGGGUUGAUUAAUAAGCAAAAAUAAACAGUUAAAGAAGUCUACUUUGUUGACUUCAAAGAGGCACCACCAAAUUAAGCAGCCUUGUUUACCAAAAAGAACAACAAAAUAAUGUAAACUAAUUCAAGUACAUGGAAUAUGAAUAUAGUUUUCAAAGACAAAUUGAAUUGAUAUCCCAAAGUUUACGUUAUUUGCAGGCUAUUUUCUAUCAAUCUUUUUUCUUUAAAUAAAAAAUUAAUUAAUAUUGCAAAAGUAUACAAUAUUAUAAACCACAAGAACUUCUUCUCAAAACUAUUGAUAAAUAAUUUGUUUUUUUUUAUUAAAAAAAGCCUCAUAAAAGAUAAAAUAUAACCAAUAGGAGUUCUAACAAAUUCGAAUUUAGGAUCUUUAGUAUUAUAAUUAUGAAGAAGAAUAAGUGAUAAAACAAUGACAACUGGACCUUAAUAUAGGUAAAACUUAUCUAACCUAUAGUUAUACAUGUAAUAAAUAAUGAAUAACAUAUAUCUUUUACACAUAGAUAGAUAUUAGAUGAUUAAUAUUUACCUCAGUCAUUUAAUAUAAUAAAUUAUUCAUUCAUCAAUUUUGAUAUAUAGAUGAAUUAUACAUAAAACUAAAUAUUAGUCAUAAUUAUCUCCAAACCUACAAAAUCACAAGUUUAAACUUUGACAAUAUCCCACCUAACCUAAUAUUAUCCCUUUUAUAUUAGUGUUUAUCUACUUCAAAAUUACCCUCUCUAGCCAUUGUGUUUAAUUAUUCCCACAAAGACCCAUAUAAUAAAUUGUUUUUUGUAUACUCCAUCCAAAGUAAAAAUAAAGAAAAAGGAAAAGGAAAAUAAAUAAAUAGAUAAAAAGAAAGGAAACUGAAAACUGAAAAGUCAACAUUCAACCGUCAACCCUCUAGAAAUUGAAUUGUAUUGAACAUGCAGUCCGAAAUUGCCACGAAUUUCACAAGUCUCAUAUUCCCACAAACACAGGAUCAAAGAAAUUUAAAACAAAACAAACACACCCCAAUAAAUAAUAAAACCUAAAACCUCUUCCCUUUCUCUCUACGCUCGACUCUAUGUUUCUGUUUCACAAACAACCCUUAAUGCCAAAACAAACAGCAGCAGACCCUCCUUUCCUCCACCGUGUUCCGCCGCCUGUGGCCAUGAAUUUUGGCCUGGAAAAUGAAGGGGAAGAUAGCCCAUUAUUUGUACACAGAGACACAUAUGAUUUAAACAGCAAGAUCAUGCUCGCUGCAAUAACUUCUUUAUCAUUUGUUGUGGUACUAGUUAUAGUACUUCAUAUUUAUGCAAGAUGUGUUCUCAGACGCCAAGCUCGUGAGAGGGCUAAUAUUCGCCGCCUAGGGCUAGCUACAGCCACCAGUGAGCCACCGAAGACCGGACUUGAUCCGGUGGUCAUUGCCUCACUUCCUAUAUUUGUGUAUAAGCAAAGCAAUGGGGACCAGGAAGAUAAUGAUCAGGAAUGUGCUGUUUGUUUAAGUGUUCUUCAAGAUCAAGAAAUGGCUAGGUCAUUACCUAAUUGUAAGCACACUUUUCACGCAGAAUGUAUCGAUAAGUGGCUAACUUCACAUUCUACUUGCCCCAUCUGUCGAACGGAGGCUGAGCCGAGGAUUCAGCCCGAGCCACGUGAGGGUCCGGUUCCAGCUGGUGGUGCAGCCACGGCUCCGCCGUUGGAGCAGGUGGGCACAGAGGGGACUUCAGAGAGUGGAAAUCAAUCUUCUAGUAACAAGGCUAGUGGUUCAAUUUCUCGGUUGAGUUCGUUCCGUAGAAUACUUAGCAGGGAAAGAUCAUCGAGAAGAAUUCAAUCUGAAACUCAAGAACAAGGUUUAGAAGAUUUAGAGAGACAGUAAUUUUAGGUAAUGGCAUGUGUCUACAUUUGUUUUCUGGAUUAUUAUAAUUCAUGUAUUUUUAUUAUAUAUUUAAUAGACAAAAAGGAAUAGUACAGAAUACAAUGUCAUAAUCGCCAUUCACACAUAUAUACAAUUAAAUUGCCUUAGUUCAAAUAAGGUGAUGGUAUACGAACAAUACUUAGAUUAUUGAUGUGUAAAUUGAAUUUCUCGACAUUGUAACAUUUCUAUAUUUUUGGGUUACAUUCUCAACCGAGGAUUUAGCUACGCAAGUGGCGACACUUGCCCUUUGCGCCGCUAAUUCUUUAGCGCCGCCAGGAAAAGGGUCGCUAAAUGAAGAAUAGAAUGUAAGUCCCACCCCCCCUCCCCGCCCUUUUGCCUGCAGUUAUCGUUUGUUUUUGCUUUUAGUUGCCCUUUGCUUGAAGAAGAAAGAGGAAAACUUAGGAUGUGAUUCACAAUUUUUGGUAUUUUAUUUUAUCUUUUGAGUUCUGAAAAAAAGUAGUUCAUAAUGUUUUUUUAAAAAAAUCAAUAUAUUGGAUCAAAAAAAUUCUAGAACAUGCUCAACCCAACAAUCCUAAACACACCUGGGAGUAUUAGGUAACCUAAGAAAUGAUGAAGAAGUUCUUAGGACACAGAUGAAACGAAGCUAAUUUUAACUAAUCACACAUGAUUUGUCUUUUCUUCAGUUCGAAAGAUAUGUUUAAUGAAAAGUCAAGAUCUUGAUUCUUGACAUUUGAGACUUAUAAUUGGUACCUCCCUAAUGAAAAGUAAUAACCCACUUAUUGAUUGUCCUCCUUAAUUAACUCUUUACUUCAUUAGUUGGGUUAAAAAAUUUUGAUUAAUCAACAGAGGUUUAAUAAACAUAUUUAUCAAUCAAAACAAAACUAAUUAGAUCUAUAAUUGAAAAUUAAAUUUCAUAUAAUGAUACAGUCACAUAGUCUAGCAAAAUCCAAAGUUAGGAGGCUAAAAGAGGAUGAGCCCCUUAAUUUGACUGGAUUAACAUUCAUAAUCACUUCUUAGAAUUAUUUUUAAAUCUAACCUAAACCUACAUGGAUAGACUAGGUUUUGCACAAAUUGAUCAAUGCUAAUGUGUAACUCGACUUCAACCCUGCAACUCAGUAAGGACGUAUAUGACCAGAAACACAAGGUCAGUAAAUAUAGGGGCUGGAGCAUGAUUUCUGCAAUUGGGGCCCCAUAAUAUUUGAUUUAGCUAAGGGACCAAAAUUAUGAUAUUAGGGUUCAACAAUUUUUUAUUUAUAAGUAACCUUCCUUGGAAAGUAAUAACUAAGAGAACAAGAAAAUAUAUACAUUUUUAUAAGAUAUGGAUGAUUCGAUAAUUCUAUUAUAAUUGUCUAAUGAACUAAUAACUAGCCCGAAUUGUUACGAUGUUAUAGUAGAGUUUUACGUUACUUUUAGAGUUGCUUCGAUCUAUAAGAAAUUCAUAGACAUCGAGGUUCUACCCUAAUGGUUUUUUUCUGAGACUUGAGGCUUUUCGUAGGAAGGGUCGAGAGUUAACCCCUUUUGUUGCCCUAUGCUAUUACUUUCGUUUUUGAAGCAUAUGGGCAGUUUAUAUAAACAAAGAUUGUCAAUUUGAUAGCAAUUCAUUUGACUUCAAAUAGUACGUUUUUAACUUUGAAUUUGAUUUUAGUGGUAUUUACAAAUCAAUGUUAAAAAAUGAAUAGUUAAUAAUUUAAAUGUGAUUUCUAUUUUAGUUAUAAAUAAGUCUUAUUCAAAUUGAAAUAUCCACCUACCAUCAAGUUAAAUCUAUAAAUAUAUUAACUUAAAUAUGAUUUAUGAUAUAGAAUUUCAUUGUUUAUUUUUUUUAUUUUUUUUGCCACCGUCCGCAAUACCAUUGGGAGGCCCAGCAAAGCACAAAAAGUGGCCUUAUAUAUAAUCAUGGCCCAAACCCCCAGAGCUUCAAUAGCAAUUUUUAGCUCUUCCAAUAUGGGAAGAUGAUCCCAAGUCCUUGUGAUGAAUUGCUACUCUUACCAUUUGAGGAAUUUUAGAACUUGAACUCAAUAUUUAUGUCUGAACCAACAUCUGUUUUGUGGAAACAUUAAAGAGAGCACGAUGUAGUCAAGUCUAUCAUUAGCAAAUAACUUAAUUUAGGAAACAUUGCAGAUCUACAUCCAGGCUAUGGAAAGUAGAUGUAAAAAGGAAAAAAAUGAUGAUGGCAGACAAGCAUUUAAUAAUAGAAGAUGAGGCUUCUAGCUUCUUUUUCAGUUUCCAUGACCCAAAACUUCCAUUUUCUUUAUGGAAAAGAAAAACCCCCCAACUGGCUGCGGCCCCACUUAUUCAGAGGGAGUAUUACCUAGAUUCCUCACAGGAGAAGUGAGUAGUUGCUGCAAACAACUAGCCUAAACAAGAAAAGUAAGCUAGAAAUUUCUCUAUGCAAUGCUUGUUCAAAUAAAAGCUGCCUUUCGAUUUUAAGGUGACAGGCGAUAAAAGAGAGGUCCAUAAGCUCAUAAAACACAGAUGAAACCUUAACAAGAAUUUCAAGCUGCUUGAUUAUGUUAGUAUAUUACAAAGCUAAGCUACAAAUGGAUGUGUCAGAAGUGGAAAAUGACUGAUGAUUCCAUGAAGUUACAGAAUAAGAAAUCUGGCCUGGAUCAGUACUAAUUUCCUAUCUUCUUAACAAAAGAGCACAAAGCCUUUGCCUUUCCCUCAACACUUUCACUUCAAAGUUAAAACUACCAAAAAAAACAAAAAAAAAACUUGAAACUACUUGCUUACAUGAAUAAAGAAUCAAAAUCAGCUCUCUACUAUACCCCAAUUAUCAUUGCAAGUGUGACAAACAAAUUACUGGUGACUAUGGGCCAAAACCAUGUGCCUGCAAUCUGACUGCAUCCACUCAAAUCUGCACUGUCUGGCCCCAUUCCAGUCGAUAUUGUUGUUGUUGAACCAGAAAUGGUGCCAUUCUUCACUGAUGAACUGCAGUACAAACCAAAUUGUACCAUUCCAUUUAUAGUUUACCCCAAUAAUGAUUUAAUAAAGAUAUUAAUCAAAGAGAACAUUUUAUAAUCCACAUUACAAGAUUUCCUUACGAGUGAAAACUCACAUAACUUAUAUUCAAUUUAAAGGACAUUAAUGGAUUCAUGGAAUUUCAAUCCAAGCGAAUUUGUUUUUACUCUUUAAUCAAUCAAGUCUAGUAAUUUCUAGGUACUUCUAAAAUCUUGAUUGAAAUAAAUCAUGCAAGAUUUCAGUUGAAUUGAAAUGCAUUGUUUUGCACAGUUACCAGAAUUGGAAACCAUUGGAUUUCCAGACACAAGAAUUGACUUAAUAUAAUUCAUUUCUUCUCCAAACAUACACUUUAAGUCUAAACACAGAGCAACGGAAAUUACACAAGAGAUUAAGGAAAAGAGAAGUAAUAUCACUGAUUGUAGUCCAUUACCUGGAAGGGAAUUUGCAAUUACCAUGACCUGAAAAACAAAACAAAAUACAAAUCAAGUAAAAGAAGCCACCAAUCAGAACUCAAUAAAGAACCGACCUUUGAUCAAGAAUUAGCAAUGCAAUUAACAAAGUGGCAUAAAAAAUAUAUAUUUAACAAAUAAUAUGAAAGUUCAACCUUUUCCCAGAUCUAAAACCAACCCAAUAAACAAAAUAACUUAAAACCCCUUCAAAAACAUGCAUCUGCUAAAAAGAUAAAAAGAGGUUCAGAAAAUACUUACUAGGGUUUAAAGAAGUAGGAGCAGCAGUAUUACUAAAGAAACAAGCAUCAUCAGUCAAACCAUUCUUCAAGUAAUAAUCAUUAAAAGCCCAAGAAGCAGUUGUUUGGAUAUCAUUAGGGUCAUAACAGGGUCCUCCUUGUUGAAUAGGACUACAGUUUGCUCCACCAGGACCACAAGCCCAGUCAAUCGCCGAUUGCAGCGACUGAUCAUCAGCGUUGUUCUUUGCCACACACCAUAGAUCCCUUUGUCCAACGAUGCCGUUCUGUUGACCCUUUAAAGAACAUGGAAGAGACAAGAGCAGUAGAAGCAAGAAAACAGAGGUGCCAGACAUGUUUAAAAGAUCAAGAAACUGCUUACGCUGUAGUAAAGUAAAGAUUUGAGUGUGUGUAUUUAAAUAGAAAAAUAAAGAAACGGAUUUGAAGUGAGAAAUUGGAGAGGGUUUUUUUCUUUUAUUAAAGAAGAGAGUGUACUGGAAAUGUGACCGUUAAGAAGGCAGAGAGAGAGAGAGAGAGAGAGAGAGAUCCAAGAAAGUAACAAAGGAAGACUGGGAAAAUAAAGAGAGAGUGAUAGAGAAGGAAAGAAAGUGAGAAUUAUAAGUAAAGAAAAUGGAAAGAUGUGACUGUGUUUAUGUUUUGUCCUUUUUGCGGUUACUUUACUGGCGGCAACUGACCUUUCAGAAUUAUUUUGUGCGAGUGGAACGGAACAGAGCUCUUCCUCUGUUCAUCCAUGUGUCCGAUCUUUUUCAACCAAGUUAACUUUUUUUCCUUCUCAAUUUAAUCCGACCGUAAACUGAAACCAAAGUAGAUUCACUUAAAUUACGAACUAAAACCGGUCCAAUUUUUCUAUGGAUGGUGUAGAAUAUCUAGCUAGCUAGGCCAAGAAUAUAGCUUCUAUUUUUAUUUUUUUAAAUAAGUUUAGUUUGAUUUUUAUUUUUUUUUAAUUUUGAGACUGAAAUGCAUAUACUAUAAAAUUUAAUUUAGUCAUCUAAUAUUUAAUAAGAUUUAAUUUGUGCUAUUUAACUUUUUCUGCAUGGGCUUGAAUUAAUAAGUUUUAAAUAUUAUUUAUUAACUAAUUUAAUUAUUUAAUUAAGUUUAUACAUUUUAGAUUUUUUAAUUAAUUGAUCGAGCAAAUAACAAAAUUGGUGGUGAUUUAAUUUUGAUGUUGAUGGUAGUAAUAAUUUUGGUUGUUUAGAUUGUGAAUUAUAUUUAUUCAGUGAUAAUGAUGGUAAUUAUUUGUUUUAUUGGUGUUAUUAUUGGUGGUAGCAGUGAAAAGGUGUUGGUGGCAGCUGUUGGUUAGUUUUAAUAGCUUUAAUAGAUUUAUUAUAAAUUAAAAAUAUAUUUCUUAUUUUAAAAUUUAAUUUAUAAAUAAAUAAAUUUCAAUUUAACUUUUCAAACUCUUUGUUCAGAGUUCAAUUAAUUUAUGAUUCCGCCACAAUUGGCCUUUUCUAAUGUUAUUAUUAUAACCUGCCAGCUUACUCUUUGAAAAAUGACUAAAUUAAAACUAUUUGAAAAAUAUAGGAGCUAAAUGAAGCUAUACUUCAGCCUUUGGGCAUCAAAUGGAAGUAACUCAAGGCAUGUUUAACAAUGGUGAUGUUAUUUUACUGGUCUGUAAAGUAAGGCUAGGAUUUAGGACCACCCCAAAACAUAGUUGAAGAUAUAAGCAAGCAACAGAGAGAAAGGGUACAUUGCAUAAGCCACCAGAGACAUCCAAAGAGGGAAAGUGGUGCGUAAACUGGCAAUUAGGCCAAUCGCAAUGCACACAAUCAGAAUUAUCAGAACUUCAGAUGAGAAGUUCCAUGUCAAACCCCGAAAGUAGACAAGUCCCAAGAACACUGACAGGGAAAGAACAUUGCUCAUUGUCACCGACCCAUAUAUCUGCACCAAAAAAAUAAGCAAAAGAAGGGUUCAGAGUUACCUAAUAAAAUAUAAGGCCAUCUUUCAUUUGAUUUCAACAUCUUAUUCUUCAUCAAUGUCUAGGAACAUGUUUUUAAGGAUAAAGAAGAAAAGGGAGAAAGACUUAAGACCUCAGAGUAUGCUAGAGAAGCAUAUCUUGACUUCUUCCUGCUGGCAAAGAUCAUGUCUGAGACCACCUCACUAGAGCUAGCAAAUGGCAAGAUCACGAAGGAUACAAAGAAGGUAGGAAUGUUUGAAGCAGUUGAGAAAUUGUCAACAGCAUCUACCAGUGGAUCAGCAAAUACAGCAGCAACAAUUGUUCCUAAAAUCAACAUCAGCACUGCUUUUGUUGUAUUCCAUUUCGGGUUUCCAGGAUUUGAUGAAAUUUCACCAGUCUGAUCUCCUAAAACAUCUUCUUCUGCACUUGUUUGCUGCAGCUUUUUACAUUCUAUGUUAUUACUAUUAUAAGUAUUAGAUACUCAGCUAUUUCAUGAAAUCUUCACAAUUAAUAUGAUUAAGGUAAACGAGAUCAUUAGGCCUAACUUAAUAUGAAUAGCAACAUUACCUGAUCAAAGCCUGUUAAAACUUGCGAUGAUCCUCUACUGUGGUCAUCAAAAUAUCUAGCAGAAUGUUUAGCUUCACGGAGCCACUUUGAAAUUCCACGGGUAAACUCAUCCAUAUCGACACACGAGUCGCCUGAUGUAUCAAAAUCUUUCAAUACUUGAUCAACUGCAACACUAACAUCAAUAUCUAACUCGUCAAACUGGAUUCCAAUUAUAAGUGCCUUCAACUCUGCAAUUGUCAGGUAUCCAUCUGAGUUGUCAUCUAUUGUCUUGAAUAACCUGUCAUUUUUGUCAAUGGAGAGUGCAUUAGGUAUCAAUCUUACAGAAUUUUGUUGAAUUUCAUAUGGCCAGUGAUGAAUAGGACUUGUAUAAUGUAACAUAUGGAACCUCGGAAAGACUUGACAGUAAGAGAAUUGGAAUGAAAAAAAAAAAAAAAGAAGUUACUAACUUUUGAAUAAUAUCUCUGUUAAGAUCACCAUUAACUGUGAAAAGUCUUCCAAGCGAGCGCUUUUUUAAAUCUUUAAGUAUUCCUGAUAUUAUGUUCUUAUGUUUCGCAUAUGCAAUUCUUCUCUUCUGAAUCCAUGGCUGAACAACCUGCACCAAAAUGUUUAACAGGAAAUUAUAUGUCACAAUCAAUAAAGUUAUAUGUCACAAUCAAUAAAGCUUAGUUACUAAAUUAAGGAAAACCAUGCAGUCUCCAUCAAGAAAGAUAUGUAGGAUUUUUGGAAUCACUCAAAAUUGUACCUGAUAUAGGCUGUAGCAAACUAAUAAAAUAAGGGAGACGAUUAGGGAAACCAGAAUUGCUAAGCGGCUUUGAGAAGUUCUGUGCAAAACUUGUGGUAGCUGAACUAAUAUGAAGGGGAUAAUAGAUAUUACCAUGAGCCUUGCAGCAAAACUAGUCCAAAUAUCAGUAGUCACUCCAGAUCCUGCAGGUAUAAACCACUGAAUUCUGUUCCAAAACUAGAAAAUUUUGUACUAUGCACAAAAUAAGAUCAAUGGGUUUAUAGAGCUUAAUAAAUUAAAUCCCCUUUUCUAGUCUAGUUAAAGACAAGCCAUAACCGGACUCACUACUGCAGUGCAUAAACUCAUUGAUCCUGAUCGUGUAAUGUGAAUAAGAAGUGAAUUUUUGCAGUAUCACUGCAUCGAAAAAAUUAAACUUUACGAGUGCAGGAAAAAAACAGAACAGUCUAAAAGAAAGCAUUAGGAAGGUACCAUCAUACCGAUUAGGCUAAAUGUUUUUGUAUCUUUCGAGUCUACAGCCACAGAACCUUCAAUGUCACACUUGCCAACAAUGAGGCAAGAGCCCCAUAGUAAUGUCAGAAGCAGAACAGUUGAUCCAGCCAUCAAACCCAUCCCAACUGACACCUGACUUUGAGCUGUUUCUGUGCUCCCAGAUAGCCCAGAUGCUAUAAAAACAAUAGACGUGUAUAUAUCAGCAGACACUCAUACAGCACCAGAUUUAUAAGACUGUUUAAGCAGUAACAAAAUGCAGUCUCUAAAAAAAAAUGGACUCCAUGUCUUCUUAUUGCUUAUGCAUAUCAAUGUUGAUUACAGAAAAAAGAAUUUUGAUGUUUCUUGUUAACGCUAUGGAAAUGAAGUUUCUAUUCGCAAGUUGGACAAGUUCUUUCUUUUAUCUCUUUCUUUUCCUUUAAACACAGAUUGCAUGUAAAUCAAGAAAGACUUGAGAGAUCAACAUUAAAAGAAAGAAAGUAAAAUUUACCAAGGAUUAUAGCUGAAUCAGGAAGGGCACUCAACACAGGCAAGAAAAGACCACCUAUAAUGCCAGGACCAAGAAUUUGGAGAAGUAUCUCACUUCCAUCAGACAACAACUUAGCAGACAGGAACAUCAAAUAACCAUAGACAAGAAUAAGGAAAAUGUUUCCGAGGAUUGUGGUUGUGCAUGGGAAGAAACCAUAUGUUUCAUCGCAGCUACCAUCCGAUGAAAACAAGUCGUAUAGACGAAUAAAUGGCUGCUGUCCCUGAGCACUGCUAUAUUUUCCAUCAGAAACCAUGGAAGAACUUGGAUUAUCUAUAAAAAUCCGACCAUGGCCAGGACAGGCCAGUAUAACAAAGAGGAUUACCAGAGAUAAUAAAGAAAAUUUCUUGUUCAUGAUUAGGCUUGUUUCUUUCAGCAGCUCAAGUGGAUUGAGUUGAAGCUGAAAACCAAUAAAAUAAGUGUAAUUUGUGAAGACUAUAAUAGAAAGGAAGGAAUCUAGAACAAGAAAUUGAUUCCCUGGAAGGAUUCUUAGUCAACUAUAUGCACAAAGAGUGUCAAACUGGAAAACAGGUUGAAACUAAAAUAACAGAAAUGAAAGUUGAUUUUCAAGCAUGUAUUUAAUCUUUUCACUGAGAAUUACAGCUUGAAUGACAAGUACCAUUAGACUGGUGUUAUGGAGCAGUUGUGGAAGUAUUCUUCUAAUGAGGUGGCCAUGUGAAGUCAGCAGGGCAGAGAACCAUGUUUAUAAGGUUCAUUUACAUUUUAAUUACCAUUAUUAAAUAGUGGAUUUAACAAUUGAAAUUUGGUAAAGAAUUAUAUGCUUUCUCAAAGCAACCAACCUGCCUAAAAAUUUAACGAUUUUGUGCAGCUUGGAGUCUUUUGGACAACCUUCUGAUACAUUUGGGAUAUUAUCAUUGUAGCAGUUGCAAGCUAUAUCUUAAGUUGGAGCCCACUUAGAACCCAAUUAAACUGAAAAAUAGAAAAAGAAAAAUUAGAACAAGGAAGCAAUAUCAGAAUAGCAAUUAAGGUAUGCAAAUGAAGGAGUCUCAUGUUUAUAUGGAAUGUAAGCAUAAAUAAAGUAGUAGUUGGCAGAGGAGAUUAUAUAGGGAAACACCUUACAAUUUAGGAGGGCCCAAAAACACAAACACACACACACACACACACACACACACAUAUAUAUAUAUAUAUAUAUAUAUAUAUAUAUAUAUUUUAAGAUUCAGAAUUGAUUUGAACAAAAAUGAAUUUCAGAAUAUAUCAGCUACUGAUUUGAUUAAUUAAAAAAUCAAUUCAAUUAAAUAAAAAGAUUAGAAAAAUAACAAAAAAAAUCAAAAAUAUCAGUCAACUAUCAUCAUUAAAAUUUAUUAUUUUUAAUGAUAUUUAGUCACUGAAAACUGAAAAUUAAAUCUGAUAUUGUAUUUGAUUGAAAUUUAUAAAAUUUAUUUAUAAAUCUAAAGUUUACAUGAUUUAAAUGAAGUAACAACUAAUUUAAAAUUUUAUAUAUUUAAAUUUAUAUAAAAUUAAAUAUAACUAAAUUAUAAUCUAUAAAAAUAAAUAAAAUUUUUAAAUAAAUUUUAAUUAAUUUCCACAAUAUUAAAUUAUAUCAUUUCAUUUUAUUUAAUUUGUUUAUAUUUUUUUAAAUAAAAAAAAUUCUUAAAUAGAUUUCAAACAGGUAAAUAUACAAACUUUUAGUUAGUUGGAUUAGCUAUCUUUUUAAGUUGAUCUCGAUUGAUUAAAUUUAAUAAUAAAAGUAAAAAAACAUAAAACACAUGCGGAAUAUAAUUGUGGGAGUUCCUCCCUGGGUCCAUGUUCGUAUGAUACAAUAGUGCCGUGCCCAGGGUCAGCAUCGUCAGUCAACUUUCCAUUUUCCUAAACUUGAAAAUCGUCUGAAAAUAGGCACCACCGUCUCUGCCACCAAAAUUGAAGCUAAAAAUGAGCUCUCCGACUAACUCACAGAAUCAACCCCCAACCUCUCCUCCACAGGAUCCUAACUUUACACAACAAAAUCAAAAUCCCAAUAAAAAUCAAUUCGAAGAUUCCCAAUCUCCUAAAACCCUAACCCUAGUUGUCCCUGACACCGAAGAGGAAAACCCUAACCCACAAUCCGAUGAUCCUAACCAAUCCGACCCAGAAGAUAUCGCCCAAUCCUCUCCAACGAUCUCCGACAGCCGCGUGGCCUUCACCACGGUCACCAUCCCUCGCCGCGGUUGCGGUGGCGGUGGUAAUGCAAAGCGCAAGAAAAGACGUGGUGGUAAGAAAUCACACAAAAAACUCGAACUCUUAGUUGAAAAUUUGAACCCUGUCCCGUUUAGACCCAUCAAGAACCUAGAUUUUGCCUCUCAUGAAUCUCUACUUAAAAAACUUGGGUUAUGGGACUUUGUUCACUUGCAAUUUGAUAUUAGUAAUCUCCGCGCUGAUCUAUUAGCUCAAUUGAUUGCAAAUUUUAACGCCCAAUGUCGCCAUAGCUAUGUUAAUAAUGUUCGAAUCAAGGUUAGUCGCCCUGACUUAGCCCGCGCAUUGCAGCUUCCAGUGAAGAAAGAUAAAGUGGAUAAUGCACUGGAGGAUAUGGAGAGUAAAGAGUCUAUAGAGUUUGUUGAGGAAUUUGUGUCAACUUGGUUGUUGUUGCAUGAAGAUACAUGGAUGAUGACUGAUGAUGUAUUGAAUGUGAAUAAAUUGAUUAAAGGUGGCAACUUUGAGAAGGUUGAUUGGUCCGAGUUGAUCUGGUUGAUGGUUAAGAAGGAGUUAGCUGCUGCACCUAAUUUAAGGAAUUGUUAUUAUGCCUCACAUUUGCAGCUUUUGAUAAGAUCUCAGAGGGAUGACUUGUUUAAGGAUGAGGUUGUUAAACUGGAGAUAGAUAUUAAGGAGGAUGAUGAUGAGGAGGAAGAUGUGAAAAUAAGUGAGGAAAUUCAUGGAGUGUCGGAGUUGGAGGAGCAUAACAUUAAAUUGAGUCUUGGUGGAUUGGAUAAUAUGGUGAAAGAUGAUGAUGAGGAUGAGAAAGCAGGAAAGGAGGAAGCUGUGGGUGAGGAGGAAGCAAUGGAUUUUGAGGGAAGUAAGGAGGAUGAAGAACAGGGGCAGUGGAGAAAGAGCAGUAUGGAUGGGAGUUUUCUGCAAAGGUGUAAUCUUGGUGAUGUUGGAGCUGUGGAAUGUGAGGUGGGGAAAAAACAGGAAGAAGGGGGAGGAGAGGAUGAGGGAAAGGAAGGGGAGAAUGGAGAAGAGGAGGAGGGAGAGGAGGAGGAGGAGGAGGAACAAAUGGCUUUUAAUAUGUCACCUAAAGGGGAUGGUUUGGACGGUAUAAAUUCUGAGAAUCUUAUUGCAGCCAUGGCAGCAUCACAAAAUCCUUUUAGUUCUGGGGUGCAAAUUCGUAAUAAUGUGUCAUCAGGGGACUUUCUUGCUUCUAGGGUUGAUGCACAGUCAAUUCCUGGCAGUUCAUCGCUUUUCAGUAAUGUCAAUGGAAACAAGAGAGAUAUUGAUCAUCUUGAGAAUGAUAUGCCUCAUCAUGCACUUAAUAGUGCUACUAAGAGGAUGAGGAGUGAUGGACCUUGGGAUAUGAAGUCACUAUCUGAAUUUGAUGUGUGUUUUGAGCAAAUGGAACGUGUAAUGGGAAAAGCUAGAAUGCUGUAUGAGGCAAAGGAGCAGGCUUUUCAGGAGCUGAGUAUCCAUCAGCAAAUGUUGAUGAAUGAGUUGCAGCAGCGGGAAAACAUGAUUCAGCAUUUGCACAAGGCAAAGUUGGAGGAGCAACAGAAAAGACAGUUGGAGACAUAUAGGCUAGAACGGGAAUUAUAUAUGAUGGGAAAUCUCUUAGAAGGGUACAGGAAGGCUUUGAAGGAGACGCACAAGGCAUUUGCAGAUUAUCGAGCAAAAUGUCGACACCCUGAAGAACCAAUUUACAAGGAUACUGGAUCCGGGGGUCUUGUUUUGAGUACCACGGAGUUGGAGAAGCUGCGGCUGAAACAAGAGGAAGAAGAAAGGCAAAAGCGGCUGUUCGCUGAGAAGAAGGUUAAGGAAUUUGAAGCAGGGUGCAUUAGUCAAUUUGAAGCAUAUAAGGAUAGGGUAAAUAUACUGUGUGACAAGCUGCCCGUGCUUGAGAAGGAACUUAAUGUCUUGAAGGAAGAUUUUGGGAAGCGUAAGGUCUCAGAGAAAUUGGAAUGUGCUCCAGCUAAAGAAUCAAUUCCUCAGGAGUCUGUUUAGAGUCUUGUGGAAUAUGUAAGUUUAAUGGAAAAACAUUGGAAACUAGAAGCUCAAAAUUUAUAGUUGCUGCUGAAAAUUCCCUUAUUUUGAUAUCCUAGAUGCUUGGCAGUAGUUUGGCAUGAUGCUAUAUUUAUUCUCUGUUUUUACUUUAUGGUUAAGAUGCGAAUUUUAUGUUGUAGUGAAUUCUUAUGUAUUGGUGCAUCUCUCUGUUAAUACACCAGAUGCCUUCUGGUUAAGCUCUAUCUCUCUGCAGCUGCUAAUUUGUUGUUCAUUUCCAUUUCGCCACCAUCAUUUUGUCAUUUGAGUGAUGAUUUGAUCUGCAAUCAUGUGUCCUUUUCAAGUGCUUUAGGAAUCUGGAUAAUCUUGUGGAUCUGAAAAGUAGAGUACAUUUUAUGAAUCCUGGCUUUUAAUGCGCGAAAUACUAAGAUUAAAGAAAUUUCCCCUUUCUAAAAAAGAAAAAGAAGAGAUUGAUGAAAUUUCUGAGAAUCAAGCAGUAUUCUCAACUAAAUAUGAUAAAAUGUCUAUUAUCAGCAGCAUAUUUGAUGAGGAACUAUGAAACUUUACGAGAAAAGGCAAAUUAUGCGCGCUGGAAAUUUGUUAACUAUUUGGCAUUCCAAGGACUUCGGUUAAGUGUAAAUUUGCCCCUUAAACUUUCUGGUGAGGUCUAAAUUACUCCAAAAUUAAUUCUUAGCCAAAUUAUCCAAAAUAUUUUGCAUUCUGACCGAACCUGCCCCAAACCUAAGAGAUUGUGAUACUUGUGACAAACUAAAAAUUAAAUAAAAAAGAUAAAGCAUUAUUUUUGAAAUCUUUUGCCCAAAAGUAAAUGUCAUUUACGAGGACUUCAAUUCGGCUGUCACGGGUAUCAUUGGAUACUUAAUCUCUGCUCUUCAAGUUGCAGGAUCAGAAAUUAAUGACCUUUUGCCUCUUAUCUCUAAUGCCUUACUGACUAUCUGGAAAGUUAAAGCAUCUUAAGAGUGGCCGAUGUAGAGUUUUCAUUGUUCAUACUACGAUUAAUUUAGCAGCUAAUACCUUUACAGAAGCAAAGAAUUUAGGAAUGAUGGAGGAGGAGUUUGUACGGAUCACAACUAAUGAUAUUACAAAUUUGACACCGAUGAUCUAUAGCCAGAACCAGGAAUAUAUGCUUUACAAGCUUAUGAUGCUAUGUGUGCUCUAGCUCUGGCAAUGGAAGAGAUUCCAUAUCAAAAGGGCCUUCAGAAUUCAACAGAUAGUUCUCGCAUAGCAUCAGUGAGUGGACAUAAUCUUUUGAGCAGACUAAAAGUAAACAGCUUUGAGGGUUUAACUGGUGCAUUCAUUUUCAGAUAGGAAAUUCUUGCUCCGGCUCACAUUUUUCGGUUAAUUAAUGUGGUCGGGAAAAGUUACAGAGAACUUGGAUACUGGACUGAGAAUUUAGGUUUCUCAGAGAACAUUGGCAUUCGUGGUAAGUACAACAAAUCAAUGAGAAUUCUAGGACAAGUAUUUUGGCCAGGAGGCCCUUGGUCAGUUCCUAGAGGAUGGGCAGCACCAACAAGUACUGAGCCACUUAAAAUUGGAGUUCCUAUGGGGAAUCAAUAUAAAGAAUUUAUACAUGUCAAACAUGAUAAUCGUAAGGGUAUGACUGUUACAGGCUUUUCCGUUGAUAUCUUCAAAUCCGCCCUCAGCUUUUUACCUUAUACAUUGCCACAUAAUUUUGUUCCUUUCAAGGGAACCUAUGACUCUUCGGUAGAACAAAUUAAACUUCGGGUAAGAUUUAUAUCUCUUUUGUACAGCAAAUUUUGACUUCAGAAACUGUAGGGUUGCUUUUUAUAGUGUUUUAUGCUGCAACUAACUCGUUUUAAAUACAUUGUGUAAGAUCGUUGAUGCAGUAGUUGCUGAUACAGCUAUAGUGGCCAACCGGUGCCAAUUUGCAGAGUUCACGCAGCCUUAUGCUGAUCCAGGCCUGCAGGUGUUGGUGUAUGUCAAACCAAAAAGAUUAAACAGAGCUUGGUUGUUUACAAAACCAUUGACAACAUCCAUGUGGAUCUUCACAGGGCUAGUCAACAUUUAUAAUUGAAUUGUUGUUUGGUUGAUUGAGAGGCAAUACAACAACCAGUUUGCCCAAGGCACUAUUUGGGAGCAAAUUGGAAGAAUGCUCUCAACUGCUUUCAUCACAAUAUUUUCACUGAAGGGUGAGAAUUGCAUCGUUAUUUUCUUUUUCUUUUCUUUUUUUUUUUUCUCUUAUUUACUCUUGCAAGAACUGAAACAUUUAGUAUUAGAAUGUUCUCCAAAUGCGUAAUGUUUGAUUUUGCCCUUAUUUUUUUUUAUCUUCGCUGUAGGAGAUAAACUGCACAGCAAUUUGUCUCGGACGGCAAUGGUCGCAUGGCUUUUUGUGGUAAUAGUCAUUACUCAAAGUUUCAUUCCUAACUUGACAACCUUGCUUACUGUUCAAAGACUUGAUCCAGUAAUGGUUGAUGUUGGAACACUGAAGGAGAGUAGAGCAAAAGUUGGGUGUGAUGGAAACUCCUUUGUUGUGAAAUAUUUAGAACAUGUCCUAGGUUUCGAUGCUGAAAAUAUAGUACGAAUAUAUUCAGGAGAUCAAAAUGCUCAGGUUCUUGCUAGUGGAGAGAUAAAUGCAGCAUUUCUUGAAGUUCCAUGUGUCAAAAUUUUCCUAGCCAAAAAUUGCAGAAGACUUGCCUCUUCAGGACCUACUUUUAAAGUCGGAGGUUUUGGAUUUGUGGGUAUCCUUCAGAAUAACAGCUAGCAUUAUUAGUUCUGAACCAUUUUUCAAUCUGGACGGGGAUUAUGAGUUGUUCGGUCUGCAGCUGGUGGUUGAUAGCUGAUGGUUGAUAAAUUAAACUGUUUAAUAAAUUUUUAUUAUCGAUUGUUGCUAGUAUAUUAAAUGACUAUUGAUGAUAUAAUUUAUCAUUAAAUAUAAUUUAUUAUAUUAUAUUAUAUUAUAUUCAAUAAUAUAAAUUAAUAAAAAUAACUUAAAAUAAUUAAAAUUAUUAUAAUUAAUUUUCUUUAGCUCAAUUAUAUUUAUUAUUACAAAAUUUAUAAAAAUUAUUUUAAAAGUAGAAAUUUAAAUUUAAAUUCUACUAAUAAAAAUUUAUAAUUUUAAAUACUAUAAUUAUAAAUAUUAUAAUUAUUUAAUUAUUAAGAAUAAUUGCAAAAUAAUUAUUAUUUAUUAUAAAAUAUAAAAAUAUGAUUAUAUGAAAUCAAUUUAUAGUAAAUUAUUAUUAAUAAAUUUUAAUACAGAUAAUAGUAUCCAAAUAAAUAAAAAAAAAUCAAAUUAACUAUCAGCCGAUAAGAAAAAACCUCUAAAAUAAAACAGCUGAAAGACUAAAUCAGCUAUCAGCUGCUGUUUUUUAAAUUUUUACUAAACGUUUUAAUAUAGUUAUUCAACAAGAAAGAGGUAUCAACUAUACCAAAUCUCUGAACCAAACAACCUCUACAUCAUGUCACUGUUAACAUAAGAGGUUUUAUCAGCUUCAAGUCUGCGGAUAAAAGUUUUUUUUUUUUUGAUUGUUUCAGGAGUUUCCAAGGAGUUCUCCAUAUCUUCUGACAUCUCUGAAGCAAUUUUAAGCGUAGCAGAAAGUGGAAACUGAAGGAUCUUGAAACUUCUUUGACCUCCUCCUACAAGUGCUUGGCCUCGGGGUCAGAUGACCAUGAUAAUCUGGGACAAAGUAGCUACUGCGGACUUUUCGUGAUUACUGGAGGAACAUUUACCCUCUUUUGCUAUUUGGUGUUGGUUAUAUUCUCCCAAAAUGGUAUCAGCCUAUGGAUCCUGCUCCAAAUGAAGUUUGCUUGCCUGAUAGACAGCAACCACAGCAUGAUCCUGUUGAAGAUGAGAAUCGCCAGCCUAAUGGAUUUAAAGAUCCUAUUGAAGAUGAGCAUUGGUCGCCUGAUAUACAGGAAUUGCUUAUUCUGAUUGCAGAAGAACAUCAUUUACCUGGUAGACUGCGAGAUCCUGUUGCAGAUGGGCAUUGCUCGACUGAUAGACAGCAGCAGCAGCACGAUCCUGUCGCAGACGAACAUCAUUUGCCUGAUAGACAGCAGCAGCAGCACGAUCUUGUCGCAGACGAACAUCAUUUGCCUGAUAGACAGCAGCAGCGGCAGCAUUAGUAGGAGCAAAAUUUUUUACGGCAAAUCACCAUUGGCUAUUUGCUCCAUAAACGGAAGAUCAAGACUACCGGCAACUGGAGCUCCCGAAACUUACGAAUAGGAGCCAAUAUAUUUCUGAUUGCGUCCAUUUAUUGUCAUUAAUUGGAGUAUCAUUCGUAUUUUUAUAUUUUUUAUUGUUCAGUAUCCUCAUUUGCUAACAGAAUAAUCAUGUAAACACCACCUUCACUGUCUCAUUAAUUAUCAAUUUUAAUCAGAAGCACAUCUUUGUUCUUUCUUCAACCUGGCACCCCUAUAUCGUCUUCUAUCAAGACAUUAUCAGAAGAUCGGAUGAACAUAAAUUCUGAGAGAACCUGUACAAUUGUCAUAAAGAAAUAAAGCUGAAACUUAGUAGCAUGAACCCUGUUCAGAGUGUGGGAUCAAAGUAAAGGCUGUCUUUCUAUUUUUUUAUUUAUUUUUUUGAUAAUCCUUUUUCUUUAAUAUGGAAGUAUGGAACUCCCAUAAGGAUUUUCCUGAAGGAGAUAUUCUUGAAAAAUGUAUUGAAGAGUUGAAGCUUUUGGAAAGUUAUUUUCUUGAAGGAUUAAUCUCAAUUCUCAAGCUGUUUUCAAGAACACUUGAGUAUCAAUGUCAUGCGGAAGUGUAAACCUAACUAAGAUACUCACCUCAGUCAGUUAUUCUUUAAAAAUGAAAACUAUCAAUGUGAUGGAAUCAGUAAUUGAGCAUUUUUCUAAUUUUAUUAACAAAUUAAGAAAUUAUGGAUUAUUCUCCAUUAAAACCAUUUUAUAAUCCAAACCUUUUCUUUCUGAAAUAGGAAUUGAUUUCAAUUAUACAUUUGCUCAUUUUGUAGCUGAGAUUUUUGAUAGAUGAAAAUUGGAACUUCAGAAUUUGUGAUCUUUCCAUUUAAUUCUAUCCAAAAACACCAAAUCAAUCCCACGAAUUUCACUAUAUACAAAUACGAUUAGAUAUGUGCAAUUUUCUUUUUCUUUUUCUUUUGUUGGGGAAUAAUUGUCCUGACCCACCUUUUAAAUCAAAAUUAUGCUGGAGAUUGGAAAACUUUAAAGCUCCCUAAACCUACAGUAAGUCUGAAUCUUUAUUCUCAUUUUUUUCUCAGGCUUAUUUUAUCCUUAAUAACAUUUUUUUAAUCUAGUAUUUAGUCUAACUAAUCUAGAGCAUUUGUUGUAAAAUUAUAUGAAAAAUAACUGUCAAUUUUUAAAAAUUUAAAUUCAAAUUUUUAGUAAAAUCUCAACCAUUCAAUUUAAAAUAAAAGGCGGAGGUUACAAAUAUGAUAAGUCAUGCUCAAGUUAAAUAUGAAAAAAUUUCAAUUUCAAAAAUUUUAAGAUAACUACAUUUUCAAAACUUGAAUUCAAAACUUUAAUUGAGAUCAGUAAAGACCUUUAUCAUUUCAUCUAUAAAUAAAAUGAGCAAAUGCAUCACAAUAUUAUUUUGAAUAUUCCAGACAUUUGGAUAUGGCAAAUGUAACAUAAAAUUAUUAAUACAUAUAUAUUUACAUUUUGAAACCAAUCUUAGAUAUUAGAGCAUCAUCCUCCCAUACUAAUUUCAAGAAUUGAAAUAUUUAUCUGGAGUGAGUGGUUUAUACUCGACGAACAGUUAAUAUCUUUUAAAAUAUAUUUUAAAAUAUGUAUUAUACACAUAAAAUAAUAAUGUAUUAUAAAAUAAAAAUAGUGUAAAAAAAUGAAUAGGAAAACACUAAAAUUAAAUACCAACUGGAGUUUCCAUACCCAACCAAAUUCUCGCAAGUGUGGAGACAUAGAUGAGUGGGAGCAUGCAUGGCUCUUCGACUUGUCCCUCGUCUGUUUCUUCUAAAGUCCUUUAAGUUUUCUUGUUUAUGAUUUAACCCCCCCAAUUUUAUUAAACAUUUAACAAACAAAUCCAAAUUCAACAGUUAUAUAUUUUAUCUAAUUUAACUCAGCUACAUAUCUAAAAUUUAAACUCAAUAACUUACUUAAAUUAUAAAAGGCUCUUACUAUUUUAUCUAUACUUUCUUAAAUAUUUAGGAUAUAUUUUAUGAUAUAAAUUGAUAAAAUUACAUCAUUCCCUACUUAAUUCGCAUUUCUAUUGAAUUAGGAUAAUAUUUCUAGUUCAAUUUUUUAAUUUACAAUUUUACACUUUUAAUUAACUCCAUAAUCCUCAAGAAUACAUGGAUGAUAUUAAAAACUCAAAUGUCAAUUUAACUUUCAUUAAGUUUUCGAAUCACUAACAUUUUUGCAUUGAAACAAAAUGAAACUCUUGAAAUUAAUCUGGGUUAUUACAACAAUUUGACAAAUUAACAAAGAAAGAAAAAUAAUCAAUACAACAAAGAGAUCAAUCGCUGAAAAAAGAAAAAAGGCACAGCAAUCUGACAUGCAUCAAGGUAUCAAAAACACUUCCCAUGCAGCUUCACUGACAACCACUUCCCUUUCCUUUCAUACAUCCCAACACAAUACCACUAAACCUAACUUAUAAAAAGAAUAAAUCAGACUAAAAUUAAAAAUAAAAAAAAUUAGAAUCAGUACCACACCUCUCCUUCUCCUAGUUAAAGCAAAGACAAUUUUCUUUCUUUUUCUUGUCUGUUUUUUUUUUCUUUUUUCUUUUUUCCUUUUAACUCACAGCUGCACAUGUGUUUUCCUGCAAUGCAAUCAUGCAAGGUUGAGUGGUCCCCAAUCAGAUGUGAACACAUCACGUGAAUGUACAGAUUACCAGCAGAGAGCACCAAUAUAAUAUAGAGUCCCCUCUUCUUCUAUGAAUAUGACUCCUUUCCAGUAAAUAUUUCUUCUUUUUUCCUUUUUUUUUUUUUUAAUGGGGAAGCAUGGUGAAGUGACCAAUGAAACCUGUAGCUUUUGUUCUGUUACAAUUAUUCCAAGAAAAAAAAUAUAUUUUGAUGCUGCUCAACAUAUCUCCAAAAUUUUCUCCAAGAAUCUUUUAUUUCUUUUUGACAUUGAGAUUAUAUGUCAAAUUCUUGGUUUUUUUUUUUUCUUUUUUGGUGAAAAGAGGAUUGUAGUGUGUUCUUGGUAAUGAGAGAUUACUGGUCAGUUUACCAUGCUUGAACAAACUCACUGGAAAAAAAAGGAGUUAAACUUGGAGUAGUUGCUGUCCCUUCUCAGUAGGAGCUGUGGAGUCAGUUGCUGGAGAUGGUGAUGCUGUAGCAUUUUCCAUGUUCUUGAGGUUUUGUUGGUGAUAAACUUGCCUUAGUCUCUCUAUUUCUCUCUUUAAUGCUUCCUGAUGAGCUGCAUUUGUUUCAAAUCCAUUAGUUGUCACAGGGUUUAUCAGAACGUGAAAAGCCAAAUCUAACAUGGGAACAUAAAUAUUACUGGCUUUUUCAAAAUAUUAAUGAAUAGUAUAUGCCAGUAUCUCAGAACUCAAAAACGUUAAGAAUUACUCUUCUCAUGAGUGAAAUAUUAGUUUUUUUAUAUAUAUUAUACUAAUUAAAGACAUUCACAUACGAUAUUUAUACUUGAAAAUUAGAAUAAAGUAGAAAUCAGAAAUAAAAUAUAUAUCUAAACACUAAUAUUAACCCUCCUAAUUAUGAAAAUGAUAUUUUGAUUCUAAUGAUAGAGCACCUAAAAGUUCUCUACCAAAUUUGGAACUUUAUAAUUUGAUUUGGUUGCCUUGAAAAUCAGUCUUGAAAGGCAUCAUUUAAUCAUCUACCUUUUACAUAACUUAAUAGGCUCUCCCUCCCUCUUUCCUUUUCCUUUUUUUCCUUUUCCUUUUUGGUUAAUGAAAUUGGAAUUCAUUUCAUGAACGACUACUUGACACGAUAGAUAGAUGUGAUUGCACUAAGAAAUUGUGGAGUCCAAAAUAGUGAUUUAAGAAAGCAUUUAUAUUUCAACCCACCAGCUUUAUUUACAUGUGACCUGAGAAAACUAACACUAUUUGCACUAUUUGAUCUAAAAUCGCUUGUUCCUUAAUUAUGUAUAUGUCAAGUACAAGGUGCCACUACAUUAUAGUAUAGAAAAAAAAAAUGUAUAUGCAAGUUGUCACAUUGCCCUACAGAUAUACAAGAGUAUCACUAUAUGUUUUUAUUCGAUACUUACCAGUAUUUACUCGAUAUAUACUUAUUAAAAUAUAGCAAAUUAUUAGAGAUAAUGUGAGAUUAUUUCAAGAUAAGCACUUAUCAAAAUUUGAAAAAUCAAAAUAGCAUGUUAUUAUUCCUUAAUGCUAUAGAAAGCAAUUAAGAUGUCAUUAAGGGUUAAUUAAAGAAGCACUGACCAUCUUUAAAAAUCUUAUCUUGAGCUAGGGCAGCAAUUCUUUGCUUGAGAGCACUAUUAUCAACAUUCAAAAGCAAGCGUUGAUGGUCUAGAAAGGCAACCCUUGGUGAUAGAACUGAGACUUCAGCCUUUUACAACAAAAGAAGAUGAAAAUUAAUUAGACCCACGAAUACUCUUAAACCAUGCAUUAAUUAUUACACUUUAGAGAGAAAAAUACAUAUCUUGUAAGGAAUUAAUUAGUUAAUCACUUACUUGCAAUGAGGUGACACUUCGUUCAAGCUCAGAUAUGUACUGUAGCUUCCUUACCCGUGACCUUUGUGCAGAUUGCCUAUUUGCCAAGAUUCUAAUGCAAACAAAAAGCAAAUGUAAUUAAUGGCUACCUUGAGAUUAAAUAUUAUUACAGGCUGUUUCAGCAGCAUACGAGACUUUCUGCAAUAUUAUUGUGUGUAUAUAUAUAUAUAUAUAUAUAUAUAUAUAUAAUAUAUAAGUUGUGCAGGCGUAUGCAUGAUUACCUCUUGACCCUUUUGGGAUCGAUAAUUCGAUCACUGGAAGUGGUAUUGGUUGCAUUUGAUGGAUUUUGUGUAUCCGUUUGGCAUUGGCUUUGAACCUCAUCAGACUCAUUUCUUAUCUUUUGCUGCUUUUGAUCAGACAACGUCGGUUCUUUCUCAUCAUUAAAGCUAUUAUGAUCCGAUGGCGUUGAUGGGUUGGAGCAGGAAGGCGCCACCGCAUUGGAAAUAUCAUCAUUGAACAUGGACAUGAAUUGUUCAUCGUCAAAUUUAUCGAAGUCGCUGCUACUGUUAUGUCCAGAGCCAUGAUGAUGAUGAUGAUGAUGAUGAGGUGCACCUAUGGCACGACAUUCUUCUAUCAAUGGUGCUUCAAGGAAUGCAAUUGAGUCACUAACUGACCGCCUGUGGGUCCCACGUCUCGCCGAUGAGAAGUCGAGGAAUUCGUCUACCCAUGAAGGGUUUUGCGUCGUGGUGGCGGCGGCGGCGGCGGUGGAGGCAGCAGCAUUGUUGUUAGAAGGUGCUAUAAUUCCCAUGGAAGGCAAUUUCUGAUGAUGUGAGAAUUCGGGCCAUGUUGGUUGCAUGUUUGGAAUUUUUGGAGGUAAUUGUGCCAUUUAGUAGUGUAUAAUAAUGUAUUCAACACCUCUAAAUGACACAAGAAAAAAAGAUUCAGACAGAAGGAAAGAAACUAAAAGAACAAUCUUCAAGAUUCAAGAAAAGCUCAAAACCUAUAAUGUGGGAAGGGAACUCAAGAACGAUGUUCAAGAUAUAGAGCUUCUUCUUAUUGUCACCAAGAGAGAGAGAAAAAAAAAAAAGAACAACCCAAAUCACAAUUGUCACCAAAGGGUUGUUCUUUGGUAUAAUUAUAUGAAAUUAAGAAGAACACUAGAAAUGGAAUGUGAUAAGCAAUGGUAAAGAAGCAAGAAAGACACAAGAAGAAGAAGAAGAAGAAGAAGAGGAGGAGGAGGAGCAAGAGGAGAACAAUAUCAUCAUCAUCAUCAUCAUUAAGAGCUUUAUUUUUGUCAUGUCAUUCAAUAUAUCCCCAUUAAAUCUUGCAUCCUAAUCUCUUUCUUUCUCUCUCAAUGUGGCAGUGGGGUCACAUGGGAAGAGAUUGGACAGCUAUCUACAGCUGUUAGGAGGUUGGGUCUCAACGGUAUUACUGGAAAGUCGCCAGUAGUUUAAUAACUAGAGGAAUCAGUAACCACGUGCCCUUGUGACCGUCCCUUUAGUGGGUACCUUAUAAUAGUCUCAUUAUUUUCUUUUAUAGAAAAAAAAAAUCAUCCUAAAGGAACAUUCCUGUGUACCCACCAACUAAUGUUCAUUUCCUACACCACUAUUUCCUGUCCAUUUGAUCUCUUCUCUUAUUCCAAUCCUAUCAACCCAUCAAGCUAACAAGUCAAAUGGGUCAUCAUCCUUCGAUUAAUAUUCCCAUCAUCAGGGUCCAAACUUCCUACAUGUUCCUAUACAUAUGGGAACAUACUCUGUUAUUGCGGAAGGGUGUUAUUACUUAUUAGAGGUAAAACGUACUUGCAGUUUAGUUGAAAUAUUGUUGGAAGGUUCUUAAAACUUAGUGUAAAGAAAAAAUUUGAAGAAAUGAAGAAGUCGGCUGUGAUCAUUUCACAGCCAUGUAUAGAUAACUUCCUUGUUUAUGGAAGUCAUUAGAUUUUGAGAGACACCGGAGGCAACGUACAUGUGUUCUUUCAAACGGUAAUUUAAGCGAAUGUUCGUAUCUAUACAUCAAAAUUAUAGAUGAUACCCGUACAUAUAUAUUAAUCUUUUAUACAUUGCAUUUUGCAUACAAUAUCAAAAUUAUUUCACAACUAAUUAUAUUUAUGAAUAAAUAAUAAAUCAGAAGAACGCAUAAUGUAUGUACUUUCUCUCUUUAAAUUAUUUACAUUAUCAUCUUAAUUUUAUUAUAUUAAAUUAAAAGAGAAAACAAGUAUUAGGAGUCUGAGAUUUGGGAGAGUGGUAGUAUUUGGGGAAUGAGCUGUGAAAGAAAAGGGGUACUUGGAAAGGGAUCAUGUCAGGCCAUGUGAAUGAUUUGCAAGCUUUCUUUGCUUUGUCCCCAAACCAUACCCACAUGUAGGGCAGUGUGUCCUUUUUAUUUCUUUAGCUACCACACAGCUUCUUGGCACCUUCCAAUCACUAUCGUAUUGGAAUUUAUGUUGUUUUAAUUAAUUCAAGUGCAUGGGAGGCACUAAUCAUGAUUAGUUUUUAGAAAGAAAAAAAAGAAAAAAAAAGAAGAGAUGUUUAAGAUAUAUUAUAAUACUUAUGUAACAUGUUCGCCGCCUUCUUUCUCAAGUGACUUCCUGGCAUUAAUUUACUUAAUUAAGCACCUUCUUUCUUUUGCUAAUACUUUCUAAUCACAAGACCAUGUGAAUAGCCUCAUAGCUCCAUAGCCAUCCCAUUUUGGUGAGCCUUUUUCUGGUUAAUUCAAACCAAACUAAAUUCUCAUAAAUAUUUACUAAAUAUGAAAUAAUAAUAAUUUAUAUUUUAUAUAUAAUCAUAAUUUUAUAGUUUUUGAUAUGAGCAUUGGUUAUUUGGUUACAUUUUUAAGAAGCUGAACCCCACUAAUUUUAUUACUGAAUUGAUAAUAUAAUAUAAUUUCUUAAACGAAAUAAUGUUUUUUUGAUUAAAAAAAAAAAAGAAAUUCAAUCUAUUUAUAGUUUUAACUAAAAAAAUGCAUACAUUUUCAUCAUGCCUUUGUUUUUAUAAGUACCUAAUCUUAGUAUGACGUUUCUAUAUUGAUUCUAUUGUAAUUAAGAAACUAAAAAAAAUCAGGUCACAUCAAAUUUUAGUUGAGAUUAUUAUUAGUUUAUGUACUUUAAACAUUGAAUCAUUCGGAAAAUCACAAAAAUUAUAACAAAUUAAUAAAAUCUUUGACUAUUUUUUUAGUCAUUUCUUUUAUUUUUGGCUAAAUCAACCUUAAUUUUAGAUAGACUAUAUUCCCUCUAUAUGUAAGACACUGAAACUUAGAUUGACCUUAAUUAGAUAGAUUAUCAUAUUUUCUAAUAAUGUAUUAUCAUAGUUAGUGUUUAGAUAUAAUACAUGUCAUUUAUUGAGUUUCAAGUAAUAGCUUGAUCUUACAUGGGAUAGCUCAAACUAUAUCUUAGAGAAAAGAAAUAGAUAUCAAUUACUAUAUGUUAUCAAGAUCACAAAUCCAUGAAUACAAGUAUUGGAAAUAUAUUCCACUAAUAAUACAAUAGAGGAUGAUGCAACUUUGGCCCUAAUUGUUGUAAUAAUCUUCUAAGUUUAAUUAUAGUAUAUUUUGUUAUUAUUAAUAGGCAUUGUUACUAGUGGAUUUUUAAGUAAAUUCUUGACCCUUUUAUAACCUAUAUAUUUUUACCCAAAAUUGUCAACAAAAACUACUAACAAAUUGAAGGGAAGAUUAUAGCUAGGAUUAAUUUUUUUGGUUGAAUACCCAUUCCCCUGCUCAAGGAAUUUUUAUCCCAUAGUUAACUAUAGCCAAAAUGCAAAAAAAAAGAAAAAAAAAAGUAAAAGGUGAAUAUCUUAGAAGGCAGCCAUGUAAAGAGAAAAGGAGAAUUGUAAAUACCUAUUAUGAGUUUUACAUUCAUUUAAAAAUAGGUGAUUCUUUUAUUUUUCGCGAAAAAGAAAAUAGUAUGUUCAUGACUUUAGCAAAUAAAAAUAAAAAUAGUUUAUGUUGUUAAAAAACUAAUACGAUGGAAUAAAAUUUCACACAUUUUACAUCUAAAUGCAGUAAAAAAAUUUUAAUGUCUCGCUAUUUUUUUUAGUUAAAAAAUUAACUUGCUACGUUAUUUUUUUCAUUUUUAUUGUAAAAUUUCAAAAAUUAUUGUUAAAAGAUAUUAUUGAAAUAAAUUAAAAACACUAAAAUAAUUGAAUAAAAUUAUUAAAAAAAUAUAAAAUAUAAAAUUUAAUUAAUAAUUAAGCCAAAAAAUACAAAUUUACAUGAGCUUUUUAGACGGUCUAAAUUAUUUUUUUUCUUUAUCCAUCAACAACAUAAAUCAAAGGUAUCUCCAUGUCUAAAAGAAAAAGAUCCCAUACCUAGACGUGAAAAUAGGUCAAAACACAUUAUAGAUAUUUUAAGUAUAGUCAUAUAUUUGAUGAUAAUAAAAUGGGAAAAAGAGGAAGAAGAGGGUCUCCACUCUCCCGUAAGGAGCAAGCAUUUUCUUCACCCCAUUGCUCCAUCUAUUAUAUCAUUGCAUCUUUUAGGUUGAUUGGGCCACAGGGCCAACAUGUUUUAGACACUAAUCUGGCCAUGUUUUAGUGCUAUUGGCACCAUUAUCUCCUAGAAAAAUCUUCAACUGUUCUGGCAAUCUUAUCAGCAUUUCUUUUAAUUCUGCAAGCAUUUUUAUUUUACUCAACCACUAGAUUAAUGGUAUUCUACGUCCACAAUUGUGAACCAAAUCAAAUGGCCAUUCUUCAGGGGAAAAGAAAAGAAAUCAAAUGGCUGCAAUUUCAAUCACCCUGAGCUUAUGAAGACAUGAACUUGUUAGAAAUUGGGGACGUGAAAAUUUCCUUUUCAACAGGAAUGCUGAAUAAGCUGAAGAGGAAACUUGUUCAAAUAAUAAUUCCUUCAGUAUUGGAGCAUAUCACGUGCUAUGCAUAUAUAUAUAUAUAUAUAUACAAAUAAUAAAUAAUAAUAAUUAUAACUGAUAAAAAGGUGUUGAAUUAAUAAUUGAUGUACAAAGUAUGUACCUAACUACAGAAGCCUAGUUCCUUUCAUAUAGAAAAACUCAGUGAUCCAUGUUCCCCACUUCCCCCCCCCCCCCCCCNNNNNNNNNNNNNNNNNNNNNNNNNNNNNNNNNNNNNNNNNNNNNNNNNNNNNNNNNNNNNNNNNNNNNNNNNNNNNNNNNNNNNNNNNNNNNNNNNNNNNNNNNNNNNNNNNNNNNNNNNNNNNNNNNNNNNNNNNNNNNNNNNNNNNNNNNNNNNNNNNNNNNNNNNNNNNNNNNNNNNNNNNNNNNNNNAAAAGAGAAGUUAAAUGACAAGGACAGGUCAUGAACUCAUUGCUAGUGUAUACCUCGAGAAUAAAUUAUUGAGUAGGAUUCACUGUCUUUCUCAGAAAAUAGGGAGUUCCACAUGGAGAGGUACAUAUAAACAAGUUAUGGGCCUGUAUAAUUAUUUCUUGUUACAUAAACAUAUAGAAAAAAGCAAUACUAAAAUCAAGCAUGGGAUUGCUGUUGUUUUACCAUCAUACACAGUUUCAGUAUUCACAGGAAAUGGUUUAUGUGGUCUGUCGAUCCCCUCAUUUCUGGGGUUCACACCUUCUGCAUGAACAUUGCCUUGAUAAGUUAACAACUUCAACUACAUUAUUGAUAGAUACAAAAGAACAUAACUAUGAUACAUGUUAUGAAUCCAUGUGAUGCAAGACGUAUAAAACUCUGGCUUAUUAAGUUCAGAUGCAAGCAAUGAGUGGCAGAAAAUGUUUAAGGCUGCACUAAGAAGUCUGCUCAAUAAAUCAAUAGCGUUAAACGGUUAGCUAUGUCAGGAUCCAUUUUACAGCUGCACAUGCACGCAUGGUUUACACAGUGAGUCACAUAAACAAUAGAACAUCAAAGACUUGCCCUACUGAAACUGAAUGCUAAUGAAGACAUGAAACAAUACAAAAUCAUAACUGAAAUGCCUUGAGUGAAAGUAUUAUCUAGCACAAAUGGCACACUGCAUUACGUGUACCCAACCUAAAUAAGAUAUCAGAUUUGUGCUACGAUCUUUAUUUAUAAGCUACUACUCUCAGUAUACACCCCAAACUUAGUGAUGGAGGCACCUACAAUGAUCAAGAAUGCUGGCCUGAUGCUUAUAACUCUUUGCACUCUGUGGAUACCUUCAAUUGCAAGGUCAGAAAUCCAUAGUCUACCUAUAGAUAGCGCCCCCACAGCCAUGAAAGUGAGGUAUGAUAAAUGGCUGGAACAAUAUGGUCGAAAAUAUGACACUAAAGAUGAAUAUUUACUGCGGUUUGGAAUAUAUCAUUCCAACAUUCAGUUCAUUGAGUAUAUCAAUUCUCAGAACUUAUCAUUCAAGCUCACUGACAACAAAUUUGCGGAUCUGACUAAUGAUGAGUUCAACUCUAUCUACCUCGGUUAUCAGAUAAGGAGUUACAAAAGAAGAAAUCUUAGCCACAUGCAUGAAAAUAGCACAGACUUGCCAGAUGCUGUAGACUGGAGAGAGAAUGGUGCUGUGACCCCAAUUAAGGAUCAAGGACAGUGUGGUAUGAUUUUCUUUCCUUUUUACUUAUUCUUUCAUUGAGAAUAGAUUCUAAGUGCACAUUUUAGAGGUACAACGUCAAGAUGAUAGGAACAUUGACCACCAUCUGCACUUUUAGUUAUAAAUUAAUUUAGAAGCUUGCAGACUCUUGAGCCACUUUCGCAAACAAAUAUGACAGAGAUGCAUACAAAUAAAACAACUGCCUACUUCUUGGACAAAAUCCUUCAUUUGGGAGAAUACGUACAAAUAAAUAGAAAAAAAGAAAGAUCGGAAGCCUAUUGUAGGUCACCAAGAUUCAUUUAUUCUUUCAUAAAGUAUAUUUCUGACAAGUCUCUAAGUAAUCACUAUGAUGUCUAAAUGCUAACUUCGAUACAAAUUUUCAAUGUUACAUCCAUCAAUACUAGCAGGUUACUUGAUGAAACACAAUUUCGUUUAAGUAUCAAUUACAAGAAAUUUUUACAUAAGAAAGAUCUUAAGUAGUUAUCUUUGUACAGGGAG